GAGAAGGAGAAGGUAAUUUGCCAUAGGCUUAAAGCCACCCAAAGUCACCAAAAAUCCUAUCCAAAUAUGAGGCGUAGGAAGUUAGAGUUUGAGGUUAGGAUAGGGUGUUCUAGAAGGUGUCUCCCAUGAAGGGAAUGAUGUGGUUUGGAAAGAAAGGGAAGCUCAAUCCCUGAUAUUUUAGUUUGUACUUGGUUUUGAGAAGGGUUGGCAAUGUUUCUAUGAGUUGGAGUUGCCUUCUAGUUUGAGCUCCAUUCACCCGAUGUUCCAUGUUUCCAUGUUGAGGAAGUGUGUGGUGAUUCAUUGCAAAUUGUUCCUAUCAAGGAUAUUGCAAUUUUAGAUUCUCUAUCUUAUGAGGAGGUCCUUGUUGAAAUCUUAGCUCGGCAGGUUCGUCGGUUGUUGAUUAAGGACGUAGCUUUGGUAAAGUUUCUGUGGAGGAACCACAUGGUGGAAGAGGCUACAUGGGAAGCGGAAGAGGUCAUGAAGUUCAAGUAUCCAUUCCUAUGUUCUUCUCCAUAAAUUCGUGAGUAAGUUAUGUGUUGAUCUUACCAACUUUGUUAAAGAAAGAUCGACUUCCUUGGUAUCCUUGUUUUCUAACUUAGCUAAAGGUAAGAGUAGAGAUGUCUGGGGUCUAAAUAGUACUUGUACUGCCUUGUUCCAUCAUUUGAGGAUGAAGGAUCCAAGUGGGGGAGAAUUGAAACACCCUAGAUUUUGACCUGUGGAAAAUUCAUAAUCUUUGAGCUCACUUUCCUUGUAACUAUUCACCAUACGAGUCGUAUAGCAUAGGUACGGAUCAGGGGACCCUAUUCAUUAGGAGACCAAUAAAGGAUGGUUGGGUUUCAAUUGUAGUUACAGUUUGGUGGGUACAGGUUGUGAGAGAUAGUGAUGGUUCAUUUGGUUGGUCCCUUAAUCAAAUCAGUAACCAAGUGACUUGACUUGGAUUUGAGUAGGAGUGGCUUACUAAAAGCUAUGAGGAUAGGUUAGGAGUGCUAAUCUUGAGUCGUUGUUGUCCAGUGUCCAAUCCCUUUGGUUUUUUUUUGGUUACAACUAGACCAAAUGAGUUGUAUGGUCUAGUCAUGAGUAGGGGUUAGGGAGUCGUACGAUUGAUAGUGUAUGGGUGUCCAACUCAUGGUCUUGGUGACGACUCUGUGGUACGAGUUGUAUGUUAUGGUCAUGAGUCAGGGGUUUGACUCAUAACCACCUGCGGUAAUCUUAUAGUUUUAAGUUAGGGGUAUUCUAGAUAUUUCCCCUUUGAAACUCCCUUGGAUACCACUUUAUAAAACACCUUUUGGGGCUUCAUUAACCUAUUAUUCUCAAUUAGACACUAUUAAAAUCUCUCUCAAACUCUCUCUCUCUCUCGAUCAAAAGGCUAGGGUUUCUCAAGAUAUUCAAUAAAGGCUUUCAAGGGUGGUUUCUCUUCGUCUUCCUUGGUAUCUAAAGCACGUUACUCCUCCCUCAUUGUUAUUUUACAAAGGGAAUAUGUUUUAAUGUAUGAUUUUCAUGAUAUUGUUAUGGUUUGAAACAAUGGUUGGGGGUUUUGGAUGUUUAUAGUUGAAUAAUGUUUCUUAUGGUCUAAUGAUGUUUAUUUUAUGCUCUUAAUAUGAUUUUGACAUUAUGGAAUGCACGGUUAUGUUAGAUGGAUUCAAGGGUACUUUUGAUUCCCCAAAAUUACUCGGUUAUGGUUUUGAAACAUAUGUGCCCUCAACCUGUUUGUUAAAAUCCCACUGAGAACGAUUUUCUCACAUUGUUUGACUACUCUUGAUAUCCUUGCAUUGGAUAAAUGGUAAUGGAACUUAAAUUGGUUUGGUUAGUUUUAAAUAGUUUGGAAAGGCCUUAAUUGCCAUGGUUUUGGUUUAAUUAGAAAGUUGGGAGUUAACUUGGUUUAAUGGUUUUAAUAUGGCAUAAAAGGAUAGACUUGCAAGCUCUAACUUUGGUAUGAUGAUACAAUGGUUAAUGCCUAAACAAAAGACUCCUUGUUAAAUUGGUGGAAUAUGUAAAUGGUUUUAUUAUGGGCUUAAAUAGGUUCGAGUGUUAAAGUCAUAAAAGGUGGGGGUCUAGGGGGGCCGACAGUGGAAACUCACAUUUGCCUAUGUAAGGGUGGUCUUGGUGACCAUGUGCAUUAUGUCACACUUUAUAUUUUGGGCGAUGUACUAGUCUUCUCAGAUUCUUUUCUCCAGUCGUGCGGAUAACAUGCAUUGUGUCCCUUUCGGCAAAGGGAGCUGAACCCAUAUAGCCCGUGGGUGGUUUUAGGACUAUCAAGCUACUCAUCCCGGGUUAAGGUUUUAAAUGCAUACUAAACCCGGUUCACUAUCUCGACAUGAUAUAUAUAUAUAUAUAUAUAUAUAUAUUUGUAUCUAUGUGAUUGCAUAUGGUUAUUUAAUUUGGUUUUGAAUUACUGGAAUUAGUUUAUCUCAUCCCUGAGUACAUGCUAGUGUUCACUCUGCUAAUCAUUUUUGAGCGUUGUAUCCCCCACGUGAUACAGAACCAUCCAUAAUACCAUUCCUCCUGCUUAGUGACUUAGAUUCGGGGUCAGCUUUGAGUUAGACUGAAGUGGUGAGCUUCCAUACUUAGGAAGGCUCCCUUUCAUGCUAUGAACUUCUUUUGUUUUUGUUAUUUCUUUGGUUUGGUUUUGGCUAUGGUCGGGGGCAUUUCCCGACCGGAUGUUAUUGAUUCUGCAUAGAGGCUUUGUCAGACCACUAUGGGCAUGGGCGGUUUUGGUAUUGGUUCCAGCCUUGGUAUUGGCAUUGGCAUUGGGGUUGGCACCAAUUGGAUAUUUUAUUUAGGUUGUUGGAUUAUGAUUAUAGACUUUACUUAAUGUAUUUUAUUAUUCUUGGUUUAUCUUGUUAUAUGUUCAGAAUUCAACCGACAUAGGGUUCUGGGUGGUUAUGGUUGGGUAUUGGGGGUGGUCUCCGAUCCUGGUUGGACUUGAGAUGCCCGACACGUCUAGUCCCUGGUUCAGGUCGUGUCACAUAUUUUCCCAUGAAAAUUUAGUAAUUUUGCGUACUUAUAAUUAUGAACCCUUGGUAUGUUGGUAAAUUCAUGAUUUUGGACUUGAGUUAUAAAAAUUUCCUAUUAUAUUCAGAUCAUAGAAUUUCUACUAUUUAGUCAGAUUAUUCAAAGCUGGUGGGUUAUGAACACCCAAUACCUAGGGAUUCAUGCAUAUAUCAUUUUACAUGUUUUGAGAACUUUAGAUUAUCUAUUGUUGAUAUUCCAGAAUAAAAUCAUAACAGGCAAUACAGUUUUCAGUUUCAUUCAAUUUGUAGUUGUACUUAGCAUCUAGUGAAUGUAGGGAUAAAGGCUCACCCGUCUGUUUAGGCUUGAUACCUUUAGUAGCAGCCCCUAAAUUCUAGAACUACAGUUCCACUGUAGGUUAUAAGGGGGCACCCUUCAGUUGAGGCAUGACACCCUAGUCCUUCGGGACAUCAGUUUAGUUGAUCCACGCCAACCAGUAUUAGUAUCCUUGGCAAGGUACAAGCACCCUUCCAACUGGGGUUACAGGUUGAACCCUGGGAUUGGGGUGUGUCGAUUAUUGUUAGCUCCCACAGUCCUCAAUUUAUGUUUCAGUUCAGAUUAUGCAUGACCCUGUAUUUAGUUAUUCAAUUUUCAUUUAAUACAUGUUUAUACUUAAUCAUUGCAUUAAUUUACAUCCCACAGUUUCAAACCUAGUAAUCAUACAUGACCCUCAGUUUAGUUUUAGUUUCUUUCAUACUAUUAAUUUUAAUACUACAUAGCUUUUACGUACAAACAUGUUCUAAAUGUAUAUAUUUCAGAAAAUGGCUUACAUUCUCAAUUUCAAAGCAUGUUUUAAGUAUUUUCAUGACGAGUGCAUAUAUCAUAUACUAAAUACAUUCUAAAGUACAAAUCCCAUACCUCUUCUUUGUAUAUUUUUUUAUGUGAUAUAGAUUCAGGUGCUUACUCCCAGGAUCAUGGUCAGGCAGAUCAUAGCAUUCCGCGAACAAGUGAUGAAUUCUCUUAUUUCGUGGACUCAAGUCAGUUACAGUUCUUGUAUUUUAUUUUCUUAUUCGUAUGUAUUGAUUAGAGAUAGUUGGUGAUCAUGUCCCAACAACCUAUAGUCAUAUUAGUAGAGGCGUCAUAGAUGGUAAGCAUUGUAUGUAGUUUAAGCGACGUCAGCUAAUGUACGCCAUAUUGAAAAAUGGCUCGAAAACGACAGACGAAGGCAAAACUCAUAACCAAUACAACACCUAAAGGACCAUCGAAAGUCAAUCUAUAACAAUAUGUAUGAAAUAUGAAGCCUGUAACUCCAGAACUAAGGGUUCCUUAACAAUCUAUAGUUUAGCUUGCUGAGAGAGAAAAGGGAGCUAGCAGUGGCUCUGCACCGCAUACGAGAAUAGUCACACCAGAAACAAGGAUUCCUCAGCCACUAUCUAUAGUUCAACUAGCUGAAUGGGUGUUGGGGACUGGCAGUGGCUCGAAAGUUUUGAUGAAACUUCCGACACAAAACCGCCAAAUCACUCACACCACCAAAACUCCACCCAAAAAUAAUAAGGAUGGGGAGGUCUCAAUGCAGGCGAUUAGGAAGUUAACUUUCUCAGCAAGCUCCAAACCAACUGGGGAAAAACAAAGCAAGCUUCCAAUGAUGGGUAAGAAACUUCAAUACUACCCACCUAUAAUAAAUAAUAGGUUUAAAAUAGUUAAAUUGAAUCUGGAUGAAGUAGAGAAACAACAACGAAAAUGGGACUGUACUUUAAUAGGAUAUGUUGUUGGGAAGAAUCCAUUGUUCAAACAGAUGUUACACUUUGUGUAUACAUUCUGGAAAUUUGUGGUAACACCUAGAGUCUUCUUGAAUGAUAAUGGAUAUUUCAUAUUUCAAUUUGAAAACAAAGAUAAUAGAGCAAAAGUCCUCAACAAUGGGACAUACACGUAUGACUAUAGAGCAUUUGUGCUGAAACCAUGGGUACCAAACUCUCAGAGGAGUAAAGUGUAAUACCCCGAAUCUGGUACCCGGAAUGCUAUACGAUGCUUAUGACCCCAAAGGAUCACAACCUAACCCAUGAUGGAUAUUUGUACCUGAACACUGCAUAAUAUACUGUAUAAAUGCAAAAAUAAAGGUUGUUAGGCAGUAAGGUUCAAAACUGAUAAAAUAAUCUCUGAAUGAUAUGGUAUCAUAAUACCAAAACAAAACCUGAAAUAAACUAUCUGAACAUGCUAGUCUAAAAAGCCUUUAACUGACUGAAUAGUCUGAACAAGGAGUUGAUGGUACAUGUCCCUAACUAACUCCAACUACUGAAAUAAAUUAAUUAAUGAGAUAAUAAAGUAAUGGUCAUGUCCUUGAAGGAUGAGGACUCACUGCUAACUCUAACUACUGAAACUGGAAUGCUACUGAUGCUCUGGAGCUCAUGCUUCUGAACUUAUGGUAUAAAACACCAUAGUUCAAAUGUGUCAAUACGUUGGAAUGUACUGGUAUGCAUGUGAGGUAGGCUGAAUGCAAAGGGUUCACAUGCAUGAACUAUACUAACUGACUAGACAACAAGAACGUGAGAAUGCAAGUAUAAAUACAUAAUAACUGUAAUUGAGUUCGAUGAUAACAUAAUUAAUGAGCCUGAAUACUGAUAACAUGAGAUACUGAUAAUUGUAAAACUGAAAUAACUAAUAUGGAGCGAUUGUAUCUAACAAUCUAGGUUCUGAUGGAACUAGCUGAGUUCUAUGUUGUUCUGAGUUGACUGUAUCUGACAGUUAUGAAUUCUAUAGAACUAUCUGAGGUCUAUUACUAAGACUAACUGACUGUAUCUGACAGUCCUGAAUCUAUAACUAAAACUGUAGGAAGUAGUCAUCUAAUCGACAUGCCCUAAAUAAAGCAAUAUAGUUGAGGUGGGGUCCAAUCUGUAACCCCAAUUAGAAGGGAGUCAAUACCGCGCCACUGGUAAGAACAAGCUGUGGGAAACCCUCCUCUGAAGUCUCCCCAAAAGAGAAUGGCGGGGCCCUCAUUUGAAACUGCUUAUCUACCCUAUCAACCCUCAUCUGACAGUGUUGAUGUCUCAACCUAUGUUGGCUACAUAGUUCUGGAAUGCAAGGAUGACUUCUAAGAAUCACACCCUCAUCUGACAGUGUAUGUUCCCAUCCUUGGGUUCACUCAGUGGUAAUUACUGCUCCCAUUUGAACAGACACUGAACAUGGAUUACUAAACUAAACUAGACUAAAUUAACUGAGUUUUGUUGACUGACGAAAUACUGCUGAGAUUAUUGAAUUUCUAAGAUUUCUGAGACUAUAGAGUUUACUGAGUUUUUCUGAGUCACAUGACUAACUAAAUUUCUAUGAACAUGGCUCGACUGAGAGUAUCUUGAAAACAUGACACUGGCUCUAGGCACACAGCUAAUUGUCAGGUACAAGUACCCCUAGGACUCGAUAGUAUGAAACUGACAAAGCAUGACUUUCUUGAAUACAUGACCAACAUCACGAUCCAUAAUACAAUAAGUUUUAGAUUUCAUGAAGUAGAAGUUCUAAAGCACCACAAUGGCUACACAUAUAUCCAUAAUUCAUUGACUAAGACAUUUCAUCAAACACUGGACAUGCAUAAAUUUGUACAUAAAAUGGGGAUUUCAUAUUAUCAUACUAAUAUGGCACUUUUCCAUCAUAUAGGCAUAUAAUCGAACACAUGGAGAGCAUGCUUUCGUUAUACAUUCAUCAACACAUCUACUAAUCAUGGAUACGUCAAUCAACGUGUAAAUUUAAGGGUUUAUCAUGAUUAUUAUGUAAAUCACCACAUCCUAGGGUCAAUUAUUAGAAUAUGUAAUUUCAAACAUGAAUCUAAACCCCACAACAUCAUGAACAUGAAUUUCAACUCAAUUUAAAUCAUGAACAUUCAUACAUACACAAUUCUUUAUAUUUUGAAAAGAGAUUCUUGAUCUUCAUGGGUGAAAGGGACCCAUGGAUCAACACAUGGCAUACUUGGGUUGUGAGUUUCUUGAAGUUCCUGGACUUGAAGAACUUGAAAUCUCUUAGUUUCUUGAAGAACAAUUUGGAUCUUGUUCUUGGGGAUUAUCUUUGAGAGAAAACCCUAAUUUGAUGUUAUAGAUGGAUAAUGAACUUAUGAUCCUUGAUCUGAUAUAAUUAAGGGUUAAAACGGGUGGAAAAGACCCAAAUACCCUUUUAAAAAUGACUUUAAAAUAACUGAAUAAACUAUGCGAUAGUGGGCGCGAUGGUCCAUCGGUCCUGCCCGUCGCACCUAGGCAGAAUAGAGGCUCACUACAUUUGUUGCAAUGGCUUGGACAAUGGUCCAUCGCUAGCUCGACGUUCUGUCGGCUUGAGCCGUCACCCUUAGAUAGAAGGUGAUAUUACUACCUUUACUGCGACAGUUUGGGAGACGGUCCGUCGCUAGCUUGACGGUCCGUUGGCCCUCAUCAUCGCACCUGGGCAAUUUUGACUGCUUUCUGUAAAACGGCCAUAACUUUCUACCCCGAUACUAGAUUUGGACAAAAUUGGUAUAGUUGGAAAGCUAAUUCAAUUUCCCAUAUGACAAAAAGUGAAAAUAUUAAAAAUUCCACAUAUAUAAAAGUGUAUUCAUAUUUCAAAGUAAGUUUCUAACAUACUUGGGACGAUUUUAAGCUAGGUAAAAGAAUAGGGUAUUAGAUAAAGAGUCUAUGAAACAAGUGCCACUUGGGGUUGUCUUUCCCAACCUACUAAUUCAAUACUGGGCUAUCUAGAAAUUGAGUAGAAUAGCAAGAUAUUUAGGAAAACCAGUAUGCAAUGACAGCCUAACUGGUGGGGAGGGAAGAAUUUUCUAUGCUAGAAUGCUAAUAGAAAUGGAUGUAACAGAACCAUUACCUGAGCAUAUGUUGAUUGAAGAACCUAAUGGUAAUACCAGAAGGCAGGACUUAGACUACAACUGGUGGCCUGACUACUGUCAAGAAUGCAUUGUGCAAGGACAUGAGACACACAAAUGCCUCUCAAAGAAACCAGUAAAACAGCACCCUGAACCUCCUAAACCAGUACCAGAACAGGAGAAGAGUAUGGGUCCUACACAAUAGUUGCCAAAGAGUAUUCCUAUAGUUGCAUAGAGUAUAGGUCCUAUAGUUACUAAUACUAAUGAAUUACAAGAACAUGAGGCUAGGAGGAUCAAGUACAUGAAAUACUGGCUACAAAGUCAGAUGCAGGUUGUAGCAAAGCCAGGGGACAGGAGGAAAGAGACACUCAUGAGGAAUGUAGAUUCAACUUAUUAGGAGUUAUCGAGGGUCCUAGGUAGCCCUCCAAGGCUCCAAUAUAAUUUUAUAAUCCUGGAAUAUAAGAGGGCUGAAUCAACCCUUUAAGCAGAAGGAGUUAAAGCUCUUUAUGAGCCACAAUAAAAUUGAUUUGUCGGGUUCCUCAAAAACAAAAAUAAUGGGUGGUAAAAAAGAUACCAUCACAAAGAUGUUUGGUAAGGAAUGGACAUACACAGCUGACUAUAAUGUGGAUCAGACAGGAAGAAUAUGGCUAUUCUGAGAGGAUCAAUAGGUUAAGGUCAUAAUUGAAUUAGCUACAUCACAAUUGGUGCACUAUUAUAUGGAAGAUAAAGGAUCCAGAUUUGCUAGUUUCAUGACCUUUGUAUAUGGCUACAAUAGCUCUAUAUGAGAGAAAGAAAUGUGAGAACAGCUGAAAGGAAUUCACCAUAAUGUAAAUGAAUCUUAGGUCAUACUAGGUGAUUUCAAUAUAGGUCUCUCUAUGACUGACUGGCUUAAUGGAUCCCCUAUCAAACAAAUUGACAUACAAGAUUUCCAGGACUGUAUAGAGAAGUUAGGAUUGGGCGUACUACCCAGAUAAGGGUGUGAUUACACUUGGUCUAAUAGAAGAGAAGCAACUAAUAGAAUACACAGCAAGAUAGAUUGGAUACCAUGAAAUACAGCCUGGUUAAUAAAGUAUGGGGCUCCAGCGGUUGUAUUCAGGUAACUAGGGUGUUCAGACCAUUAACCAAUCAUUGUCAACUUAGAAGUGUUGAUACAGAUUACUAAAAGAUCUUUUAGAUUGCUGAAUGUCCUAUUAAACCAAGACAAUUUCCAGAAUAUGGUAAAAGAAAUUUAGGGUAAAACUAUUUAGGGUUAUACAAUGUACUCAGUUUGGCAGAAUUUAUUGAGGGGUGGAGCUAAAGCUCAGAAUCUAAAUCAACGGAUGUCCUUAUUGGAGAAGAAAAUACAAGAAUUGAGAUCAGAGAUAAAAUAAGUGCAAGCAAAAUUGAAUGCUAAUCUGUUUGAUACAUACCUAAUCAAGCAAGAAGUAUCAGUUAUUGCUCAACUCCAAAAGUGGGACUGGAUAAAUAAACAAGUAUUGAGACAGAAGUCUAGGGAAACUUAGAUAGCACAUGGAGACUCCAAUUCAAAAUUUUUCAUGCUCAUUUAAAACACAGACAAGCAACAAACAAAAUUGCUUCUAUAUGUAAUAAAAAAGGAGUAGGGUCACAGAACCAACCUAAAUCCAGUAGGAAUUGACUCAAUUCUUUCAACAACUCUUGGGAACUACAGCAAGUAAAUUGCCUUGCAUCAAUAUUUACAUAGCAAGAGAUGGUCCUUACCUAAACAUUGAGCAACAGAAAUAAUUAAUGGAAGAAGUGAUAGAGCAGGAGAUCUUGCAGACAGUUCACCACCUUUCUGUGACAAGGCACCAGGUAUUAAUAGAUUUCCAAUAGAGUUUUUUAAAAGUAAUUGGUUAGUAGUAGGAAAAGAGGUCACUACAGUAGUUUUACAAUUUUUUAAAAAUGGGAGGCUAUUAAAGAGUAUAAAUUGUGCAACUAUCACACUUGUGCCUAAAGUAGACAAUCCUAAAUUUGUGAAGGAAUAUAGGCCAAUAGCAUGAUGUACUACUUGUAUAAGAUUAUUGAUAAAAUUCUCACUGCAAAACUAAAGCCUAUGGUAGAUAUUCUAGUGGGACAUUCAUGAUCUGCAAUCAUUGAGGGGAUAUGUAUUUUAGAUAAUGUGAUAGUGGCCCUUGAACUAAUAAGGUGAUAUGGCCAAAAACAUAUUUCCCCAAGAUGUUUCAUGAAAAUAGAUAUCCAAAAAGCUUAUGAUUCAGUUGAAUGGGCGUUCUUAUAGAUGAUCCUUAUUGAAUAUGGCUUCCCUACAAAAAUGAUUGAAUAGAUAAUGACAUAUGUAGCUACUGUUAGUUAUUCUAUACUUGUGAAUGGGAAUUUAACUGAGAAAUUUCCUGCUAAGAAAGGGCUUAUACAGGGGGACCCUAUGUCUCUAUAUCUCUUUAUGCUGGUGAUGGAGUACUUAAAUAGAUUACUGGAACAGUUGAGGCACAACCCAAAUUUCAACUACCAUCCAAGGUAUGCCAGAUUACAACUAACUCACAUCUGUUUUGCGGAUGACUUAAUGCUAUGUUGUAGAGCAGAACAAAUGUCCAUCUAACAGAUUUUAGAGGCCUUUGAGUAUUUCUCUUCUAUCUUAGGGUUGAAAUCCAAUUUAGAGAAAAUCUCUUUUUAUGUAGAAAGGGUAACCACUGAGUUUAAGCAAAAUAUAUUAAGAGAAAUGCAAUUUACAGUGGGAGAAAUGCCAUUCAAGUAUUUAAGGGUACCACUCUCAUCUAGGAAACUAUCCUAUAGUGCAUGUCUCUAGUUGAGAAAAUAGUAGCAAAGGUCAAGUGUUGGAAUGUUAAACUCUUAUUCUAUAGUGGCAACCUACAGCUAAUUAAAAGUGUGCUAUUUGAAAUGCAAACAUAAUUCGAACAAGUGUUCUUACUACCCAAAAAGGUAAUAUCUAUGGUCACACUUAUUUGUAGGGUAUUCCUCUGGACAGGAGGUGUUCAAAACUCAUAGAAGUCACUGAUUACUUAGGAAACCAUAUGUCUACCAAGAGCUACUGAAGAGAGUGAAUAUAAUUGAGUUUUAGAGGUAGAAUAAAGUUGUUAUAUGUAAGCUAUUAUGUGCAUUAUCAAACAAGAAGGACACCUUAUGGGUCCAAUGGAUUCACAACUUCAAUAUCAAAGGUACAGACUUAGAGUCAAUGAACACACCUAAACAAGCAUGUUGGCUUGUUAGGAAAAUAUUUGAUACUAGACAAGGGCUCCCACUUGGCAAUCCAAUGCAACAUCUAGCACAAUUUACAAUGUGGUCAAAAUUUAGUAUCAAGAAAUUGUACUACACAAUGUUGUCUCAACAUUCCAACGUAGUAGGGAGUAGCUUGGUGCAAUUACCAGGGACCAUCCCAAGACACCAAUUCAUAAUAUGGCUAGCUCUACAUGGGAGGUUAGCAAUAGUUGAAAGGUUUGAGAAAUGGGGCAUCAAUGUAGAUGUUGGUUGUGUCCUCUGUUGUUCAGGAACUAAUAAAAUGUUUCAGCAUCUAUUAUUUGAUAUACUUAUUCUAAGAACACCUGGAGCACCUUAUUAAAAUGGAUGAACAUUCAUAGAUAGGUUCAUACGUGGACAGCUGAAAUCAAAUGGCUGACUACUGGUGUACACACUUCAAAGGCAAGAUCACAGGUACUAAUAUAUUUAUUUGCUGCUAUAGUUUACCAAAUCUAGAUUGAAAGAAAUGCAUGCAGAUUCAAGGCUUAAUGUUAGAACAACACCCAGAUGAUCAAAGACAUAUGCCUUUAAGUACAUAUUAAAGGCCAACAAUAGUGCAAAUGGUAGGACAAACUAGCAAGUUUGAAUCACUAUUCGAUCUAAUGUAAUGUAGUUUAGAAUUUUUAAUAGUUAGAAAGGACAGGAAAGUAUUGUAAUUCAAAUGUUCUAGUUGGAAUAAAAAAAUUCUUUCGACCAAAAAAAAAACUUAUCUCAUGAUUAUGCUUUCGCUAAGUCAAUUUAGCCUUUAUCUAUGUUUUAAUCAGUUGCUUAACCAUUAUAUCAAUACAUGGGUUAGCUUGGAAUCACUUAUGGUUCUAAGCAUCUUGUUAUGACUAGAGGUAGUAUCGGAUCAUGACAUCCCCUUUUGAAUAGCAUCAAAAUCAAAUAAAACAUUUAGAUAUAACAUCUACGCAUUAAAAAUAAGCUAAUGAUACUUAUAUUGCUCAUAUUUGAGUUGAGACAAAAAAAAAGGUUCAAAAAAUAAUUUUCAAAAUAAAAGGGAUAAAAUUAGAGUUUGGUUUUAGAAAUGCAUUCCCCAAGGAUAAUGUAAUCUAUAGUUAAAAUCCAUGCAAAAAUGAAUUAAAAAUAAGGUCCAAAUCAAAGAAAACUAUUUUUAAAUUUUUUCUAAAUAAUUCUCAAAGUCCCAUGAUAAAAUUAUGAUUAAUGAGUGUUUUGAUGAUAUAGAUCAAUGAAAAGUAAUGGAAUUAAGGUUUCGGAGCUUAUUCAUGCUUGAAUUGUGACAAACCCUAAAAGUCCCCCAAACCCCGGAGCUCAAAGCCCAAAAUGAAAAUUGAGAAAAGGGAAUUAUAUACAGUGGUUUCCGCUUAAGUGACAACCUCUAAAGCGAUAUCAGGCCGCUAGAGUGGAUACUUCAUAAGCAAUGUCAAGCUGCUAAAGUGGACCUGAUUAAUCGGUCUUGGGCAACUAAAAUAGUUGUUGCUUAAAAGGAACUCGGUUGCAUAAGCAGCUUCACCAGAUAUCAAAAAUUAAUAAUUUUUCCCUUAUGAUUUGAUUGGGGCCCCACAAAAAUAACCCAUAUAUUCAACCAGGGUAAUCUCUACUUUUUAAAUUCAAUAACAAUGUCAAAUUUUUGGAAAAAAGAUUAUUUUAAACAAAUUAACCCCCAGGACCCCUUUAAGGCAUAUUUUAGUAGUUUUUAAAUGGAGGAUCAAAACACAAAUAAAAGGCUUCAAAUAUAAACCAACCCUAUUGCUAACCAAAAUUUGACCUUUUAGACAUAAUGGAAUUGACCAAAUCAUCAUCUAGCACUCAAAACAUCAAAUAUUUAGCAAAGUAGACUAUGGAAGUUUUAAAGCCUCUAAAAAGCACAAACUCUCCCAAAUCACUCUUGAUCACAUCAAAAAUUAUGUCAACCAUCCAUAUACCCUAAAAUAAACAUGUAGAAACUAUGAAAAACACAUAAAAAGUAAGAUUUUACAAUUUAGGACAUUACCACAUCCACCACUAAAACUCUAGUUUGUCCUUGAAUUAAAAGGCAAGAAAGUACUUGAAUAGGUAAAGGAUAACUACUAUGCAUAUAGGACUCGACCUCGCAAGUAUCUUCCUUAGUGGGAUGGUGUCUCUACUAAACCUUAACGAUAAGAAUAUCCUUAAAAUGCAACUAUCUAACAUCCCUGGCUAAAAUAGACAAUAACUCCUUUAGAAAAGUCAACCUCUUAUCCAACUGAACCAAGUCCCAAAGAAGCAUAUGAAACUCAUCCAGAAAAUAGUACUGAAACAUAUAUACAUGAAAAACUUGAUAAAUAGCUAAAGAGUCUAAAGGUAAGGCCAAUUCAUAAGCAACCUCCCCUACUAACUAAAGAAUCUCAAAGGCCCGAUACAAUUAGGGAUAAUUUUGCCUCUCUUUUUGAACCAUAUCACAUACUUCAUAGGUAUUCCAUAAAGGAAGACUCGAUCACAAAUCCUAAACUUCAAGACAUAAAGCCUACAAUCUGCACAACUCUUUUCCCUACUUUCGGAUACCCAAAUCCUAUCCUAAAUCAUCUAAACCCUAUCCAAAGAGUUGAAAAGCAAGUAAGUACCAUGAGUUCUAAACUCUAAAGUCUCAAACCAACCAAAAGGAGAUCAACAAUGUUGUAAUAACCCUUCAGGUAAUUUUUCAUGAUUCUAUUUAUUUUCGUUUAUAUAUUUUCCAUAUCUUCCCGAUAUAAUUUAUGACUUAUUGUAAUUGAUAAUUUGGUUAUUGAGUAAUUCUUUUUAUUUUUAGAACCAUUUCCCUAUUUAGAAGUCUUUGCUAGUUCCAAAUGGCCACCGAGUAAAAAAUUAAGCAAAACUAUGUUGGCUGCAAAUUCUUACUACAUGAACAGCUCCAGAAUAUUGAUUUUAGGUUGGGUAGACCUUUGGUUCGGGUCCCUCUGCACCCAAACUCAUUUCGACCUAUUGGUUGAAAUAUUAAUAAAUUAGAAAUUUAGGUAUAGGGCCCAUAUUUUGAUAAAACAACUUUAGAUGGAAAAUCUGACUUUGUCAAUGCAUCCAGAAUAUUGAAAUCAGUGUGGUUUCAUAUUUUGUUUUCUUAUAUUGGACUAUGGAUGCAUCUUGAGGCAUUGCCCAAAACUUGGAGUAAAUUAUAAGUUUCAGCUGUCAUCUGGUGUAGCAAAGAUACCAUGGUGACGGAGGUGGUAUUGUGAUUGCAAUGCCGCGAUCGCAACCCAUGUUUCUAUGAUCGCCUGAACUAAGAGCCUAGGAAGUGGUGUUUAAAAGCUUUUUUUUGUCAAUAAUUUGCCAUUCCUCUCUUGCCUUGGGUUCCAUAAACCCUAAUAGAAUGUGUAGAGCUCAAAUUGAGUCUUGGGUGUUGAUUGGGAGGUUGGAUAACUUACAUAUUCAUGGUUAACAUCAAAUCUAAGGUAUGAAUUCUUUAUUAGUGUUGAAUUCUUGAUUAUUUCACCCAAGACCCCAAAUGAUGUAAGGCAUGAUUAUAGCCCAAAUACGAUUGAUUAGCAUCAAUUUCUUGAGAGAUAUAACUCCUUAAUUGUAUUUGAACAAUGUGUUGGUCUUGGAAACUUAUUUUUUAUAAGUGGGAUCCACUUGGGGGAUUUUGGUGGCUUUUUUUACCCAGAUCACAAUGGUGCAACACGGGUAUUGAUAUGCUCGUAAUAAUGCAUAGAUUUUAUUUUUGAUAGCUUGGCUCAUUGAAGAAGAUUAGAUGAGAGAAAAAGUAAAGAUUGUUGGUUCAUGAGCUAUAUUUGGAUUUGAGGUAGGUUAGGCUUACUUAUUGUUAGAUCGAGCCUUUUAAUAGUAUGACUUUGAUAUCUUCAUAAGAUUGGGUGGGGUUUUAUGUGUUUAAGUGGUAGAUGAUAAUGUCGAGUUUAGUUGAACCACUUUAGGCUAUUAAACUCAUAAAGUGUGGUACUUGACUUAUAGUCUAGAACAUCAGUUAGUUGGACUUAUUAUCUCAUGAAUAACAUGAGAAUUCUAUAGUUUCUCUAGUUAGAUGGGAGUGACUUUGUCAUUCAUAUCAAAUGGUAAUUUAACCUUAGUUGUGCAUAGUUAUGGAGAUUUCCCUAGUAGUUUGGGUGGAUUAAGAGUAAUCCUAAAGGAAGGAUUUCACCAUAGGACUAGUGUGGAAUGAUAAAAUUUUAAAACAUGAUUUAAAUAGAUUAGCUUUGUUCCAGGUAGAAGUUAGACUUGAAGAGGAAUUUGGGCUAUUAGAAGCAGGACUUGACCCACCUUAAGCUUGGACUAUGUAGUUUCAUAAGUGACCUAGAUACUUGUUAAAUGCAUAGAAUAUGCCUUGGGUAAUAUGAUGGUUACCCCAGGUAAAUGAUUUAUUCAUCAUGUAGGUAUUGGAAAUGAUAUGCAUGAUUGAUUGUUAGAUUAUUGAUAAUGCUUGGAUAGUAAUGAAUUGUCAUAUAGAUUGAGCACAUGAAUACGCUAUCCCUUAAAUCAUUAACUAAAUUAUCAUAUGUGUCUUAGAUUAUGCUAUUACUCAUAUUAUGUUCAAGCCUAGUGACUAAGCUAAUGUUUUUUCUAAAGAUACUCUUGUGCUAAUAAUGUAAAUUAUGCUAAUAAAGAAGGGAUCUAGAACAUAAACUAUGGCUUGUAUUUGAAAAUACUUAUGACAAUGUUAAGCCUGAUAAAGUAUCGAGUUCUCAUACCAUAUGAAUAUAAUUGUUCAUACUCCUAGUAAUAUAUUAUAUUGACAAUGAAUGAUAAGGUAUGAAGUUAUGUCUUUUCUUAUAUCUCUGUCACCCAUCCCCGAUGGGGCUUACAUUUACUAUGGAUUUGAUUGCACAUAUAUUGAUGUUAUGAUGAAUAUUAAUGUUAUGAUGAAUAUUAUUGUUAUGGUGAAUAUUGAUGAUAUGAUGAUGCCCGGUAAGUCUAGAGGAUAUAUUAAUGUGAUGAUGAUGUCUAGUAAGUCUGAAAAAUAUAUUGUUGUUAUGAUGAUGCUCGGUAAGUCCAGAGGAUAUAUUGAUGUUAUAAUGAUACCUGGUGAGUCCGGAGGAUACAUUGAUGUUAUGAUGAUACUAGCUGAGUUCGGGGGAUAUAUUGAUAUUUUGAAGAUACCCAGUAAGUUUGGAGGAUAUAUUGAUGUUAUGUAUUGAAAACAUGUGUAUAUAUGUUUAUGUGUGCUUACACCUUUAUAUGAUUACAUCCCUAGGUGCUUUAAAGAUAAGAUGUUAUACUUGGGAUGUCGGUUAUAAUUAUUCGAUACUAAUCACUUCUUAAGCGGUGUUGUUCUUGCUAGAGUUGAAUGGUGAAUAGAAAUAGUAUAUGCCGAACAAUAAAUUAGGACAAGUUGGUAAAUGGGAUAUUGUGUGGAAUUUGAGGAUUCACCUAGUGAAUUUAGGUAUCCUUGGAUAAAUGGAUUGAUUAAGAUAUAUUGCUUAUUUAGAUGAGUUAUAUGGUGACUAGUUGACUACUACAUGACUAUCUUACUUGAUAACUUAAAGUCUAGAAUUCUAGUUAUUGAUCCAAUGGUGGUUGAAAUGUGGUAACUAACAAUUGUAGUUGUUGUUUGGUUAAUGAAGAUAAUUAGUUAGCAUUGGUGAUGAUUAAUGACAUUGAUGUAUAAGUCAUGAUGUCGACUAGCUAUAAAUUGAGGAUUUGUAUAUUAAUAAUGCUAGAUAUGAAAAGACAUUAAUGGUUAGAUAUAUAAGUGUUUAAUGAUGAUUAGUGGCCUUUUGCUAGUUGAUGACUAGUGCAACUAUUAUGACUUAAAUUGAUCUAGGGCUAAAUGGCAUCUAUGGUCUAGUAGUGAGCCUUGACUUGAUAUUGGAUGUUGGUUAUUUAGCAGAUAAUGUCUAGUUGAUAUCCUGUGAAUAAGGAUUGUGCAAAGUAUCGAUUAGUUUAAUAAUUAGAGGUCAUUGUCUUGAGGUUAGAGUCCUCUUUCUCAAAGUAUCAAUUAGUUUAAUAAUUAGAGGUCAUUGUCUUGAGGUUAGAUUGUGCAAAGUAUCCGUUAGUUACUCCAUCAAUACCUUUUCUCAAACCACCUAUGUCUUGAGGUUAGAGUUCUUUUUCUCGAUAUAACCUAAACGGUGGAAGGUUAGAGUCCUCCACUUCAUGGUUCAUAUUUGAGUUCUUUGAAAUUCAUGCUAAAGGCUUAUUAUCAUUUGACUCUUGAUGUAUCCAUAUGUAUUUAUAUACCUAUUUGUAUAAAAGUGAUGACUUAUGAUGGUAUUACUUGGUAUUCAAUAAAGACAUUAUUUUAUCCUUACCCUUGAGUUACAUGUUAGUGCUGCAACCGCUAACCGUCUCCCAACAUCGUGUCCCCAUGUAACACAAGGUUCGAAGCAUCUUCUUCUCUUCCUACGCAAUUAUUAGGUGUUUGGGAAGUUCGAGUGUUGACAUCAAAGUUGUGAGCUUCCAUCCUUAUAAAGACACAUAUUUUAUAGUCUUCUUAGCAUAUGUCAUAAGAUUAUUUAGGAUUAGGUUUUGGCUAUUGUCAGGGGCUUGUCCCGACAUAUUAUUACUUCAGAUUUAUAGAGGCUUAUGGAUGAUUCUGGACUUAGGUAUCUUGUAUUUUGAAUGUUAAUAUAAAUGAAUGGCUAGAAUUUCUUAAGGUAUGAUUGUUAGUGUUGUUUCAUCUAUCUUAUUAUAUGUUCAAAGUUUAUUCGAUGCUUGUGGAAUGAUAUGAUUGUGGAAUGAUAUGAUCGUUUGUAUGCCAAGUUCUCUAAGUGUGAGUUUUGGUUAAAGGCUGUGACUUUUCUUAGUCAUGUUAUCUCUAGUGAAGGGAUCAUGGUGAAUCCACAAAAGGUUGCGGUGGUUUAGAAGUGUCCUAGACAUGCGACUCCAACUGAUAUUCAGAGCUUUUUGGGUGUAGCCAAUUACUAUAGUAGGUUUGUGGAGAGUUUUUAAAUAAUAGCUUCCCUAUUGACUAAGUUGACCCAGAAAAAGUUCAAGUUCUUAUAGUUGAAUGUGUGUGAGGGUAGUUUUGAAAGAUUGGUGGAUAAAUUGACUUCGGCUCAAGUUUUGACCUUGCCCGAGGGUAACGAUAGUUUUGCAGUAUAUUGUGAUGCUUCUCGUAUUGGGCUUGGUUAUGUGUUGAUGAAACAUAGUAGGGUGGUGGCCUAUGCUUCUAGGGAAUUGAAAGUUCAUUAUCUCAAUGGUGUACAUGUUGACAUAUUUUCUAAUCAUAAUAUCCUACAGUAUGUGUUUACUCAGAUAGAGUUAAAUCUUAGGCAUAGGAGAUAGCUUGAGUUGUUGAAGGACUACGACAUGAGUCUCCAUUACCAUCCAGUUAAAGCUAACAUUAUUGUUGAUUCUCUUAGCAGGUUAUCCAUGGGGAGUUUGGCUCAUGUUGAGAAGGAUAAUUGUGAGUUGGUGAAGGAUAUUCAUCGAUUGACUAGGCUUGGAGUUCAUCUCUCAGACUUAGAGAAUGGUGGUGUAUUCGUGCAUCCAGUAUCACAGUCAUGUCUUAUGGUUGAGAUUAAGGAAAAUAAAAUGUUGGAUCCCGACUUGGUGAAGAUUAAGAGUAAUGUGGGUUAACAAAAGGUUGUUGACUUUGUGAUUGGUGUUGAUGGUAUCUUGAGGUACUAAGGUAGGCUAUAUGUUCCCGAUAUCAAUGGAUUGAGGGAAAGGAUUAUUGCUAAAGCUCAUGGGUCUCAGUAUGCCAUUCAUCCAGCUUCUACAAAGAUGUAUCAUGAUCUUAGGGAGUUUUAUUCAUGGAAUAAUAUGAAACGAGAUAUGGCUAGCUAUGUGGCUAAGUGUAUGGCAUGCAAACUAGUAAAAGUUAAGCACUUGAGAGCCGAUGGUUUGUAUCAAGAGAUAGAGUCACCCAAAUUGAAGUGGGAAGUUAUUAAUUAGAUUUCAUCACUGGUAUUCCUCGGUAUCGAAAUUAAUGUGAUUUGAUUUGGGUCAUUAUGGAUAGAAGGACCAAGUCCUCUCAAUUCUUGCCGAUAAGAAUGAGUUAUUCGACAGUGGAUUACGCUAAGUCGUAUCUUGUGUAGAUUGUGAAAUUGCAUGGUGCUCCAAUUUCUAUCAUCUCAGAUCGUGGUACUCUAUUUUCAUCUUAAUUUUAGAAGUUAUUUCAAAAAAGUUUAGAAACUAAGGUGUGCCUUAGUACCUCUUUCUACCCGCAAAUGAAUGGACAAGUAGAGAAUACUAUCCAAAUAUCGGAAGUUAUGUUGCAUGGUAGUGUGAUUGAUUAUGGUGGUAGUUGGUAUGACCAUUUUCCUUUGAUUGAGUUUUAUUAUAACAAUGGUUACCACUCUAGCAUGGGUAUGGCUCCUUUUAAGGUGUUGUAUAGUAGGAGAUGUCGAUCUCCUAUAGGGUUGUACGAGGUUGGAGAGGGGAAGUUUUUUGGCCCCGAUUUGAUUCACCAAGCCUUGGAAAAGGUGAAGGUGAUUCAUGAUACGUUGAAAGCUUCUCAAAUCCUCCAAAAGUCUUGUGUGGAUGUUAGGCAUAGGGAUUUGGAUUUCAAUAUUGGUGAUUUGGUAUUCUUGAAGAUAUCUCCCAUGAAGGGAGUAAUGUAAUUUGGUAAGAAGGGGAAGUUGAGUCCCCGAUAUGUUGGUCUAUACUUGAUUUCGAAGAGUGUUGGUAAUGUUGUCUAUGAAUUAGAGUUGUCCUCUAAUUUGAGCUCCAUCCAUCUAGUGUUCCAUGUGUCUAUGUUGUUAAAGUGUACAGACGAUCCUUCAUUGGUUGUGCCCUUGGAGGAUGUUGGUAUUUCAAACUCUUUGUUCUAUGAGGAGGUCCGGUGAGGAUCUUGGAUCGGUAAGUUCGCUGGUUGCAACCAAAGAGGUGGCUUUAGUAAAGGUUCUAUGAAGAAACCAAAUGUCAGAGAAAGCUACUUGGGAGGCGGAAGAGGACAUGAAUUCCAAGUAUCCUCAUUUGUUUUCCAUUCCAAAAAUUUGUGCUUGAGGUAUUAUUAAUCUACUUAACUUGAUUUAUGUCUUUGAUUGGCCAUGGAUUCAAGUCCUUAAACAUUGAAUUGAACAAAUGUUUUUACAGACAAUGGGUUAGAGUCCCAAAGUCAAUUAAAUGAAUGGAUAAUUGAUAAAUUGUUGUGGCAUGUGUUUUAUCCUUGUCAUUUGUCUUUGUUUUCUAACUUGGUUAAAGAUGAGUUGGAUUUGUAAUGAUAUGUUAAAUCAUGUGUCAAACUUUCCUUGUCCGUCAUUCAAGGACGAAUGAUCCAAGUGGGGGAGAAUUGAAACACCUAGGCUUUGGAUCCUUAAAACAUUUCCCUAAGAUUUGAGGUUCUUGGUUGGGUACGGAUUAAGCAUACCAAUCAUAUGCUAUGGUAUGACUAAUACCCUCUCCUCUCAUAUAGAGACUAGUCUAGGUUUUUAACACAAUGUCUAAGACACGGUUUAGACCCUUCCUAGUCGUAUAUUAUGGAACAGGUCAUAUACUACCUAGUUGUAUGAAGUGUUGGUCAUGAUCUAGUGGACACUGACUUGGGUAAAGGUUUCUUGGUAACAAUUGUACCCUUGGAUAUGAGUCACUCUUAGGUAGUCGUACCUUGGACAGUUUAGUGGUCCGUGGUAAGGCCUAGGGUAUGAUUUAGGGUACCACUUGUACCCUAAGGUAUGGUUUAGACAUAGAGUCGUACCCUCCUGGGAAAUCAUUUUACAACUUUUAAUUGAAGAAAUUUUGGACAUUUCCCACACCUAAACCCUUAUAAACUACAAUUUAUAACCUCAUUUGGACCUUCUUUCUUCAUAUAUACAAGUCAAAAACAUCCCAAAAAACUCUCAAAACUUCCUCACCAAGAUUGGAGCUAGGUUUUUAUGAGUGUUCAUCGAAGGCUGUGGGGGUCAAGAAUCCUUCCGUGAGUGAUCUUUUACAAGGCAUGUGGCUCUUCCCCUAUCAUUAUUUCUCAAAUAUCGUGUUAUUUAAACAAUGUUUAUGAAUUAUUAAUGAUGAUUUUUGAAAAAAAUGUUGAGCGUUUUCAUGUAUAGUGAUGGGUAAUGUUUUCCCUUAUUUAAACUUGUGAUUAUACAUGUUUUGGUGAUGGGUUCCACAUGCUUGUUGAUUGUGAUUUAGAAAAUAGUUCAAGAGUAACCCUAAUAUUGAUGGUUUUCACUUGGGUUUUGGUCAUUAAGAAGUGCCCUCAAGGUGUUUGUGAAAAUGUCUACUAGAAUUAAUUAGUCACUUGCUGAUGGUGAUUUGAACUAAGGCAAUGGAUUCAUGAGUAAGAACGAUUGGUAAAUGAUCUUUCAAAGGCCUUGUUGGCUAUGUAAUGAGUUAAGUGAUGCCCAUGGUGGUUUAAUUGGUUUAAAGUGUUAGAGUCCCUACUAUGAAAUUGAAUUUUGUAUGAAUUAAUGCUUGGUGUAAGAAUGCUAAUGAAUAGUUUGAUAAAGGUCUUGAUGACCACAAUUUGGCAUGAAGGAUAUUUGAAACUAAUUCAUUUUCUUGUUAAAGUGAUUGAUUAAUAUAUGUUUCAUGAAGGCCUUGUGGUCAUGUAUGGUGUUGAUUUAUGGCCUUGGUGGCUUGAAAUGGUUAUAUUGGUUAGAGUCCCCAAAUUUGAAUGGUGUGAUGUAAAUUCAUGGACAAUGGGUUAGAGUCCCAAUGUCGACUUGUAAAGGACGCGAUGGCUUGUGGUUAGAGUCCACAUGCGUAAUGAAAUGGCUUGUGGUUAGAGUCCACUUGCAUAACGAAAUGGCUUGUGGUUUGAGUCCUAUGCAUCAUGAGAUGGAUUAUGGUUAGAAUCUAAUUGACUAAUGAAAAGGCUUGUGGUUAGAGUUCACUUACUUAAUAAGAUGCCUUGAGGUUAGAGUCCUCUUGCUCGAUAUAACCUAAGUGAUGGAAGGUUAGAGUCCUCCACUUCGCGGUGCGUGUUUGAGUGCUUUAAAAUGCAUGCUAAGGCUUUGUUAUCUUUUGACUCGAUAUAUCCAUGUGUAUUUACAUGCCUAUAUGUAUAAAUGUGGUGGCUUAUGAUGGUAUGAUUUGUUAUUGAAUAAAGAUAUUAUUUUAUCCUUACCCUUGAGUUACAUACUAGCGCUCCAACCACUAGCCAUCUAUAGAUGAUGUCUUCCCACGCAACACAGGGGAUGGAGCAUCUUCUUCUCUUACUGCAUAGUGAUCAGGUGUUCGGGUGGUUUGAGUGUUGACUUCAAAGUGGUGAGCCUCCAUCCUUCAAAAGGCACGCAUUUCAUGGUCUUCUUUGCUUAUCUCAUAGGCUUAUUUUGGAUUCAGUUUUGGCUAUUGUCGAAGGCUUUUCCCGACAUUUUAUUGACUUUGGAUUUAUAAAGGCUUGUGGAUGACUGUGGACUUGGAUAGAUUGGAUGUUGAAUGUUCAUUUAAAUGAAUAGCUAGACUUUCUUAAGUAAUGAUUAUUAGUUUUGUUUCCCCUAUCUUAUUAUAUGUUCGGAGUUUAUCUGAUGCUUGUGGAUUGAUUUGAUAGUUAGGUGGGUUAAUGAGGCGAUUUUUGGUCCUUGUUGGGAUUGAGAUGCCCAUACGACAAGGCCCAAUUUCGGGUCGUGUCAUCAAGACAACGUUGUUGUCUCAUAUUAUGAUCCCAUAGAUUGAGAACAACUAAAGGCUAUGAUGAUGAGAAAAUCUCACAAGGUACUGCAUACAAGUAAUAACACUAUAACUUCAUCACAAACACCACAAUUGUCAACUCCAAGUCAUAGGUCGGGUAAGUUCUCGAAUGAGGCUUCAACUAACGAGAGGAAUAAGAAGUUACUUUACCCUUCUACAUCAACACCUCACUCAAACCAACACUAGAAGUAUCACAAAGCACAAUAAAACCCAUACCUUCCUUGGGCAAGGUCAAAAUAGGAGACAAAGUCAACAACACUUAAAGCUUUUGGAAGCACUUCUCACACACAUUUGACCACUAAAAUACCACCUUUUUUUUUAUUCAACUUUUUCAAAGAAGCUUCAAUAGAUGAGAAACCCUUCAGAAAAUACUGAUAAUAACCCACCAAACUAAUGAAACUCCGAAUCUCUGUAGGAGAAAGAGGUCUAGACCAAUAACAAAUUGCUCGUAUCUUGGCUGGAUCAACCAUAAUACCAUCCUUUGUCACGAUAUGUCCCAAGAAAGAGAAAAACUCCAAUCAAAACUCACACUGGGAAAACUUCUCAUACAAUUUCUCAUCACAUAAACUCUAAAGUACAAUCCUCAAAUUCUUCACAUGAUCGGCCCCAUUCUUCAAAUAAAUCAAGAUGUCAUCUAUGAAUACAAUCACAAAGGAGUCAAGAUAUAGUGAAAACAUUCGAUUCAACAACUCUAUAAAUGCUAUAGGAGAAUUUGUCAAGCCAAAAGACACGACCGAGAACUCAUAAAGAUCGUACUGAGUCUAAAAAGUCAUCUUCGGUACAUCUAAAGCUCUAAUCUCUAACUAGUUCUACCUAGAUCUCAAAUCAAUCUUGGAAAACAUCAAAUCACCCUAAAGUUGGUCAAUAAAAUAAUCAACAUAAGGAAUAGGAUACUUUUUCUUAACCGUCACUUUGUUCAAUUGUCUGUAAUCAAUACAAAUAUGCAUACAACCAUCCUUUUUCUUCAUGAAAAUGACAAGUACACCUCAAGAAGAUACACGUGGCAUGAGGAACCCCUUACUCUAUAAAUCCUGCAACUACUUGGGCCAUUCUAUAGGGAGGGAUGGAAAUGGCCUAGAUGCCCGGCUCUACACUAAUUGCAAAAUUUAUAUCAUGAUCUGGAGGUGUUCCAGGAAAAUCCAUAGGAAACACAUCCAUAAACUCACGAACAACUCGAAUAGAAUUCAUAGGACGUGGUGAGUCAACACUAAUACCAUAGACAUAAGCCAAAUAAGACAAACACCCCUUCUCUACCAUGCGAUAAGCAUGUGGAAGAGAUAAAAAUCCUUCGGACCCUAAUCAAGCAUAGUCUUCUAAGCUAACCUCUAUACACCCGAUGUAGCUAAGGUCAUAAUCUUGGUGGAACAGUCCAAAAUAGCAUGAUAGGGAGCUAACAAGUCCAUACCCAAAAUAACCAUAAAAUUAACUAAAUCUAGAACAAUCAAGUCUACCCAAAUAUCACGGUCUGCAAAGGUAACCACACAAUAUUGGCAUACUCGAUAUACCUUUAAAGAACUCAUGCAAGGGUAGAAACAUGAAGAGCCAUAGCAAGGAGUUUAUAUUAAACAUCAAAUAUGGAAGAAAAAUAUGUAGAAAUAUAGGACAAUAUAAACACAGGGUCAAAUAACACAGAAGCAAAUAUGCUGCAAAUUUGAAUGAUACCUAAAUAACUAUAUUAGAAGCCUCUACCUUGGGCCUUCCAGGUUUAGCAUAAAAUUGACCAUGCAUGCUCUAGGACUAAUUAGCCCUACCACCACCUCCAUGAUCUCCCCUACCUCUACUUCUAGUACCUCUAGGACCACUAGCACCACCUUUACUACUUUGUGAUCCAUCUCUGAUUAUAGAUAUCAAAGUAGGAUAAAGCUGAAGUUGAGAACCCUAUUGAGUUGGUCCAUACAACCGUCUAGGUGUAUCCUUGGCUACUUGGAAAAGCCCAUCACAUAUAAAAAAUUCCCAACAGCCUGAUUCAAUCUAAGAAGGUAAGGAUGAAAAUGAAUGACCACCCUGGCUUGAAGAACCUAUUGGAUAACCUCCACCUGUAUGACCAAAACCAAAAGCCAUAAAACCUAAAGGCCUCUUACCUAAUCCCUGUGAUGUGUAGCCCAAACCGGCCUACCAUGAUAACCACAAGAACCUCUACUAAAGAAAUCACCUCAAAAGAUGUGUCCGCUAAACUCGCCAUAGUGACACACCCUCUUUGUACCUUCUUGAGUAACCUAGAUAAUAAACUUGGUCAUUUUGGAAUGCUCAAUAAUAUGCUGGAAAGAAGCCCCUAAAACUACCAUUUGGGUUAUAGCAAACUAAUCUAAAUCAUCUAACCCCUUCAUAAACUUCUGAAUCCUCUAAGACUCAGUGGAGAUUCUAGUGACUAAAUAACUACAUAAGAUGGGAAAAUGAGCCUCAUACUCUACAAUAAACAUGAAGCCUACUUUAAGUGAUCAACCCACCAUCAUCUAGUCUCUCAAGCUAUACAAUUCAAACCUUACCAAGAUGGCCUCAAAAAACUGACUCUAAGUCAGAGUAGGCAAAACCAAGGGCCUAAAACUAGAAAAUGACCUCCACUAAUCCCUAGACAUAUCCAACAACUGAUAGCUUGUAUAAGAAACUCCAUGAGAUUCAAGGGAUCUAAGAUUAUAUAACUUCUCAUGGUAAUAAAUCAAAAACUUGCAGACAUCCACAACAAUGGCUCCACUAGACUUGUGUAAAUCCAAGUAAAUAAACCAUUCAAAUUUCUUCUGAUCAUUUGAAGACAUAGUUAUACUGGUAGUAAUCGGAUUCAUAAAAAGUCUAGCAAGCAAAGAAUCUAUACAUGGGGUACCAUAGAUGAUGGUUGCACCCUAAAAGUAGGAAUACCAUAAGAAAAUAUUUGAAUUGACAGUGUAAUAUCACUAAAAGUCUGAGAAAUACCAUAUACACUCAGGUUAACACCCUCUGAAAGACUUAAGAGGCAUACCAAAAGACAUUGAAGCACUGCAGUGUCGACUGAACUCUAAGGAACCUUAGCUAGCCCUGCGCCACCUUUUUAAUAAUUAUCCUUGAAAUACACAAACUUAGGCUCAAGGAGAGGCCUCCAUAGCAUGUCCUUUAGCUAAGGUAGAUCUUUGCUCCCAUGCUAUACCUUUAGGUCAACCAUGUCCUGUGCCCCAUCCUCAUACUAGGAUUCUCAUAUUGGGUGCCGACUCAAUAUCUCUAGCCUCUCUAGAACUAGUCCUCACUAUCUGUACAGAAAAGAAUGGAAUACAAAUUUAGAAAGUUGGGUCUGAACAACACACAUAACAAGAAAUCAAAUUAAAGAAGUUUUUUCUAAAUAUAUUUUAUAGACACUCAAAGAUAGAUACAGACAUCUAUGUACCAAUAUGCAAGACUCUACUAGACAUCUUUCUCUUAUACUAGGACUGUGAGCUUAGAUCAUAUAUAAUAAUUUGUCACAACCAAAAAAUGAGUCCAUGAUGACACUUAUAGUAGACCAACCUUAACAAGUAAACUCAUUGAUGAACGGUGAAUUUACCACUUAUUUGCACUCAAAAUUCAUGCACAUUACCAUGUUUUAAAUGAAUAAACAAGACAUAUGCAUGAUUAAAUGCACUAAGAUCAACAUUUUACAAGCAUCUAGGUUAUAAUAUGGAAAGAUGUGGACUUAGGCUAAAAUGGAUCAAAUAAACAAAAAGAAUGUGCAGCUAGAAGACCUGGAGUAGAAACAGGCCUCAGUUAUCGAGAUCACGGCUUGAAGGCUACAAUUGCAGCUAGUCAAGACAGUCAGCAACCAUCAUCGUGUUGAUCUAUAUGCGGUCACAGUCGCCAUGAUAAUGGAGAAUAUGGUGCAAUCGCGGUCACGUGGGAUUUAGCUCAGGGGAAGUUUCAUAAUUUUCAGCAGCCGACCCCAAAGCCUUAAAAGCUUAAAACCAUUUCCCAUUUUGGACAUUCUAGAGACUAGUAAUACUUUAAAUUUGAAAAUAAAACCCUAAAUUGGGCAAGAAUUGUAAAUUUUAUUUGGAAAUUUGGAUUUUAGUAUUUGUAAAGAAUGGAUGCCUUGAGCAACCCAUUUGGUAUAUAUUUCUUUCUUUUCUUCAUAAGUAGCAACUCUAACUAUCCUAAGGUAGCGAAAUUCCUUGUCGCAUAAGUAGCAACUUACAUGAUUUCAUCGCUGUCCUCCUAGUCUGUUAAUCUCUAGCUUUUGUUCUUUAGGUUUCCCUCAACUUCAAAUCCAUUUGUCGCCCCCAUAUACUGUAUUUUUGGAGAGCCGGAACUAGGGAUAGGAUAUGAUGCCACCUCUUCUAGUCUCAAUUGGUAUUCCCAUUAUUCAGUGAAGGCUCAAAGCCAUCUCCAUUCAUUAGAAACUAUCAAUUAUGAGUUCGACAAAGGCUAACCACCAGCAUCUUAUCUCUUUUCAUCCUUUCCAGUGGCACUAAUAGAAAGGAAGUACUUGCCAAUGAACCUUGACUCUCUACUCUCUCUCAGUGAAUCAAGAAAUCUAGUGUGGUCAGGAAAUUCAUAAUUUGGAUUUGAAUCCCAGGAUUGAGAGAUAGAUAUUCGCCAGGUUUGAUAUUUGAAAAUCCUUUGGUCUUGGGAUUAUGUUGAACUAAGGUGCAAAUUAAUUAUGGGUUAUGAUGUAUUUGUGUAUAUGCUAGUUAGAUGGUAAUGGGUUCUACUAUUGCUUAAUUAAAUUGGUUGGAAUUUGUGAGUGAAAGCCCCAAAUACCCACAUGGGUAUGUGGGUGAAAACCCCAUUCUCUCAAAAACCCAAACCAUCCUUGAGAAAGGGGUUUGGGUUAACAUUAGGAACUCUCAUCAUACUUUAAAAAGGAUGUGGGAACCAAGGCAAUAGUAUACAAUUAUUAGGUUUAGUUUACUGUUGCGACUCAGAUACACAUACAAGUGCACGCGAUGGUACAAGUAAUAUAGUGACUUAGACAGUCAGAUAUCAUUCCCACUAGGACUAAGCAACUCGAUAUUUACCCAACUUUUAGUUUUAGACAACAAGGUAUUAAGUGUUGUAAAGUAUCAGGAUGAUUGUGAAAUUAAGAAUAAAAAUAUAAAUUAAUAAAUAAAAAAAAUAACAAGUUGUGACUAAAGAAAAACAAGCAAUGGUUGUAAACAAUAAUAAAAAGAAUUCCAGGGUUGAGACUUUUCGACCAGUCAUACAAAUCUCUAUUUUUCAUAGCAGUCUAAUUGGUUAUCAAGUUGUUGAUUCACAAGGUUUAUGCUACGAUUUUGGUCUCCCAACCUCAAAUCUUCUAUCAAUUGAAUAUUGUAGCUACAAGUCCCAUAGAGAUACAACAAUUCUUCCAGAUUCAUAUAGUUAUCUUCGUUCAAUUGAACCAAACAAGGUUUCUAGGUAUAUCCCUAUCCUAGAUGCUAAUUAAAACCCCUUAUUUCAUAAAAGGAUAAGAACCUUGUUUCUUAAUUUCUUCGUUCUAUCCUAUGAUCUUCCUCGUAGGUUCACAUAGAAAUAUAGAUUUAUUAUAAUGGUGGCCACUCAUGAAAAUAGUAAGCUCAAGAAAUUAAGAACAACCUAGAUGAUAAUCCAAAAAGAAACUACUAUUAAAAAUAUCAAAGAGUAAUCAUGCUCUUGGCCACAACCCCAGAACAAGGGUGUUUAGCCAUUCAUGUUUGAAUUCAGCACCAAAAAUAAGUAAUUAAUCAUACCAAGAUUAAAUCUUCAAGUGAAGAAGUUCAAAAGAAUGUUUAAGAACCCUAAGGAGAGAAUUUUUACCUUUUUCCAUCGUUUCUAUGUUUGCCCACUCUUCCUUGAAAUUACAUUCAUGUUUUCCUUUUAUACUUGGCCAAAAUUUAGCCUAGGUGGAGUCAAGCAUGCAUCGCACACCGCAUAACGUAGCACUAGAGUGUGUGUCAUAUGCGGCAUUUUGUAGCAGUGAAUCGUGCGUUGCACGAAAAAUGCACGCACAUACUGGAAUUCAGCUUCAUAAAUUUCUCUAAGGCAUUGGACUCCUAAAGUGGGGCAUACGAUGCACGCAUAUUGUAUGGGCCCACUGACUUAGUCUCUGAAAAUUCGACUAAGGCAUGAAACACCUGAACUGGAGCAUGCCACACACGCUAUUCAUAUGCUCCCACUGGAAUUUGCCAUCAGAAUUUUUGUUAAGUCCUGGGACCCCUGGAAUAGGGCAUGCGACACACGCUAAUUGCAUUCCUCUACUGGAAACUGUCUCCAUGUAAAUUUCUAAGGAAAAAAUUCCAUUCCUUUCAGCUCGUUGCUCCGCUACCAAAUCCGACUCUCUGAACAUGCUUUUUAACUCUUUCUAGUGUCUGUAAUACUCCAAUUAAUUAACUCAUAGCAUCAAUCAUCAUGUGCUUCCCAUUGUGCAUCCAAUUUAGCAAAAACGCAUUAAUAAUUCAUCUUGCAUCACUAAUCAUGUUCAUUAUCUCAUAUCAUGAAAUUGCACACUAAACGCAAUGAAAAUACAAGUUUUAGCUCAUAAAACUAGGACUAUUGUGGAUGAAUAUUAGUGCUCAGACAUAUAAAUAUGCCCAAGAUUACCACCCCACACUUAGAACUUUGUUCAUCCUCGAACAACUACAAACAUGAUACCUCAUUAAGCUUCACCCUACAACCUAAGAGUUAUGCUUGCGUUGGGACUUAUUAUUUAUAACAAUGACUCAUCUCGAAACAUGUAAAAAAUACUUUCAUGCACAUGACAACAUGUUUCAAAUCACAUCAUCUUAAUAGUGGCAUCCGAUUCAUUGGUAAACUUAACCAAAUCACUCCAUCAAAUAACAAUAAGAAAUCUGGACUUUCAUCUGCAUGCACCUUCUCAAUAAGAAAGUUCCCCAUACCACUCACAAUUUUUUCAAUGUUUCUCAUGAGGGGAAUAUAAAAUUCAAUCACUCACUCUCAACCCAAAAAAAAUUCAUAGACGAUAGAUAAUGAACCAUAAGCUUUCCCUUAAUGUACUACUCUACUAAUAGUCAGAUGUCGAAACGUAGAAUCAAUUAGGUCUUUCAAAUGGUUGUAAUGUAGGCUAAGGGAUGGGUAGGACUAUUUAGAAAAUAGUGACUAAUCUCCCUAAGCACUUUAAUACAUGUCAACCUAUAACAAAAAUCAUACUUUAUCAACCUCGUUGCCACUCUUAUUACUUCCAAACAUCAAUUACUCCAUCCCAACUCUCAUCAAGCCGUUAACAUAAACUAUGGUAGGAGUAUAUAUUUCUUUUUCAUCACUAUUCACUUUUCAACUCUUUUUCACACCCAUUUACUGUUAUGCACCCCUAUCAUAGUCACCCUCAACUAAAGCUUUUCACCUUGGUUGAGAUGCACAAUGUUCAAAAUGGACCAGGCCUAAAAUAGGUUCAUUGUAACAAAAAUCGGGCUACAAAAACUGAAUUUUCUUUUAAUUUUUUCUAUCUCCUAACCAUCACGAUUAAUACACAAAUAACAACUUCUUUAGGGCUUCACUUUCACCUCUCUCCUAUUUCAAUUUCACACUCCCUACUUAUUUAAUUAUCUAUACUAAAGUGCUUUGGAGCUAAGGAUCUAAUCAAGGUCUAUCAAUGAAAGGAUUAAGCUACAUGUGAGGCUACCAAAUAAAUCAGGCUAUAGGCUUAAUGGAGCUAACUAGGGAUAUUCAUAAGGGUAGGUAAAUAAAGUCUUUACAAGUUGGCUAACAAAGAAAUGCCUAACUUACUUCCUACACCCAACACCCUUUAUUUCGCUUUCUAAACACACCGGCAAGUUCUAGACAUUCCUAUACAUGUAGAAUAUAAAUAAGUACUCACUCUCGUGGUGCAUACAAGGAAUCAAAUCAGAUCCUUAAGGUUCCCGAUCUCGUUCUUUGUCAAAUUCAACAUUAAGCCAAUCAAAUCAAACUACACUUGUUGGGAUUUAACAUCUAAAAACAACUCAUUCUUCUGUUUCAAAACAACUACACUUUUAGUCACAAAAAAAAAAAAAUCUUUCCCAACACACAGCAUUCCUCAAAGGUUGUAAUCAGGGUCUUAUCAAUUCUCAGCUUCUAAAAACCAACUCCCCUUAAGACAAUCGCCAUCCAUCUAUCAUAGGGGAGUUCAACUAACUAUGACUGAAUUGCCAAGGAGCACAAAAAUAAAUAAGUUAAACUAAAAUUGCCAAAAAGGUCAAAAAUAAGUACUUCAAACUAAAACAAUAUGUAAAAAAUGCCUUUAGGGAAAAUUGUAGCACAAUUUUAACUUAUCAACUUACUAACUAUUAUAGACAUAUCGUUCCGAAUAGCUAUAAUAUAGAAAAUCAUCCAAACAAUCCAAAAAAAAAUAAAAUACGAAGAUAAAAUUAUCUCAAAAGCAUAAAACAAAAGAAAGCAGAAGAUGAAUGAGAGUUCCACCACCCUACACUUAAAAUGAAGCACUGUCCUAGUGCUUGCAAAAUAAGCAUAGUAUGGAGUGUAAGAGACUCCCUGAUCACAUGCCAUCAAAUCUAUCAUCAUCUCCCAAAUCUAGAUCCUUAGCAUCCUCCUCAUCUAGCUCAUCAUCUGAAGGUUCUACAAAAUUAGGACCUAUAUUUAGUAUGAUCCUCAUAUGAUGACCAAGAGGAUAGUCCAACUCUACCACUCUAAUCUCCUGUGGAGUAGCAGGGUGCCCUCUAUUCCACAACUGCAGCAUCUAUAGCCCAAACAUUCGGGCUAUGAUCUCAUCUGUCCGAGUCUGUCGCUUGAGCAUAGUCAAUAUCAAACCGUAGGCAUCACUCCUCUUAGUGCGGGAUACAUCAAUGGACUUAGUGAUUACGGGAAGCCGAUAAUCCAUAGCCUCUUCUUCAAUAUCUUUAUUGCAUAAAAAUCUGGUCACUAGGCCCGUAAAACCAUACCUAUGCUCUGGAUUAAGCCUUACCUUCUUCAUACCUGCAAAAAUCACACUCCUGACAUUCACGUCGACAUCAUCUCACAUCAAAGCAUAUAUCAAACACACCUUUUCACAUGUUACAUUAGUCAUGUGAGUGGCCUGAAGUAAACUGCAUAGAAAAUUUUGCCCAUAUUUGGGCUUCCCUGUUCAUAUGACUAAAUGGUAAUUUUAGGUGAGUGUUGCUUCCUCUUUUGCAUAACAAUCUUGCUUCUGAACAAGUGCCACAUAAUAAAUGGAGGAUAUGAGUAUACGGUGGUUUGAUAUACAUCUAUUUUAGGGGCUCAGGAUCAACUUCUGGUGUCCCGAGGAGUACAUUCAAAGUAUGAGCAUUGAAGAUAAUGAUCUAUCCUCGUAUAUGCACUGUGGAAUCCCUAUCAUACGAGUACUAGUUAGCAUAGAACUCUAUUAUUAAGCUUAGUUUGCACUCGCACGACUGGUCAAAUAGAAACUGCAUUUGUAACUCUCUAUCCUUCGGACCAUGCAAGGAAAUUCCUUCAGAAAGUUCUCCCUGUUGAUGAAUUGAUCUUCAACAUACUUUGUCUUAUUAUGCGCUAAAUACCAUUUCCUUCCCGACUCCAACACCCCUCUAAUACCAUACCUCUGCAGUUGCUCAAAUGGGAUGGGUGAGGGGUGAGACACCAUAGCACUUUGUCUAUUUUUUUUUAGAGUCGACUCAGAUAAACCCACUUUAGUCUUUCCUUUCUGUUGGCGGGUAGACAUGGUACCUAUCACAUAAAUCAUAAAACACCCAUAUAAAAUAAAGCAAUUAUGUCAACUAGCAAACAUAAAGUAUGUGGUGGUAAGGCCACCCCACACUUAAUUGCUAGUACCUAUUUAUGGGUUCAAAUGACAAAGGUACUCAAAAUUUCCCAUAUAAAAGUCCAUAUAAACAAAAUUUCACACAUAUAUUCAAUCAAAUUAAAAUAGUUCAUCUGUUGUCUCAUUUAUAUCACAUAUAAAAAUCUGCCCUUUUGUUGUCGCCUCAACAUAUUUUUUGUUAAAUCAAAACAUACAGCUAUCAUAUCAAAUAGGUGAACAUGUUGCACUGGCAACCACUAAGUGUGUUGGUGUUGAAACACCCUACACGUAGUUGCUAGUACAAGAGCUUUGAUAGAAAAAAAAAUUGGGGUACUCAAAAUUUCCCAUUUGUCAAUUCCAAACCAGAAAAUAUCCCCCAUAUUACAACAAUUAUAAUCAACUUUCUUUUAAUAGCAAAGACUGCAUCCAUCAGUUAUUACUCCAAAUCAUCAUCACAUAGAUAGUCUAUAAAAGUAAUGCAAGAAUGUAUCACUAUAUUACCAUAAUUGACUAACAGCAACACAUGUGCAAACGGGGAAGAUAAUUUUACAUAACAUUUAACACCAGCUCAUAGUCAAAAUUACUUCACCCAUACUUUUACGAACAAAAUCACCUUCAUACACACUUCUAUACAAGAAAUCAAUCAUAUAAGGUUAUGAAUCAGCAUGUCCUUACAUUAAUGAAUGUGCACAACCUACAUGUUUUCUAAAUCACCAAGUGCAUCAUCAAAUUCCCAAAACACAAAGAACUUGCACCUUAACAUGUAGAGAAAGACACAUUUCUUCAGCUAUACAUGUGCAUAUAGCAAGAAUACUCUCACAGAACACAAGUAACUAACUAAACAAAAUCAAUAUACUCUCACCAGACUGAAUUAAUGAGUUAUCAUCAUACACAACCCAUACAUAAAAUCUGCCACAAUACUUUGUAAAUUAGAGGGUACUUACAUUAAUGACUGUGCACAAGGUAAAGGAUUUUCUAAAUCACAAAGUGAAAUAAUCAAUUUCCCAUAGGAGAAUAAGGCUUACACCUUAAUAAGUAGAGAGAGAUACAGUUUCUUCAAAAAAUAUCAUAAAAUUUCAUAAAAUCUUCAACAACUGAAGCUAAUCGUAGCAUUUCAGGCAUAUUACCAAGUAUAGAAAGCAGUACUUACCUUAAGAUUGGUGAAGAUGAUGAAAUCCUUGUAUGUGCAACCAAAGAAAAGCACACUUCAAAAAGGGAGAAUUUUACAAUGGGAACUUUAGGAAGGCUGCUAGGUUAGAAAGAUUGAAAGAGGAAUUGGGGGAUUUAAAGGGAUAUUUAAAGGGGAGUGUGACCCAAAAUUUAAUAUUAGGUCCUAAGGUAAAGCGAGUGUGUGACGCACAAUUUAGUGCACCAAAAUAGUGUGUGCGAUGCACGAUAAUCGCAUGAUACUAUUGGAUUUUGCAUUCUUUCAUGCACAAUUAAAUUUUAAACAUUGUGUUGGGGUAAUAUUGCAUCCUUUUUUCUUUUUUACUCAAACCUUUCAAUAAGGAGUAUGUUACUUACCUGAAUACGUCCCCUACUUUGUUUCACUCAUCUAUCAUUCAUCUCCAUUAUACCAUGUUUCUCAUUCCUGCAUGCUUAACCAAAAAAAAACUAAUGUAAGAAAAAUGGGUUGCCUCCCACACAGCACCUUAGUUUUGGUCGUGGCAUGACUCAUCUUUUUAUAUAUUUCUCUUUUCCUUUUAACAAGUAAAAAUUUAAGAUACCUAUUACAUUACAUUUGUGGUUGCCUCCCAAAUAGCGCUUUAUUUUACGUCGUGGCACGACUCAGCUCAGUCUCACUCAUCAGCAAAAGUAAUAGACACAUUGUUCUUAUCUCCAUGAUUAGCCCAAUAAUGCUUCACACAUUGUCCAUUCACCAAAAACUUCUCAGUUUUCUCUUUGUUCCACAGUUUAACUACUCCAUAAGGCAUCAUUUGUACCACUUAGAAAGGUCCAGACCACUUAGACCACAAUUUUCCCAAAAACAACUUUAACCUAGAAUUAAAUAGCAACACAAGUUGUCUGGGUUCAAACACUCUAUCUUGAAUUUUUCUAUCAUUCCAUCUCUUAGUUUUCUCCUUGUACAGCUUUAUGUUCUCAUAAGAAUUGAGGUAAAAUUCAUCUAAUUCAAUGAGCUGCAAUAAUCUCCUCUUCCGUGGGCUUCAUCUCAAGAUUCAACUUUUUAACAGCCCAAUAAGCUUGAUGUUCCAGCUCUACAGGUAAAUGACAGGAUUUCCCAUAAACCAAAUGAUACGGGGAGGUCCCUAUAGGUAUUUUAUAAGUUGUGUUGUACGCCCACAAUGCAUCAUCUAGCUUUUUGGCCCAAUCCUUACAUUGCCCAUUAAUAGUCUUCUACAAUAUUUGUUUUAUCUCCUGGAUGGAGACCUCAACUUGUCCACUCAUUUGUGUAUGAUACAUCAUGGCCACCUUGUUCCUAAAACUAUAUUUAUCUAAAAGAUUCUUAAACCAAGUAUUAAUAAAGUGCGUACCUCUGUCACUGAUUAUAGCUCUUGGAGAGCCAAAUCGAGAAAAUAUUUGAUUAUUCAUGAACUUCAAUAAUACUCUCACAUCAUUAGUAAGACAAGCUAUAGCUUCCACCUAUUUGGAUACAUAAUCAACUGCCACUAGAAUGUACAAGUUGCCAUUUAAUAGUGUGAAUGGUCCCAUAAAAUUAAUCCCCCAAAUAUCAAAUAAUUCCACUUCAAGGAUGUUGUUUAGGGGCAUCUCAUGACACCUUGAAAUCAUUCCCAACCUUUGGCAUUGAUCACAGCUCUUUACAAAAGCUACUGCAUCUUGAAACAAAGUUGGCCGAAAAAAAUGGAUUGCAACAUUUUUUUGUGGUUCUUUUGCCCCCAUAAUGGCCACCAUAAGGGGAUGAAUGACACUUUUGUCGUACUUGUGCAAAUUCAAAUUCCAGAAUACAUCUUCGUAUAAUACAAUCCAGACUCUCUUGAAAAGAUAAGGCUCGUCCCAUAUAUAAGCACGAGAAUCAUGGAGGAGUUUUUUUCUCUGUUGAAGUGUACUUUUAGGAGGGUAAAAGUUAUUUGCCAACAAAUUCAAAGUGUCCGCAUACCAAGAAAAUUCACACUCCUUUAUAUACAAUAAUUUUUCAUUAGGAAACUCUUCCUUAAUGUAGAGAGAGUCAUCAACAACAUGAUCAUAAGUUUCUAACCUUGACAAAUGGUUUGCAACUUGAUUUUAUGAUCCUUUAUGAUCAUGAACCUCUAAAUCAAACUCUUGUAAUAGCAAAAUUCACCAGAUCAAUCAAGGCUUUGGAUUAUUUUUACUAAAGAGAUAUUUGAUGGCUGCAUGGUAUGUAUGAACGAUAACCUUUGUGCCUACCAAAUAUGCUUUAAAUUUAUCAAAUGGAUACGUCACUGCUAAUAUCUCCUUUUUAGUGACUGUAUAAUUCCUUUAGGCAUCGUUCAAGACUUUACUAGCAUAGUAAAUAAAGGAAAAUACCUUAUCUUUUCUUUUCCCCAAAAUAGAUCCUACAUCCACAUCACUAGCACCGCAUAUCAAUUCAAACGACAAUUCCCAAUCCAGAGAAAUCAAAAUAAGUACUUCAAUCAGCUUCUUUUUCAGCUUCUCAAAUGCUUCUGUACAACUGCCCCAAAAUCAAACUUGGCCUCUUUUUCUAAUAGUUUGCACAUCGAGAUUGCAAUCUUCAAAAUGUCCUAAAUAAAAUACCUAUAGAAACAUGCAUGCCCCAAGAAGCUUCUCAAUCCCUUCACUGCCACUGGAUGUGGUAACUUUUCAAUUACUUCAAUUUUGACCCGAUCUACCUCAAGUCCCCUGCAUGAAACUUUAUGGCCAAGGACUAUUCCUUCCUUUACCAAAAAGUGGCGCUUCUCCUAGUUCAACACCACAUUUGUCUCUUCACAUAGAGGUAGGACUCAAUCUAAAUUCUGCAAAUAUUUAUCCAAGGAAUUACCAUAAAUAGAGAAAUCGUCCAUGAAUACGUUGACAAAUUCUUCCACCAUGUCAGAGAAGAUUGUUAUCAUACAUCUCUGAAAUAUCGCAGUCGCAUUACAGAGGCCAAAAGACAUAUGUAUGAAGGCAUAAGUACCAUAUGGGUAAGUAAAAGUUAUCUUCUCUUAAUACUCAAGAGUAAUGGUGAUCUGAUUAUAACCUGAGUAACCAUUAAGAAAACAAUAGUACUCUUACCCUACCAACCUAUCCAAUAUCUAAUAAAUAAAUAAAAUAGGAUAGUGGUCCUUCCUUAUGGCUUCAUUCAGUAUUUGGUAGUCAAUACAGAUUCUCCAUCCAGUCACCAUGCAAGUGGGAAUUAGCUCAUUUUCUUCAUUAGUAACCACAGUCAUCCCACCUUUCUUUGGAACAUAAUGUAUUAGGCUUACCCACUUGCUAUCUGAAAUUGGAUAAACAAUCCCAUUAUCGAGCCACUUAAUAACCUCUUUCCACAUUAUAUCUUUUAUCACUAGAUUCAAUUUGCGUUGUUGUUGCACCCUAGGUUUGAAACCUUCUUUUUUAUGUAUCUUGUGCAUGCAAAAAUUUGUAUUUAUUCCUGUAAUGUUAGAAAUUUGCCACCCGAUCGCCUUCUUUCUUCUUUUCAACACUAUCAUUACUUCCUGUACCUGCAUAUCAGAUAAUUCUACAGAUAAAAUAAUAGGUAAAGUAUCAUUAUCACCAAGGUAAACAUAUUUCAAGUGAGAAUUAAGAACCUUAAGCUCUAAUAUUGUAGCUUCAUUAAUUGAAGCUUUGGGGGAUGGACCAAUUGGCAUGUUCAAUGGCUCAAAAGGCAAUUUUCUUGUUUCAAUGAUGGCCGAAUUCAUGACUUAGACUAAUGCCAACUCUUCCACAUCUUCAUAAAGAUCAUGACCUACCAAAGCUUGCUCUAAUGGAUCUUCUGACAAUAACAGCCUCUAAUCAGACUCAAGAUCUAUAACAGAUAUGGCAGACAACUUCUCAUAUAUAGCUAGAAAUUUUAGCACCUUAUACACAUCAAAAAACUCCUCUUUAUUAUGCACUCUCAUUGUUAUUUUCCCUGCUUCUACAUCAAUUAAUGAUUGUCCCAUUGCUAAAAAAGGUCAUUCCAAAAUAAAUGGAACAACAGGAUCAGCUUCAAAUUUAAGAAUUAGAAAAUCCACCAAAAAGAUUAAGGAUCCCACGUGUACCAAGACAUCUUCAAUAACACCAUCACGCCUAGCAAGGGACCUAUUUGCCAACUGUAAAACAAUAGCAGUGGGUUUGGGACUCCUAAGACCCAUAUUUUGGUACCAAGAUGUGGGCAUAAGAUUGAUCCUAGCCCCCAAGUCACACAGUCUACGAGUGAUAAUGGUCUACCCUAUAGUGAUCUGCAAAGUGAAACUUCCUAGAUCCUUUAGCUUUGUGGGCAGUUUGUUUUGAAUCUUGGAUGUGCACUCCUCAGUAAGUGCGACUAUAGCAUACUCUGUCAACCAGUUUUUAUUUACAACUAUAUCCUUCAGCUAUUUCGUAUAUUUUAAAACACUCUACAAAAUGUCAAUAAGAGUAAGAUUUACGUGAACCUGCUUUAGAAGAUCCAAAAACUUCUUGUAACUCACCUCCUCUUGAUGCUUUCUUUCCCUUUGAGGAAAGAGUAAAGGUCAAGUCUUCUUUUCCACGUGAAUUUCAUCACUUGCCAUUUUUUCUUAAUUUCAUUCCCCGUAUUGUCUUUAGAACCAUCAUCAGUGACUGUGAGACUAACCUUCUCCUAAAUCAUCUCCUUUGUUUGCAACCCACUCCUUGUUGUAACCGUAUUCACCUAUUUUGGAUUUACCUCUGUGUCGCUAGUUAAUGCUCCUUGGGGUCUUGUAUUCUGUGCUCCUGCAAUUGACCAAGUUGCAACUCCAGAUUUUUUGUAAGCAACUAUUGACUCUUCAACUCUACUACAAACUGCAUUUGUUUAGUCUUACUCUCUACUGCAAACUAUGCUUGUUGAGCCAUAAACUGCUUCAUUAACUCCUCCAUAUUGCUAGCUAGAGCAGUAGCCGGAUUGUUCUGAGUCGGCUAUUGAUUUGUUUGCACUGGCCCCUUAUAAUGAUUUAUAUUUUUUACCUGAUUUCCACCCCAUAAGAAAUUGGGAUGGUUCCUCCUGUUGGGAUUAUAUGUGUUACCAAAAUUCUGUUGUCCUUGAAGAUUUGCAUUCCCUAUGUAGUUGACGGAAUCUGGAUCAGCCGUACAAGCAUCUAUUGCAUGCUCACCACUUCCACAAACGUCACACUAAGAAUUCACCUAUUGGACUACAUUAUCCAUAGUUGUUGUUUAUGUAACCCCCAACUUUAUGUUAUUAAGAUGAGUAAUCAUAUGAUUUUGCAUUGCUAUGAUCUGUGCUUGUAAUACAGUAAAUUGGUCUACCUCUAAUACCCCUAUAACCUUUUUAGGAGCACUCCUCAAAUCAGCAUGCCAAUCAGGGUUCCCUUAUGAAACCCAAUUCAGCAGUGUGUAUAAUUCUUCAUACGUCUUCUCAAGGGUCUGUCCACCAACUACUGAAUCCAAGAGAAUUUUCAUAUUUGUCUCCAAUCCCUCAAUGAAAGUAUGAACAAGAACAUCAUUAGACUGAUGAUGGUGAGAGAAAUUUUUGAGCAUACCCUUAAAUCUCUCCCAAGCUUGGUAGAGAUUCUCUCCUUCUUUCUGUCUAAAACUCAAGAUCUCGCUUCUCAAAUGUGCAGCCUUCCUUGAUGGAAAGAAUCAAAUGAGGAACUUCCAAGCUAGAUCUUCCCAUGAAGUGAUGGAGAGUGGUGGUUCAUCAUGUAACCACCUUUUUGCUUUCCCCAUUAGAGAGAAAGAAAAGAGUGUCAAUCUUAAAAAAUCAGAAUUUACCCCUUCAGGAAUGUAAGUAUCGCUUAUUUGAAGGAAAGUCUAUAUGUGUUGUUGUGCAUCUUUAUGUGAAAGUCCAUGGAAUUGCCCCGCUAAAUUCAACAAUUCCACCAUAUUCUUCUUUAAUUCAAAUCAACCACCUAGUUCGGGCUUGUGAAUACUGUGCGUCAGAUGGUUCGUGAGUGGGAUUGCUACCUCACGAAUAGGUCUAGCAGUUGGCUGAGCAGGAACAACUAGGAUAACCGAAGAUGGGACAUUUUCGACAUUUGGAUUGGCUAGAUCAUUUCUUUGUUCAGCUAUUCUUCGCCUUUGUUGAAAGAUUUGUUCUAGUUCUACAAAAGGCUCUACCAACUCUUUGUCUCUCGCCAGUCCUGUAUUUAGCUAAACCUUAAAAAAUUCAGCCGCUAAGAUCAAGUUGUCAACACUUAAUAUCAAAAACCAAACAUUUAUCAAUUUACUAAUUAUACUAGUCCAUGGCAACGGGGAUAAAAACUUUUUGCGACUCAGACGCACACGCAAGUGGACGCGAUUGUACAAGUAAUAUAGUGACUUAAAAAGUUAAAUAUAGUUCCUACGAGGACUAAGCAAUAAGAAAUUUACCCAACAUUCAGUUUUUGACAACGAGGUAUUAAGUGUUGUAAAGUAUCAGGAUGAUUGUGAAAUUAAGAAUAAAAAUGUAAAUUAAUAAAUAAAAAAUAACAAGUUGUGACUAGAGCAAAGCAAGCUACGGUUGUAAACAUUAAUAAUGAGAAUUCUAGGGUUGAUACAUUUCAACCAGUCAUACAAAUCUCUAUUUUUAUAGGAGUAUAAUUGGUUAUCGGGUUGUUGAUUCGUAAGGAUUUAGCAACGAUUUUGGUCUCUCGACCUUGAAUAUUCUAUCUAUUGAAUAUUGCAACCACAACUCCCGCAGAGAUACAACAAUUCUUCUAGAUUCAUAAAGUUAUCUUCUUGCAAUUGAACAAAACUAGGCUUCUAGGUAUAUCCCUAUCCUAGAUACUAAUUCGAACCCCUUAUUUCAUAAAAGAAUAAGAACUUUGCUCCUUAAUUUCUUCGUUCUAUCCUACGAUCUUCCUCCCGGAUUAACAUAGAAAUAUAGAUUUAUUCUAAUGGUGGCCACUCAUCAAAAUAGUAAGCUCAAGAAAUUAAGAGCAAUCCAAAUGAUAAUCCAAAAAGAAACUACUAUUAAAAAUUUCAAAGAGUAAUCAUGUUCUUGGCCUCAACCCCAGAACAAGGGUGUUUAGACACUCAUAUUUGAAUAACACCAAAAAUAAGUAAUUAAUCAUACCAAGAUUUAAUCUUCAAGUGAAGCAGUUCAAAAGAAUGUUUAAGAACCCUAAAGGAGAGAAUUUUUAGCUUUUUCUGCCAUUUCUAUGUUUUGCUCAGUCUUCCUUAACAUUACAUUCAUGUUUUCCUUUUAUAUUGGGCCAAAAUUUAGCCUAGGUGGAUUCAAGCAUACGUCACACGCCUCCAGUCGCAGCACUGGAGCAUACGUCGCAUGCUGUAUUUUGCAACAGUGGAUCGUGCGUCGCACGUAAAAUGCAUGAACAUACUAGAAUUCUGCUUCAUAAAUGUCUCUAAGGCAUUGGACCCCUGAAGUGGAGCACGCGAUGCACGUAUAUCGAAUGCUCCCACUGGAAUUAGUCUCUGAAAAUUCAGUUAAGGAAUGGAACACUUGAACUAGAGCAUGCGAAGCACACUAUUUACAAGCUCCCACUGGAAUUUGCCUUCAUAAUUUUGUUAAGUCCUUGGACCCCUAGAAUAGAGCAUGCGACGUACGCUAAUUGUAUACCUACACUGGAAAUUGUCUCCAUAUAUUUUUCUAAGAAAAAAAUUCCAUUCCUUUCAUCUUGUUGCUCCGCUACCAAAUCCAACUCUCCGAACAUGUUUUUCGAUUACUUCUAGUGUCCGCAAUACUCCAAUUAAUCAACUCACAUCGCCAAUCAUCAUGUGCUUCCCAUUGUGCAUCCAAUUUAGCAAAAACGCAUCAUUAAUUCAUCCUGCAUCACUAAUCAUGUUCAUUAGCUCAUAUCAUGCAAUUGCACACUAAACGCAAUGAAAAUACAAGUGUUAGCUCAUAAAACUAGGACUAUUGUGGAUGAAUAUUGGUGCUUGGACAUAUAAAUAUUCCCAAGAUCAUUUGCUCACUCUCACUAUCUUAGACAUAAGGGUGAUUUUAUAGUUGACUUUACCUUGGGUAUCUUCCUAGAAAUAGGGAUGCCCAAAUUGAGGUAGUGGGUGAAUAUGAUUGCCAUAUUUGUUAGGUACCCAAACGGGCCAACAACUGAAAUCCUUGAGGUUUUAUUGAGAAAUUAACCUCAAGGGUCCUAGACCUAGCCUACCACAUUAGUAACUUACUAGUAUGUGCACCAAAUCUCAUACACCCAUACCUAAGUUACCCUUAGGUAGACAUAAUCCCAAGAUUUCCCAAAUAUCAAGGUUAAAUCAAAAUUUGUUGCUUAAGUUUGUGGGAUCAAGUUUUUAGUGACAUACAUCCUUACUUGACAUUAUCUUAGUAGGACUUAAUUACCCAUAAGAUUAGAACUCUAUCUAUCACUCCUGUGGAUUCGAUCUCAACGAGAGUUAGGAUAUUGACAAUGACUGUCCUUUACUGCUUUAAAUGGUAUAUGCAAGCGUUAUUACUCAUCCCCUAAAAUCAAUAGAAAAUCUUAACAUAAUAAGUAAUAAGGCAAGAGGAGACUUCUAGAAUAAAGUUAGGCCAACACAAAACAUAAAUAAAGAAAAAGUCUGAAGAAGUAAUAUGAAACCCCAAAAUCUAGUUUGACAAAUGUGAAAGCAUCUAAUACAUAACAAAAUCUGAAAAUACAUAAUUUGUCUCUAGAAAUUAUAUAAAGACAAGAAUAAAGAUAUGAUGAGCUCCCAAAAGAGUAAAUCUAAAAUCUAGAGAGCUCUAAAGUCGCCAACUCAGCCUCCACGUGGCAUACUCGAGAUAGGAUCUUGUAACGACCUUCCAGGUCAUUUUUUGCAUUUUCACUCAUUUUCAUCGUUUAGAUCUCUCCUAUAGUUGGCCCAAGUUAUUUAUAACUUGAUGGAGCUGAUAGUUUGUGUCAAGACCCAAAAAUCAAGAUUUAUGAUGGAACUUGUCACAACAAGCCUUGACAAGUAAGUCUAUCAAACAAACUGAUACUAAAAGAGAAAAUAAAAAUUUUAACCCAAAGUAAGGCUUUUAGAACAAAGUUCAAUCAAACAAUAUAAUAAAAGAAGAAGAACAUAACAAAAGAUAUAACACCAUAAUCCUAAAACCUGGUAUCACAGUGUAAGAACUAACUGGUACAACUCAAGAUCCAAACACAAAAGAUAUUAAAAAUAGGAACAACUAUGUCUCUAAAUAUAAAAAAGACAGAAUCUAGAUAAGAAAAGUUAGUAGUCAACUUCGGACGCAUUAUAUUAAUCGCUACCUCAAAAAUCUCCAAAUGUCGUAUGAAUCAACCAUUAUAAGGUACACCCAAACCUAGAUCCAUAUCAAAAGGAUGUAGUAGGGGUGAGUACGAUACACUUUUACUCAGCAAGUAUCAUAGGCUGACUGAUCAAAGUAGAAAAUAAAGCAUAAAAAAUACAACUAGGGGAACAUCACUUGCAACCAGAAAAUGAGCCACAAUGGUAUCCCAUACCAUCUUCACUAACAGUUCUAUAAUAUUCGCAUAUACUAUGGCAACAUAAAAGUGAAGAAAAAAUAGACAUAUAUUACAUAAUAUGAAUAUAAAGGAAGAAAUAAACUUAGGCAGGUAUCACAUAAAGAAAAAUAAACACAUCACAAAAAUAUUCAAGGUAAAUACAAAUGCCAUAGAGAUGUUGAUAAUGAGGCUGAUGAUGCCCAAGGUUGUCAUACAACCUCUAUUUACCGAAAUAGGACCUAUUGAGGGUUAAUCAAUCUGUAUACAACUAGUAUCUAAUACCAAUAUCCAUAACUCCUCUCCAGCAUACCUUCAGUGGAAGGUUUUUAAAGAUGUCACAUUUCUGCCAGAAAAAGCUAGUGUUUCCAAUAUUUCCAUGGUGGUACUAAUGUUUUAUGAACGUGUAUGAUAUGAAGAUGUAGUGAUCACACCCAACCAUAAUGAAUAUUUCUAUAUCCAACAAAUAUACCAACCAAGUGAUCCAAUAAUCCACUCAAUAUUUCCAACCCUCAAUAAAAUCUAACAUAAACCAUAUGCCAAAAAAGUAAACUACAUCAAAAUAACAUUGAUACCACAUUAGUCUCUUUCAUUAGACAAGAUGCAACUGAUUUCUGAUAGACAAGGCCAACAACAUCAGAUAAGACCCCAUACGAUUACACAUAGUAAUUAAUAUUUAAGAAAUGCCAAAUAACAUCAAUAUAUAAUCCCCUACAUGGGUACAACACAAUAAUAUAUCGAUUUUUCAUGAUUAUUUCCCACAUCCUUAACAUGAUUUUGUACCAAUAUUAACUACCCAGCCCAAUCUGCAGAAAGUAAAGCCAUAACCAAACUUGAAUGUGGAAAACCUAUCCAAAAUCCUUCAAUUUAAAGUCUUACUCAUCGUGAACGGACUCAAAAUUAACUAAAAUAUACAAAUAUAGAAUCAAAACAUCCAACAAUACACACUAUUGCUUAUUUUUAAGUUAGGGUCUAAAUAGACCCCCAAAAUGAGAAUCUAAAAAGGAAGGGUAAAAUCAUAAUUUUGUUUUCAAAACAUGUUCCCCAUAUUUUUUAGGAGCCUAUAGUUGAAAACCCAAGCAAAAAUAAGUUUAAAAUGAGGUCCAAAUUGAAGAAAACCCAUGUUUAAGCUUUACCAAAAAAUUCCAUGAAAUUCAUUUUAAAAAUCAAGAAUUGAUGUUGUUUUGAAGAUUAAGUCAAAAGAAACUGAUAAUCUUAAGAUUAGAAACUCACCCAAGUUAAAACACUCUCAAAAUUAAAGUUUAACUCAAAGAAAUUCAAAUUUUAGACCUUACAGGCCAAAAUCCCCAAUUUCUGCCUUUUAAUCCGCAUUUAAAACAAGAAUUAAAGGGUGAAAUUGAAGAAAAGUUGUUGAAAUAGGUGUUAUGAAUCUUAUCCAAGAUUAGAAAUGGAUGAAAUUGCUCAAAAUCAUGAAAAUUUAAGCUCUAAGUCUCACAAAUGGUGAAAAUAGCGAAACAAGGUAUAUAUAUAUAUAGUCCAGGCAUUGCAUACGCAACCAGGUGUCGAAUACGCAGUACCUAGCCUAAUGCCACGUAUCGUUAUCAUGACCUAGUCCUUCUGUAUUCAAAACUCGUGAUCGUGACUGAGAUAUUGCAUACAUAAUACUCGUGCUUGAUAUAUUGAGUAGCAUUCGCAGCUACUACUUUGUAAAAGCAAGUGCACUAGCUAAGUGGUUCACCACUUGAGACUUGGACAAUUCUAAGUCUCCACGAACCCCUCAGGAUUCAUUUAGAAUCCCGUGAACACAAACGAACAAUGCUACCCUAUCAAAUUCAUGCUCCAAACUCAAUAACGUUAUCAAAUUUUUGAGAAAAUGUUAUUUUCACAAAGUUGACCCCCAAAACCCAAUUUUAAAACUUUUCAAACCGAGGGUUAAAAUGAGAUUUAAAAGCUAUAAAACCAAACCAACCAUGUUAUACCUUAAAAUUGACAUUUUGGUUCUGCUGGCAUAGUCCAUUUUGUCAUCUGAAGCACAGAUCAACAAAUGUUUACUGAAGUCAACUAUAAUUCUUUUCAACCCACCAAAAACCAUAAUUUCAUACAUAUCACACCAAAAUGUAUUGGGAAUCGUGCCAAGUAUCAUACACCCCAAAAAAUGCCAUAAUGCAACCACAAAGAGGGGUAAAAUGGACAAAUCAGACAAAAUGAAUAUUUCACAUAAGUCAUCAAAAAUUAGGUCGUUACAUCAUCCACCACUAAAAUUCUAGUUCAUGCUUGAACUAAAGGCAGAAAAUACCUGAAUCAACGUAAAGUUGGGAUAAUAACUACGCAUAUCAGAUUUGACCUCCCAAGUAGCCUCAUCUAUAGGUCAACGUCUCCACUGGACCUUAACUACUAAAAUAACUUUAGAGCGUAUCUACCUGACAUCCUUAGCCAAGAUGGAGACAAGCUCCUUAAGAAAAGACAACCUCUCAUCUAACUGAAAUGAAUCCCAACGAAUAACAUGAAACUCAUCCAAAAUGUAAUAACAAAGUAUAGAAAUAUGAAAAACUAGAUAAACAGCCGAUAAGGCUGGGGCAAAGCCACCUCACCAAAGUACAAAGAUUCUCAAAUGGGCCAAUAUACCUGGGGCUAAAAUUGCCCCUCUUCCUAAACCUUAUCAUCUUUUAUGGGCAAAUCUCAAAGAAAAACACGAUCACCAAUACUAAAUCUCAAGGCACGAAGUCUAUAGUCUACAUAGAACUUGUUCCUACUCUGAGUCGCUUGAAGUCUAACAUGAAUGAUCAAAACUCUAUCUAAAGACUCACGAAGCAAGUCCAUACCUCAAGGUCUACCCUCUAAAAACUCAAACCAACUAAUUGAAAAGUGACAAACUCUGUUAAGGCUAUAUCUUGCUCCCACUAACCACCAAAAUCCAUCAUACAAGCUCAGAUCAUAUCCUCCAAAACCUAAAUAGUUUGCCCUGACUAACCAUCAGUAUGGGAGUAGAAUAUUUUGCUAAAAUCAGCCCGAGUACCCAACUCAUCCUGAAAGGUUUUACAAAAAUGAGAUGUGAACACUAAACCUCGAUUUAAGAUAAUAUACAUUGGCAUACAAUAAAGAUACACAAUCUCAUAAAAAAUGAUACGACCUCUCAGUACUAAAAGAGACUUGAAUGGGAAUAAAGUAAGCAAACUUGGUAAAUUGAUCCAUGAUAACCCAAACACUAUCAAAACCAUUUAAAGUAUAAGAAAACCCAGUCACGAAUACCUUCGUAAUUCAUUCCCACUUCUACUCGAGAAUAGGUAACUUUUGAAGCAAUCCACUAAGCCUCAAUGGUUGACCUUCACCUGUUGGCAACAUAGGCAAUAAGCUGCAAAAUCUAAUAUAUAUAUCUCUUCAUACUACCCCACCAGUAAUGUUGCCUCAAGUCAUGAUACAUCUUAGUCACUUCCAAAUAAUAGAAUACUUUUUACAAUGAGCUGCCUCCACUAUCAAUCUAAUCCAAUCACCCACUCUUGGCAUGCAAACCUAGCCUCCAAUCCUGAUAAUACCAUCUGAAUUAAGUAAGGCUUUCUUAGCUUAAUUACUCAAUACUUUAUCCUGAAUCAGUAUUAAUCCAGCAUCAUCAAACUAAUAAGCUCAAAUUUGCUCCAUCAAAGAGAACCUAGCCUCCACGAAUGCCAAAACACACCUUAUUGUCCAAAUAUUAAUCCUAACUAUCUGGUUAGCCAAAGACCAAACGUCUAAGUCCAAGGGCUUCUCCUAGGUCAAAAGAUGUGCCAAGGUACCAUGCUAGUCGACUUUUGGCCAAGGUAUCUACAACUAUAUUAGCCUUGUUUGGAUGAUAGAGAAUAGUCAAGUCAUAAUCCUUAAGAAAAUCAAGACAACGAUGCUCCCUCAUAUUAAGAUCUUUAUGGGUGAAGAAAUACUAAAGGCUAUAAUGAUUCAAGAAAAUCUCACAAUAGACUUCAUACAAGUAGUGUCUCCAUAACUUCAAGGAAAAAAUAAUCACGCACAUCUCCAAAUCUUGGGUAGGGUAAUUCUACUCAUGAGGCUUUAACAGACGAGAAGCAUACAUAAUUACCUUACCCUCUUGCAUUAAUACAACAACUAACCCAACACCUGAUGUACCAUAAAAGACAAUAAGCCCACACCUUUUUUAGGCAAAGUAAGGAUAGGAGCAGAUGUUAAUAAAUCCUUGAGCUUUUGGAAGCUCGCCUGACAAGAAUUAAACCACUAAAAGGAAACCUUCAUCUGAGUCAACUUGCUAGAGCUGCAGUAGAUGAAAAAACCUUAAAAAAUAUCAAUAGAAACCUGCUAAGCCAACAGAACUCUGAAUCUCAAUGGGCAAAGUAAGCCUUGCCCAAUCAUGAACUAUUGCAAUCUUAGCUAGAUAAACUAAAAUACAUACCUUAUAUACAACAUAACUUAUGUGUUAUAAAAAUAUAGCACAUUCGAUGCUUAAAACGAGGAACAUAUGCAAGUUUCUGAGUUUAUUUUAUUAGAUAUUAUGCAUUUUUGGUAUAUUUUGUAGGAAAUCAUAUUUUGGAUGCUAAGUUUGUGAAAAAAUAUGAAAAAAGUUCUUUAGGCUACUUUUUAGAGUAAUUAUGGAUGUUCGAGACACUUUUUGUCUUGUCCAUAAGCAAAGAUGUUCGAGAUUGAAGAAGAGCUGAAAAAAAACUCCCGAUACUAAGUCAACAUGUGGACCACAAGUAGGCUAAGAAAGUGCUAGAAGUACAAAAUUGCAAUAGCUGACUUGUAGGAUUUUUUCAUUCGAUACCUGCACCCUGUACCUAUGCUCACCCUAUUGACCAUAGGUACUUCCAGGGUCAGGGUGCAAGUGUAGAUCAUAUGUAGCCACCGACCCCUUUUUUCUUCUAUUUUGUUUGGGCUUUGGUUUUAGGGUUUACUCUUGUACUAUAAAUACCCUUUAUGUGUUUUUUAGGAGGAGUUAUGCAUUUUUGAUACUCACAAACAUAUUUUGACUCCAAGAUUUGAUUUUUAUCUUGGGAUUCUCUUGUAUUGACUUCAGUUGACUAAUUCAGUUAUGGUUUUGGGUUUAUUACUUAUUAUUAUUGUGAUUUCAUCUAUGCCUCCAAUUAUGAAUGUUAUUGAUUUCUUCACAAAUAUGAGCCACUAAAAAAACCAUGGCUAGGGUUGUGGAAACCCUGGUAAACUGAUGAAGUAGGGGAAUUGCGAUUGUUGAAUUGAAUCGAUACCGAUGGCAUGCAUUGUAUUAUCUUUACUAUAAUAGAGUUCUUAGAAGUGUCCAAUGCUAUGAUCCCACCUAGAUUAUCGCUACUUACUCCACAAGAGGAAUAGUGACUAGGAAAAGAUAAUGACAAUGGUAAUUUAGAGUUUAGCUAUUGAUCCACACUACUAGGUAUUAUCUAUUUAAGAUGGUUAGACUUUAUCUAAUAACUAGAGACUUGAAAGGUAAUUGUUAACUGGGAUCUAAAUAAGAGUUGGUAAUGCGAUAUCCUAAGACUCAAAAGGUAAAGGGUGAAAUCUGUCUACUCAUCCAAAAAACUAUAGAUGGCACAUAACUUAUCAAUUUUCUAUGCAAGGUAUUGGGUUGGUUUAGCAAAGCACGAUAAGCCUACAGAGUUGAAAAGAUAGGGGGAACACAAUCCUAGUGUUCGCCAAUACUGAUCACAACCGAAGUCCAUAUUUACUCCUUGUUUGAUAUUGCAUUUCAAAUCCCCAUUUACUUUUCUAGUUUUUGCCUGUUGAUUAAAGUUGCUAAAAUCCACAAUUCCACAUAUUCCCUUGGUAUUCAACCCCAACCUUCACUGGGUUACUAUAUUUGACAACAACCAUAUCAUAUUCUGAGAGGAGGUGUAGCUUAGACGUUAUCAAAUUUCAACACUGUUGUUGGGGAUUACAAUGUAGAUUUGUGAAUUAAAGUCAUUGAAGCUUUUUGGUUUUUCUUCUUCUUCUUAGUUAGGCAUACAUCGGUGUGUGCCUAAUACAUAGCGUAGAGGCAAUCCCUUACUCCUACUGAAUUUGAAUCCAUAGAGGAUCCUAUAAACACCUAGUAGGAUGUCAGAGCUGAAAAGAGAUUAUUUUUCUCCCUAUCCUUCUGAAGGAGUUUAGGACAUUGUUGAUCAACAGACUGGUGAGCUUUUAGCUCAAGCUAAAAGUAAGUAAAAGGUAGUAGAAAAAGCUCAAUGCAUAUGUUGGGAGGCAGAGUUAGCUAAGCAGAAAUAGGAAACAAACCGUCGAGCAGUACUCGGUGAAAACUAGAAUAGAUUCAGAGGAGGCAGAUCACAAGUGAUCCCAGCAUAUUAGUAUGUUCAUCCACAUGAAUACUAUGCAGAAGAUCUUGGAUAUUAUGAGCCGAAGAUACUAGAGCUAUUAUUCCUCUUGUUUUACCCCCUAAUGUCAAGUUCAGAAUUUAUAGUGCUAUGAUUCAGCUCUUAUACUUGAAGGGCAUCUUUGCAGGGUUGCCUAUAGAUGAUACAAACAUGCAUUUGUCAAAUUUUAUAGGGAUUUGCACUUUAUGUACCAUACCUGGGGUAGAUCAGGAGGCACUGAUACUGAGGUUGUUUCCCUUCUCACUUACUAGAGAAGUAGCUUUAUGGAUAGGGGAACUUCUAAGAGUGUCUAUAAUUAUAUGGAGUGAGUUAUAUAGAUAAUUAUUGAAUAGGUUCUUUCCUUCAUCUAGGGUAUUAAAGCUCAACGACAAAAUUUAUAACUUUAGGUAGCUACAGUCAGAAUCUAUGUAUGAGGCAUGGUUCAGGUUCAAAAAGAUGCUUAGCAUGGUGCCCAACCAUCGAAUUUCAUGGACAAGCUUAUUAGAGAUGUUUUAUACAGACCAAAUUAUUAGUUCCAGAGCAAUACAAGCACUAUAUUUGUAGGAGCCUUCAUGAGAUUAUGAUGUGAGAUGGCUUCAAGUAUUAUGGAUCAGAUCUCAUCAACUAACCAGAGGUGCCAAACUUUGUUAGUUGAGAGAGGUAUAGUCAUUUAUGCCAUUAGAGAUUCGAUGAACAGAGAGUCACUGAGGAUACUGUAGCUCAGGAGAUUUCAUUAUAGAGGACAAACAUUGAUGAGUUGGCUAAACAAUUUGCAAAAAUAAAUUCAAGAAAGGUUAAUACAGUAGGGGCCCAGGGUACAGCUUCUAGGGUGCAUGAGUCUGAGUUAGAGGAGGAGGCAAAAUAUAUAGAUUAUUAGUUGGAAGGUUUCUGAGACCAAGGGAAAGGUAAUCAAGUUUGGAACUAUGAUGAUAGAGACAUACAUUCCACCUGGCAGAUAAGAUACAGAAUCGAGAAUAGAAAAGAUGUUGGCUAAGAUGAUGAAGGGUUAAGAGAGUCAGGAAACUUGCCUUAAGGAAAUCAAGGAAGAUGUUUCAGGAUUUAAUCAAAAGGUUGAAUCAUAUUCAACUGCUAUUAAGUAUCUGGAGUAGCAGUAUGGUCAAAUCUCUUCCACUUUGGCCCAACGUCAGACAGGUGUAGUUCCUAGUGACAAUGUGUCUAAUCCUCCAACACUGGCUCAUUGUCUGGCAAUUAACACAAGGAGUGAUUCCCUUCCUGAUAAGCACUUUGUUCCUGCUACUAAUAAGCUAAAGAAGGAAAAUAUUGUUGCAGAUGAGACACAUCAAAAUAAACUUGAGAAGCUACUUGUAGUGACGAUAAUUUUGGGAGUGAUGACAAUAACGACUGGGUAGCAGGAGAGCUCCAAGAUAUAGUGCAGCAAUUUAGCGUAGAUUUUCAAGCACCAUUAGUAGAAAAAAGGGAUACCCAGGUUCAGUCACCAUUCAAUUUUCUAUUGGUCCUUAUGACAUUAAUCAGUCUCUAUGAGAUUCGGGAGCAGGAAUAAAAGUAAUUUCAUUGGUGAUAUACUGACACGACCCAACCCAGGCCUUGUAGUAAUGGGCAUCCCAAGUCCAUCCAGGAUUGAGGACCGCCCUUGUUACCAAAUCCAACCACCUAUAUCCAACCUUAGAUGUGCUACAUUUUGAACAUAUAAUAAGAUAGCAUUAUUGAUCUCAUUAAGACUCUAGGAUAGGAUCAUAACUGUGACUGACCCAACCGAGUCCAACCAUACCCCACCAAUCGCUCGACCAUACCAAACCAAACCAUAAACUAGUCCAUAACCAAAGAAAAUACCAAACAUAAUAUGAUUAAUCCCAAAAUGUAAUAUGAUCGAACAAUGAGAAAUCAUGUUCGAUGAUGCCAGCCUUCCAGCUUAUUCCAAUACAAAGGUGAAACCUCUAUCGAUCCCAUCCAUACAACCUCUAAAAGUAUCAUAAAGCCUCUAUCUGAAUAAGUAAACAAAUUUGGUUAGGACAUGCCCCAACCAUGGCCAAAACCAAUAUGCAAAAUAAAAGAAAAAUGUCUAAAGAAAUCCAUAACAUAAAAUGAUGCCUCCCAAAAGAAUGAAAGCUCACCACUUUAGUCCAAAUGCUGAUACUGAAUCCAUAUACUAGACAGGAGGAGUAGAAUAGUUGGUUCCUACAGAGCAUUGGUAUACAGCUGCCAGUAGAUGGGGUUAGCGAGUGACUGUAAGCAUGAAUCUCAGGAUAAGGAUAAAAUAAUGCCAGUCACAAAACCAAGUAAAACCAUCUAUAAUGCAUAUAAACAUACAUAUAUAAGUACUGGGAAAGGGUCCGAGUUUAUCAUGCUCUUAAAACCUUUACCUAGGUUUUGUAGCUUUGUCGUCCUAACCACCCACGAGCCAUAUGGGUUUAUCUCCCCCUGCUGAAAAGGCCCCAGUGUGUGUAGAUGCACAACUAGGGAAUAUCCAAUGGGAUAACUAGUACAUCCCCUAAUAUAAAAUAUGACAUAAGCACAAGGUCAUCAAGACCCUUCAUAUCGGUAAAUAUAAGUUUCUGAUUUAGGUCCCCCAGGACUGCCACCUUCCACGACUUAGCUACACACCCCACCACUAAUGCCCAAUUAAAAUCAUAUCCAAACAAUCCAUUUACCUUUUAUUAAACAAGGAAAAUAUUGGUGGUAUCAUCAUUCCACCCCUUACUUGCAAGUAAUAUCCAUAGCCAAACCAUUUAGGUUAAGGGGACCUUAGGUGCCCUUUCCAUAAACCAUAUUAAAUCCACUUCGAAGACUUCCAUGCUCUACACAAGAAUAACCAUUUAGCCUUUAGCCUUUUCAAACCAUUUAAGACAUGCAUAAAUCCUCUGUCCAGUUUAAAACAUGCAAAAGUUCCAUUAAAAGAAGUCAAUUCAAUGAACAUAUAUUUAUAAGAAUUUUAUCAAACACAUUGGGGUAUAAUAUAACCAAAACCAAUUCCAAAGACUAUUAAACAAUAACCAUGCAAUCCAAUCAUCCAAAACCACCAUUAAUUCAUAUAAAAGCAUGAUUAAAACCAUAAGAAACCAUAACCAAGCAUUUAAUAUCAAAAAUCCUCAAUAAUAGUUGAAAACCAUAAUCAUGAAAUGUUAAAACCAUGAAAUCAAUCAUAUAAACUAUGCCUUUAGUUGAAAUUACAAUGAAGGAAGAGAAUCAUGCCUUAUACAGAAGAAUUGAUGGAAAUAAAUCACCAAGAUAAGCCCCAAAGCAAUUCAUAAGAUGAAACCCUAGCCUUCUUUCCCCAAAAGUUCUUAAGAGAAUUGUAGAGUGUUUUGGAAUAGUUUAUAAGUGUUAAUGAAUAGAAUAAUAUGAUAAAUAACCUCCUAAGUGUAUUCAAAGUCAUGGGUCCUAGUUAGGGUAAGUAGGGAAAUGUCCAGAAUACCCCUACUUAAAUCCCUUAAAAACCCAUCGCAGGGAUACGACUGACCCAUAUGAGUCAUACCCUUCUAUACGAUUGGCAACCACUAGUCAUAUCCAAGCCUGAACCCUUGGAUCAAACACUGUCCAGUAUACGACUCAUCCAACCAACUCAUAACCAUAUUAUACGAUCCAUACCCAUAACCCGUAUCCUUGGUAGAAUAAAAUACCAAGAGAAUCAAACACUGCCCCCAUACGAGCCCCGAAUACGACUCAUACCAAACCUUUAUGACUCACACCUUUAAGUCAUACCCAUUCUAGUGACCAAAACCAUCCCACCAGCUAACACUGGUCAAUAUCCGAUGAGACCAUACCACUCGUACCCCAGUAUACGGGUCGUACCCAUAAGUCAUAUAGGGUCCAGAGAAUGGAUUUCUAGGAAAUUUUCUAAAGGUCAAAACCCAGGAUGUUUCAUAUACAGGGUAUUGAGGUUAGGUGAACUUAAUCCUACAUCUGCAAGGUUUUUAAUGAUUGAUUCAUCUAUAAAGGAGUCAGUCGGUAUUGUUCGCAAUAUAGAAGUGGGGGUGGCAUCAUUCACUUAAAAUGGAUCCCCACUCUCAAAUUAUAUUAGGUAGACCCUUCUUGUCUACCAGUCGGGUGUUGAUGGACAUGGAUUUGGAGGAGAUCAUAUUUAAGUGGAAUAAUAAGCAAGUUGUGUUAUAUAUAUGUAUGAUAGUACAGUAAAUGAAUGAUAUAAUAGUAGUGGCAGUGAUAGAUACAGUAAAUGAUGACAUGGUGACAAUAGAUGUGCCUAUUGAAGAGAAAUUAGGGGUAGAAGUAUUAGCAUCAGUGAUUAUAAACUUUGGGAGUGAUGGGAUCGAUGACCAUGAUGAGGUGGCUAGUGCACUACAUAGCAUAGGCUCUUACAAAUAUUACCCUAAGAAGCUGGAUCUUGACUUGAAGAACAGAAGCAUACCUUCUGCAAAACCAUCGAUUAAAGAACCACCAGUAUUAGAAUUUAAAGCCCUCCCACCUUAUUUGCAGUAUGCAUUCUUGGGGGCCAACAAUACUUUAUUGGUAAUUAUUGUGGUACAUUUAGUAGGAACAUAGGUAGAAGCUUUGAUAUUAGUGUUACAAAAGUUCAAAAGAGCUAUUGGGUAGACCAUUAUAAAUAUUGUAGGGAUUUUAUCAGGUAUAUGCACACAUAAGAUAUAGCUUGAGCCAGACAGCAUUCCCAAUAUUGAGCAUCAAAGAUGACUAAACCGCUCAUCCAAGAGGUAGUGAAAAAAGAGACAGUCAAGUGGUUAGUGAUACGCCCAAAUUUCACCUCUCUUACGAGAGAGUAAGCGGUCGUCUCCAAAUAUAUAACCUAACGAGGUGGGGUCGAAUGCCACAGGGAAUAUGGUGUUAAUUGAUGUUAUUCAUGAUUCAAUUGAGUAAUAGCUAAUAGCUUCCUAUAAAUAGGGGUUUUCAGAGAUUAAACAAAAUUUAUUGUUCACUUUGUUUUAAUAGCUUGCAACUAAGAUUUCAACGCUUUAAAUUAAUGUUAUGGAAAAACCAGAGUUGUGUUCACUAUGAGUAUUGACAUUUGAUAGACAUUAGUUAUAGCUCAACAUUCUUAUGACAUGUAGGAACAACAGAUUAUCAUUAUCAAAGCUCUAUCUAAAUGUCUCUCGACCUAUUUAGAUAUUAAAUUACCUAAUUCUUUCGAACUAAGUAAAUCCAUAUACUUAACCAGAUCUUAUCUCGAGUUAAUUAACCUUGCUACAUCAUUAAUCAUCAGAUGGAAGUUUAAUGUUUCCAAAUCCCCGUUGAUAAUUCACUUCCCAUUAAAUUGAUUUCUUACUUCAAGCUAACCAAUAAUCAGGUUUAAUCUAUUAUUUGCAACCAAUAGAAAACAUGCACAACAGAAGAAUGAUCAAGGAUUUCCUAGUACUUUGAGAAUCUUAAUCAACUAAUGAAUUCACAAGGCCAAACUCAUAGAUCCCGUAACUCGAGUUAAGAGAAUUAGUUCCUCAAAAUAUAGGAAGAAACAACACAUGUUGAAUUCAUAAUUCAGUAGUAGUUAACUUACAAAUGAUGAAGAUAUAUGAUCAUUCUUUCUUAUAAAUCACAAGAGAAUUCUCAAAACCAUAAUAAUAAUCCCAAUAACUUAAUUCAAAAAUUCAGAGAAAAUUAUCAAAAAUCGGUUGUUUUGAAUAUGUUCAAGAUGACACUAAAAACCUAAGAUAUUUUCCUUAAAUACUCAAGAGAUAAUUUUGGAUUCAAAUUUCAAAUCUCAAAAAAUUUGUUCUAUAGCUGACGACAUGGGCUGGCGGCUUAUCACGAGGUUGAUAACUUAUUAGACUAAGUCAUCAACCUUUCUCUCUAAUUCCUGCUCACUGCUUGCGUGUAAUGAACUGGGUUGACAUCCUAUCACACAGUUGACAACCUCUCAAACCAGGUCAUUAACUCUUCCCUUCAGUUCUUUCACAUUGUCUUUUGUUGACGACUCCUUUUGAAGACUUAUCAGAUGUUUGACGACUUAUUAGACAAGUCGUCAGCUAAAAUCUUCCUAUGUACCUUAUCAAAAUUUGUCCUUCUUGGCUCAGUUAUCAUAAGAUUUUCAUGCAUUUUGACUUACCUGUAAUAUCACAUAGAAUCUAACCAAAAACGAUAAAAGUUACUUAAGAACUUACAAUUGUUCUGAGUUAAUGGCCUUAAAUGUGCUAGCACAAAGCUCGCACAUCAACACCCUCAACUUAAAAUACUUACUUGUCCUCAAGAAACUAACACAGUAUUACACACACAACCAGAACAACAAUGUAAUGAGUAGCAUUUGUUGUCCUUUAUUUUGCACCCAUAAGAAGUAGAAUGUGUUCUUUUUCGGCCAAGCACAUCAAGGUUCCAUACCAUCUUCAAAGUUCAAAAAAACCUCUAUCUAAGCUUAAAGCAUUCAAUCAAGCAUUUAACAAAGUCCACACCUAUUCACAUGCCAUCAUAUAGAAGAAAUAGGUUCUCGACUCUACACAUUUUGAUAUAUUUACUGGAACUAUGCAUUAAAGCGCUCACCCUCAGAAUAAAAGUUAGAAUUGCGUACCUACAAUGCCAUAAUCUUGCCUUUACCAUUCCACUCGGUUCAUCUAGUAGUCAUAUUGAGAUUACUAUAGGGCUUUCUUGAUUUAUAAUGAGAUUUUGGGUGUUGGGGAGGUCAAUUUAUGAUUUUUGACUUAGCCUCUUUUGGUUCACUUACAAAACUUGGCUACAAUCACUUACUUAUUUGCAUUCAACUCUUGGCUAACUUUUAUAUCAUUUUUAGCAAUCCCCGCAGGCAGACCAUUUUUAUUUUUAUUAUUUAUUAUUUAUUAUUUAUUUAUUUAUUUUAUUUUAUAUUUUAUAUUUAUAUAUAUAUAUAUAUAUAUAUAUAUAUAUAUAUACCAACCUUCACAAUAUCUUUUGCACCUUUACAGCAUCUUUUUCAUCUUCCAAUCAUUAACUCUUCCAAUGUAGCCACCCUCAACUUAGGUGAUUUCCCUAAGUUGAAGUGCAACAUGACCAAAGAGAUUUGGCUAAAACAGUGCUUGUCAAAACAAAGAAGAUAUUGUGUUGGCUCAAAAAGGGAUCAAACAGAAAUAUAAUUAUGUACUUAAGGGUUGCUUAUCUUGGUUGAAUGGUUCACUAAUGAAAGAUGGCUAGUGAUCACUUCUCAGCUAACUACUUGAGACCCUAAUAGAAUUCUUUAGGCAAUAAAAACAUAUUAACAACAAAGACCUCACUCUUUCAUAGCAUAGAAUAGUGUGGAUAUUACUAAAUACUCAAUUAAUACUCGGGCUCAAACAGGGAGUGCCAUAUUUGCAUACUUAUCAUGGAUAGAAAUGGUUUCUCAUGCACUUAACAAUCAAUCUCACAAUCAAAAUAUUGGUGGGCACACCAUUUUUUCAAUCAUUGAUUCAAAAUCAAACACUUCAAUACUUGUUACUCAGUUAUUUGUUACUCUUCAUGCGUUCAAAAUAAAUAGACACAAACAAACCAUUCUAAACAUAAAUAAUUCUAAACAUGUUACAUACAGGUUGUAAGCACCCCCACCCCUACAAAUAAGAACAUCCAUUUCCCUCAAUGCAUAUCUAACAUACUGAAACAACAACAAAUAGGAUAUACAUGCAGCACUUCAAGCGUGUAAAUCAUGAACAGCUGACUUUGCUACUACAUCAUCAGCGGGAGCAAUCAUAUUAAUAGCACCAGGCUGUGCAUAUGCAUCUACCACAGUGGUUGGGAGUAAAAAACUCCUCAGCAUUCUCCCCAACAGUCAAUGGAGGCCUACUAGCUGAGGCUCCCAUAGAUCUCUCUCUUAAUGCUUCCUCAAUUGGUUUUCCCUCCGCUUUCGAUAUUUGCAUAGCUUUUUUUAGCUUCUUUUUGUCUGCCUUCUCUUUGCUCUUCUCUCUGCUCUCCUUUCUUCAUCACUAUCAGUAUUUUUUACUUGCUUUUGUCUUUUCUAUUGCCCUUUUCUUUCUCUUUGUUCACUGGUUUACCACUAAUGUCAAUCAGUGGAUCUUCAUCUUUAGAUUCUUCAGCUACAGGGUUUGAAUAUAUCACAAUUUGGUGGCACAGCAAUGCCAUAAUAUUAUUUUUUGCCUUGUCCAAAGCUGUUUUAAAAAUUGCAAGGUCAGGGACCGAUAUCUCGCUCAAUCUUGCAUUAAGACGGUUCUCCAACUCAUCAACAUAUCCAUGCUAAGUUUGGAAAGGUUUAAUUGCCACCUUAAUUCUUUUAUCUACAGCAAAUUUAAAUUGACUAGCAAAUAACUUUAAUUGUGCAUCAAACCUCUUCCCUUGCUUUACCAUCUUCCUGAAAUUAAGAGGAGUAAAGGCAUAAUCCGACACCGGUGCUGCAACUACAGGAUUUUUUUCACUCUCAGGAAUUGAAGCUACCCCUGUAAAAGAUGUUUCUUGUACAGCUUCAGGAACUGACACCUCCAUAUUUUUUGUCGAACCUGUAGCAGUAGCAGCUAUUUGAACUUUGUCAGUCCUGACUUAUUCACUUUCAACCCCUACUCCUUUACUUAAAACUAGCAUAGGCUGAUUCUCAUCAAACUUGAUAGGAUUGUGAGUUUUUUUAGCAAUAACCUCCUGAUCUAAGCCUAUAAUCUCUGGUACAUGAGCAGUCUCACACAAUUUCAUAACCAAACAAAGAAAUGGGUAUGCAGUGUCGGGUCUUGUUGCCUGAAUAUUUAUCCCAUCAGUAAUAAUUUCCCUAAAAUUCAAGGGAAAAUUGGACAUUAAACUUGCCACUAGAACUGCCCUAUCUUCACCGAUGAUGUUGUCUCCUGUUGUUGGCAUUAAUCUAGAUCAUACGAUGCCUCACUAAAAUCUUGCCUCCUGAGUAAUUGAGGCCUUAAAGAUCCUUGCACUUGUAUUUUUCAACCAUUCCAUCUCUCCCUCAGCUAUAAUCUAUGCCAACUAAGGGCAUUGUUUUGCCCUUUCUUGCAUCCUAUAGUAGAAUUCUGGAGAAGUGACUGGAGGGGUGAAGUUUAGGCCAUGGAGGAAUCUGUUGAUAGUGUUGUCAGAUAGAUCCACCAUUACUCCCUUCACUAGAAUCUAAUUUAUGUUGGGCAGGUCUAUAGUUUUCUCUCUUUUCUUACACAUAUUCUCCAGUGUAGCCUAGUAGUUUAUGUAAAACUCUCAGACUAGUGUUAGACAGAAUGAGUCACCUUCCUAAGUAGUCUAUGCCAAAUCAUAGUCUUUGAAUGCCUUCUCCAUCUGGGGGUACCUGUUCAGUCCAAUAGUGAUGAUCCUCAUCUCUUCAUAUAUUAGCCUCUUAAGACUUCUUAUUUUUUUUCUUAUCAUUCCAUCAUGGUAGAUUAUGUUUGCUCUGGGAACCUUCCAUCUGACACUUUCUCGGACACCAGAAUUCUUGCAUCUUAUUACAUCACCCCUUAUAUGAGAUCUUCACCUGUUGGUUGCUCAAAAUAAGGUAGUUCUGAUGAAGGUUCUUCGGAGUUGGGCUGAUCUGAAGAUGUAUGUUCAGAUGGAGAGGAGUUUUCCUCCUCAGAUUCAACUUCUUCAACCACCUCUUUUUCAGGUUGGGGAAGAGGUUCAGCUAUCUUCAGACUUUUCCUCAUUUUGCAUCUUUGAAGUUGUGGUUCUUAUUUUUUGCUUUUAGACUCAUUGAAGAUUUUCUGAGUCAAGUUCUCCUUAGUCACUUUCUUGGCUACUUUCUUUGAUUUUCCUAAAGGAGGCAUGAUUAAUUCUGCAACAAGGAGAAAUAAUCAUUUAAUAACUAAGACUAAAUAAGCAUACAAGAGUCAAUCAAUUUUAAUGCCACCUUUAAAAGUUUUUUAUCACUAUCAUUAAACAAUGGUGUAACGACUUAGUCUGACAAGCCAUCACUUAGGUGAUGGCCCGACAGCCAAGUCAUCAACUUCAGGUAGAAUAAUAUCAUUUUGAUUAACAAGUGAUGACUUGGGCUGAUAAUUCAUCAUCUAAGUGACAGCUCGUCAGCCAAGUCAUCAGCCUUAGACAAGAUGUUUCAUCUUAGAAUAACAAAUGAUGAAUUGGUUUGAUAAGUCAUCACUUAAGUGAUGACUCGUCAUCCAGGUCAUCAUCCCAAACCAGAAUCCUCAGCCCAUUUUUCUUUAUUUGAUGACUUAAUUGAUGGGUUAUCACCUCUUUGACGAUUUUUCAACACAGUCAUCAUUCAAAAUCAUGCUUGCCAACAUGUAUAAUUCCAUUCUUGUGCUGAAAUUUCAAACUUUGUUGCUUAAUUUAGAUCUUGUAACCCUAGUUUAAAUUUCAACAAGACCUUAUACCCAAUUUUGACUCAAUAAUCUUGAAAAACUAGAGUACAAUGGAUUUUUACCCAACAAUGGUACAUUUUUCAAAUUAACAAGUAUUUGUUCAUGAGCAAAUUUUAGUUAUGCAAGAUGUAAUAUAUCUUGGUUGUAACGCCCCGAAUCUGGUACCCAGAAUGCUACAUAGUGCUCAUGACCCUGAAGGACCACAAGCUAACCCAUGACUAAUAUCUGUAAUUCAGCACUACAUAAUAUGAUGUAAAAAUGUAGAAUUAACGGUUGAAAGGACAUAAGGUUCAAAUAUAUGAUAAAAUAUAACAUCUCGAAAUACGGUACAUCAUUAUAAAAAUAACUAAAAUAAACUGUGAACAUGCUAUAGUCUAAAAGCCUCUAGACUGUUUGAAUAAGGAGUUGAUGGGACAUGUCCCCAACUAACUCCAAUUGCUAAAAUAACACUAAAGAUAUGAAAUAAUCAAAUUAUGACAUCCUCAAAUGAUGAGGACUCACUGUUGACUCUGAUUGCUGAAACUGGAAUGCUACUGAUGCCCUGGAGUUCGUGCUUCUGAACCUAUGGUAUAAAACACCAUAGUGCAAAUGCCCCAAUACAUGGAAAUAUACUGGUUUGCAAGUGAGGCAGGCUGAAUCCAAAGGGUUCAUGUGCAUGAACAAUGCUAGCUGACUGUAUAACAUGACCGCGAGAAUACAUACAUGAGUGUGUGACUGUAGCUGGAUUCGUGAGUAAUACUGACUACUGAGUCUGAAUACUGAUAACAUAAGUUACUAAUAACUAAUAUAACUGAUAUAACUGAAUACUAAUAAUGAAGCCAAUCCAUACCGAGAAUGACAUCAAAAUCGGUCAUCACUAAUUCGAGUAAGUCUGCUGAAGUGACUUUUUGAGAUACCAUAACCGGACCAUUCCUAUAUACCCAUCGGGAUAUGAUAGUUUUACCCACUGGGGUGGAGACUGAGAAGGGCUCUGCUAGUAUUCUGGGACUGACUCUAAAAUUAACUACUAUAUAAGGAGUAACAAAAGACAAAAGCUCCUGGAUCUAACAAAAGCAUAAACAUGUAAAUAAAAGAUCUGUAACAUACCAAUAACCACAUUAGGAGAAUUUUACUAAUCCUAUUGGGACUGAAGAGUGUAGAUUCUAUUUGGGAAUUUCCCACUAGUAGCACUAGAAGUGGCACCCUGCUGGUUUGGGUGACCGGACUGAGAUGAGGGACGGUUAUGCUGACCCUGAGGACCUGCCUUAGAAUAAUCUCUGACUCUGUGUCCUGGAUUGCCACAUCCGAAGCAUACAUCACUGCUAGCUUUGCAAGUACCCUGAUGGUGCUUUCCACACAUCUGACAAAGAGUAUAGGUUCAGGCACUACUAACACUGCCCUAAUACUUAGAGCCUAGCGCUCUUAUCUCUAUUGCCGCCUCUGAAUUUUGGCACUGGAGCAAUGGAUGAGGAAGGUGCUGGAACGGAUGACUUUGGGCAGAACUGAGAACAACUUUCACCCUCUGACUUAGGCUGAGCAAAGUUAAAACUACCUGUCUUUGCUCUCUUAUUCUGCUUCUCUCUUAUCUUAAUCUUCUACUCUUCUAUCUAUUGAGAAUGGAUCAUAAUCAUGGCUAUGUCUAUCUCACUAAUCAAUAUUGUAGAUCUGCACUCAUUGACCACACUAUCAUUCACCCCAGAAACAAACUUACUCAUCUUAACCCUGUUGUCUGCCACUACAUAAGGAGCGUAUCUAGCUAGUUGAGUAAACUUAAGAGAAUACUAUUUCACUAUCAUGUUGCCCUACUUGAGGUUGAUAAAUUCUAGAACCUUAGCUUCCCUUAGCUCUAGGGGAAAGAAUCUAUCAAGAAAAGCAGUGGUAAAAUCCUCCCAAUCUAUAGGCCCUGCAUCACCAGCCCUCUCUAGUUUCCACUAUUUGAACCAUGUGUGAUCCAUAUCCUGUAACUGCUAUAUAGCUAGCUCAACACUCUCAAUAGCUGACACCCUUAUGAUAUCUGUAACCUUCUAAACUUGAUCAAAGAAUUUCUGAGGGUCCUCAUUCGAUUUAGACCCAAAAAAAAUGGGGGAUUCAUUUGGGUGAAGUCCCGAAUCUUGGCUAUUGUGGUGUUGGCAACUGGGUUUGCCGAAAUGACAGCUGGUCAUUCAUUCUAGGAAGCAACUAAGUUAGCAAGAGUAGUGAAUGCAGCUCUGAACUCUGCAUAAGAAACAUGUUCGUCCAAGGGAUCUGCUUGGACGGGUUGAGGGGCUUACUGAUUUCCAUUUCUUCUCUUAGGAGGCAUGUUCUGUAGAAGAAAGGGAGAAAUGACUUAGACUGAGAGUUAAACUUGAGCUCAUGCUCACUGGCAUGACAUAAAUACUGAAAGAAAGAAAACUAUUCCUAAAACAUCUUAUAUCCUCCUAUACAUAAAUGUGGCGCGCAACACACCCAUGCACAAGACUUUACUAGAUGUGGAUUUUAGACUUCCUAGGACACUAUUGAAUCUUAGGCUCUGAUACCAAGUUUGUAAUGCUCCGAAUCUGGUACCCAGAAUACUACACGAUGCUCAUGACCGUGAAGGAACACAAGCUAACUUAUAACUGAUAUCUGUAACUGAGCACUGCAUAAUAUGAUGUUAAAAUAUGGAAUUAAAGGCUGAAAGGCCAUAAGGUUCAAAUAUAUGAUAAAACAUAACAUUUAUAAAUAUGUUACAUCAUUAUCAAAACAACUGAAAUAAACUGCUAAUAUGCUAUAGUCUAAAAGCCUCUAGGCUUUCUGAAUAAGGAGUUGAUGGGACAUGUCCCUAACUAACUCCAACUGCUAAAAUAACUAAGUACUAAAGAUAUGAAAUAAUCAAAUCAUAAUAUCCUUGAAUGAUGAGGACCACUACUGACUCUGACUGCUGAAAAUGGAAUGCUAUUGAUGCUCUGGAGCUCUUGCUUCUAAACCUAUGGUAUAAAACACCAUAGCACAAAUGCGUCAGUACAUGGAAAUGCACUGGUAUGCAAGUGAGGUUGGUUAAAUGCAAAGGUUUCAUAUACAUGAACAAUGUUAAAUGAUUAUAUAACAUGAUCGUGAAAAUACAUACAUGAGUGUGUGACUGUAACUGGAUUCAUGAGUAAUACUGACUACUGAGUCUAAAUACCAAUUAACUCAUAUAACUAAUAUAACUAAUACUGGGUGACUAUGUCUGAUAGUCUAGGUUCUGAUGGAACUAGCUGAGUUCCGUACUGAGCUGAGUGACUGUAUCUGAUAGUCUGGGUUCUGUAGAACUAUCUAAGUUCUAUUACUGAGACUGGGUGACUGUAUCUGACAGUCCUAAUUUUGCAACUGAAACUGUGGGAGAAUUCAUCUACUUGACAUGCCCCUUUUUCUAAAUAGAUUUGGGGUCCAACCUGUAACCCCAGUUGGAAGAGUGUCAAUACCAUGCGACUUGUAAGGACAAGCUGUGAUAAAUCCCUUGUCUAAUAGGCACUCUGAGGAGAAUAGUGGGACCCUCAUAUGAUAGGUUAAGCCACCUUAUCUACCCUCAACUAGCAGGUUUGAUGUCUCAACUUAUGUUGGUUACGUAGUUAUGGAGCGUAAGGAUUGCUUCUAAGAAUCACAUCCUCUACUAACAGGUGAGUUCCCAUCCUUGGGCUCACUCGGUGCUGAAUCCUACUCCCAUCUGAAUAGACACUAAACAUGAUUAACUAAACUGAAUUGGCCUGAGUUCAUUGAGUUCCGUUAACUGAUGGAAUACUAUUGAGAUCUAAUAACUGACUGAGAUUACUGAGUUUUCCUGAGUCAUGUAACUGACUGAAUUCUACUGAGUUCUGAAACUGACUGAGAAUACUACUAAUCAUGGCAUGACUGAGAUUUAUCAUGAAACUGAUGCUGGCUCUAGGCAUACAGCUAAGUUGUAUGGUACAAGUACCCCCAGGACUCGAUAGGGUGAAACUUACAAUACAAGACACUUCUUGAACACAUAACCAUGGUCAAUAAUUCAUAGUACUAUCAUUGGGGAUUUUCAUGAAGUAUUUGCAUACCCCAAGCUUACACAUGAAUAAGAAUGCAUAUAAACAUGUCAUAAUUCCCUAAGCCUAAUCUCAUAAGCAUUACAUCAAUCUAUUACAAGGUAUAGCAAUAAGAUGGAGUCAUUUUGAACAUAACGGUAACAUGAAUUCAUCAUUUAGGUUCUAUUGAGUCAUAAUGCACAAGUAUUAUUCUCUUAGGCAUUUUAUCAAAUACCUAGUAUGCAUAACUUACGGAUUAGUCAUGAUAUCAAAUUAAUACCACAUGAUUCCCUAAUUUAACUCAAUUUCAUAAAUUUCAACCCACAUACUAGCGUAGUUUCAUGAACAACACAUAAAGAUUCCAACUUGGGAAUCCUACAACAAUAACUACAUGAACAUGAUCAAUCCACAACAUAAAUUUAAAAUUGGAUUCUUGGGCUUCAUGGAUGAAAGGAAUCCACGAAUGAACACUUGACAUACCUUGGAUGGAAAAUUCUUGAAAACUAAUGGUAGAAUCUCUUGAAUUUGAAGCUCCUAUGAAAACCCUAGACUUGUUCUUGAGAGUGUUUGAGAGUAACAACAAUAUUUUGCUGAAAUGAGGGUUGAAUCUCGUGUUAUAGGCUUCUAUACGGGUGGAAAAUUGACCCUUUUGUCCUUUAAAACACGGAUAUUUAAUGAUUGAAAACUGGGCAUCGAUGCAAUUAGCGACGUGGUGCGUCGAUGCAUCGACGUGAUACCUGAAACAUUACGCCAUGAUCGCGCCAAGCCUCAGUAGUUUUACUGGCAGUCCCUACAACAAUAUUAACCAAUGUGAUAAGCAACGUGGCGCGCCAAGAUCACAUUGGUCCACUAUUUUGGGACACCAAACGUGGUCUAAACGAGGUUCAAAAAAUCCAAAACUUGUUCGGGAACACCUAUUGACCUCUCUGAUCAUAAAUUAACAAAAAUACAGACCAUUAAAGGACAUUAAGGUGGUGAAAUGAGAUUUCCAACUUUCAAAAGACAAAAAUAAACUAAGUCUGGAAACUUAGCUAGAAUUUCCUAAGUAUGGGACCCCCUUGACAAGCUUAAAGGACUGAUUUAAGCUUAGAAAUUUGGUGGGGUCUUACAUUGGGUGACCAAUUCACUGUGCAUUACUUAAACUUGCUCAUGAACACUUCAAAGACUUCAAACUUACAUUAGUGGGCAAUUAUAAUUACUUACCAAAGAAAAAAAGAUAAGCUUGAAAUAUCUCUUAGGCGACUUAAGUUGCAAACUUCUCACUUGAGAAUUUUUGAUUUGUUCAGAGAAGAAAAAGUGAGAUUGACUAAUUUCUUAGAGAAAUUUUCACACUUUUUCCACUUGGUUUUGAGAAGAUGAAAAUAAAAUUGAAUACUAGCUUUUGAGAGAGAAACCGAUGGGAAAGAUGAAGUGAUUGCACCUAUGUAGCCUAUUUUUUUGUUUUAUAUAAUUAUCCAACAAUUACUAAAUGAGAACCAAUUAAAGUUAAUAAAAACGAAUAAUGGAAAGAAAAUAUACUAAAGAAAUAUAGAAUUGGACAAGGUUGUUAUUAAGAAUUUGAAAACACUAGGGCUAAUGGGUUUGGAUCCGGUCAGACUUCCUUACCUGGGCCCAAACUUAAGUGAUGGCUUAUCACAUGUCUGAUAGCCCGUCACAUACGUCAUCACUCUUACGCAGGAGGAUUCUGAAUGAAGAGUUAGCUGACGAUAAGGCUUGACAGCUCGUCACUUAGGUGAUAUCCUAUAAGCCUUGACGUCACCCCAAGGCAGAAUAUCAAACUCUUUUCCUUCCACUAACGAUGAGAUAUGAUGGCUCAUAAACCUUGUCGUCAGCCUUAUCCAGACUUUGUCCAUAUUUUGCUUUUCUUGAUGACUAGGCAUAACGGCUAGUCACUUCGGAGACGGCUUAUCAGCCUUGGUCGCCAGCCUCAUCCAGAACAUGCCCAAUAUUGACUAUAACCUUGUCCCUGCACAUCUAAACAACUCAUUACAAACAUAAACUUUAAAACAAAAGCAAACAUACUUAAACAUAACACUUUGGGUUUCCCAAUAGCUCCUGAUUUACUAUCACAGCACGACUUAGUUAUCUCGACUACUCAGACUUCAUCAAGAUACACAGUGGACAAUAGCUUCACAUCAUCCGUUGGACCAAUAUAGAUCUUGACUCUUCGCCCAUUAACCUUGAACAAACUUCUAUCUUUACUUUUAAGUUCCACUACACCUGAUGGAAAAACUUGAGUUACUUUGAACGGCCCCGACCAUCUUGAUUUAAAUUUGCUCAGAAAAAGCUUAAGUCGAGAGUUGAAUAAUAACACCCAAUGACCAGCUUAAAAAUCUUUCUUCUCUAUUAUUUGGUCAUGGUAAUUCUUCAUCCUUUCUUUAUGCAGGUCAGCUCUUUUGUAAGCUCUAAGAUGGAAUUCGUCCAUCUCAUUUAAUUGUCCCAACCUUAACUCAACUGCUUCUUUUCAGUUCAUGUUCGGUCACUUAAGAGCCCACAAAUCCUUGUACUCUAGUUCAACCGGAAGGUGAUAUCUUUGUCGUAGACCAGCUGAUAUGGUAACGUCCCAAUAGGUGUCUUGAAAGCAGUCCAAUAUGCCCACAAGGCAUCAUUAAUCUUUCGAGACCAGUCUUUUCUACUCGUAUUCACCGUCUUAUCCAAGACUGCUUUUAUCUCCCGGUUCGAAACUUCCACUUGCCCACUAGUUUAUGGGUGAUAUGGAGUAGCCACCUUAUGCUGCUUCACACCGUAUUUCGACAAAGCAACCCAGAAUGUUUUGUUGCAAAAGUGGGAUCCCCCAUCGUUAAUGAUAGUCCUUGGUACUCCAAAACGAGAGAAGAUGUUUUUUUCAGAAAAGCCACCACUCUCUUACCUUCAUUAUCAUCCAAAGAAACUGCUUCAACCUAUUUGGACAUAUAGUCCAUAGCCACCAAGAUAUAUUUCAGUUCAUAUGAGCUCACAAACAGCCCCAUGAAAUCGAUACCCCAAACAUUAACCAGUCCAACUUCCAACAUCUUUGACAUGGGCAUCUCAUGAUGCUUUGAGAUUGACCCUUAUCUCUGGCAUUGGUCAUAUUUCCUCACGAACUCAUAUGCGUCCGUGAACAGGAUUGGCCAAUAAUAGCCACUCUACAACACCUUUCUUAUAGUACGGUCACCUGCAUGGUGACCUCCGAUCGAGAAAGCAUGACAAGCUCCUAAAAUACUAAAUAUGUCCAUCUCCGGUAUACACCGCCUAAUAAUGUUAUCCGCACACCGACAAAAUAAGUAUGGAUCAUCCCAAAAGUAGUGUGUAAUAUCAUGGAGAAACUUCUUUCUUUAGUCAAAAGAAACAUUCUCUGGGAUAAUCUCACUUACCGCAUAAUUUGCUAAGUCCGUAUACCAAGGUACUCUUUCAAACACAACAGCUAGGAUUUUCUCAUCUGGAAAUGUAUCAUCAAUUUCGAGCUCAUACUUGACUACUUGAUCUCCCUAAAGUCUGGACAGGUGAUCUGUAACUUAAUUAUCUCAUCCUUUCCGAUGUUUGACUUUAAAGUCAAACUCUUAAAAAAGAAGCACCCAUCUGAUUAGCCUUGGCUUAGCAUCCUUAUUUGUCAUCAAAUACCUCAAAGCGGCAUUGUCUAUAUGCACUACCACCUUGGUCCUCAAUAAGUAAGCGUGGAACUUCUAAAAUACAUAGACCACCACGAGAAGUUCCUGCUCAGUCACAGUGUAAUUCUUUUGAGCCCCAUUCAAUGCCUUGCUUGUAUAGUAACUGGGGUGAAAUAGCUUGUCUUUCUUCUGGCCAAGCACAAGCUCCACUUCGCUUGCAUUGCACAUGAUUUCAAAUGGUAUUGACCAAUUCAGUGCAACAAUGAUUGGGGCAUCAACUAAUUUCUCCUUAAGGCAUUCAAAUGCUUUAUUUCAAUCAUCAUCAAAUAUGAACUUGGACUCCUUUUCCAAAAGCUUGAAAAGUGAGUUUGCAAUUUUUGAGAAGUCCUUUAUAAAUCGAUGAUAGAACACUGUGAUAACGUUCAACUUACACGUCAAUUUAGUGCAAGGCAGUCUUCGUCAAUAUAAUUACCCAACUUUGUAGUCGGGGUCAAAUCCACGAGGAAUAAUGUGAGUGGAGAUUAAACUAAUUUGAAACUAUAGCUACAAGUUAACUUCAAACAAAUGAUAUGAAAAGAUAAAAUGGGGGGGUUAAUGGUUGAUAAAAUUUUCGACCAGCUUCAGAACUCAAAGCUAAAAUUUCAAUGGUUCAAAUCAAUGAUAGAGAGAAACUAGGGUUAUGAUCACUAUGAUUAUUAACUUCUCAUUGAAUAAUAGUUGUAGUACUGGAUUCUCAUGACUUGUGGAAAACACCAAAUUAUCAAUAUCGAUAGUCCGUCUAAGUAUUUCUCAACCUACCUAUAUGUUGUGCUCCUUAAUUCUCUCGAAUUUAGAAAAACCUUCUAUUCACACUGAUUUUAUCUCGAGUUGAUUAAUCUUGUUACAUCAUUAAUCAUUAGAUGGAAAAUUAACCUUCCCAAAUCCUCAUUGAUAAUUCACUACCUUUAGUCUAUUUCUCAGUUCGAGCAAACAAACAUAACGCUAGAUCUAUUGUUAGCAACCAAUAGAAAACAAUCAUUACAAAGGAAUUAUCAAGAUGUUCCCACAAUCACUCAAACCCUAAUCAACUAUUAAAUCCAUGAAGGAAUAAUCAUAGAUCCCACAACCCUAGUUAUGGGUUUAAGUUCCACAUGAGAAAGAAAGAGAUAGCAACAAUUGUAUUCAUUAUUCAGAGCAAUUAAACUUACAAAAGAUGAAGUCUGAGGUUGAUGCUCUUCCAAGUUCAAGAACAAUAUCCCACAACUCCAUCAAAGAAUUGAAAAUUGAGUUCAAAGUUCAGAGACCCAGAAAAUAAGUAAACUAGCCUUUGGAAUAAGUUCCAGAUACUCCAUGAAACCCUAAAAGAAACUAUUUAUAUACGUACUUUAAGAAAAAAUUAAAGUUAAAAAUUCAGCUUUUUGCUCAUUUAGCUGACGACAUGUCUGAUAGCUUAUCACAAAUCCGAUAGCUUAUAAGAGAAUGUCGUCAGACCUGCUGCCCAUGUGUGACGACAUGUACGAUGACAUAUCACAAAUCUGAUAACUUAUCAGAAAAAUAUCUUCAGACCUUCUUCCCAUGUGUGACAACAUGUACGAUGAUUUAUCAUAAAUCUGAUAACUUAUCAAAAAUAUCUUCAGGCCUUCUGCCCAUGUGUGACGACAUGUGUGACAAAUUAUCACAAAUCUGAUAACUUAUCAAAAAAUGUCAUCAGAAAUGCUUUACCUUUCUUGUUCUCUUCCUAUGUGUGAUGACAUGUUCUGAUAUCUUUUCACAGAUCUGAUAGCUUAUCAGACCAAGUCGUCAGAUGAAAUCUCCAGAACUUAAAUUCUUGCCUUUUUCACCAAAAAUCAUCCUUUUUAACGUAGCUUUCAUAAAUGUUCAUGCAUCUUGACUUUCCUACAAAAUCACAUGAAAUAUAAUCAAAAACAACAGUAAUUACUUAAGAACUUACAAUUAUUUCAAGUUAAAAGUCUUAAAUUUGCUAACAGAAGGCUAGCACAUCAACACCCUCAACUUAAAACCAGUGUUUGUACUCAAGCAACUACAUAACACCAUACUGCGAUGUUUAAUCAAGAGAAACAUAAAAUACCUACGACAGUUGAUUAUCAAUUUUCGCUCAAAACACAUUUCCCUCUCAAAUUUCAAUUACCUUCAAACCCAACUGUAUAUAUUAAUGAAGAUAAACAAUAUGACACAAAGAAAUCAAGAUAUGGCAUCAAAUUACCAACAACAACCAUGCAUAUGUACAAGUUACACUACCCAAACAAGUAAGCAACUAGCAAUAGAACUGAUGUGCCCUUACAACAAAGAAGUCCCUCUUCACUCAUAUAUGAAAUCAAGCACGUAAAUACAGGGACAGUCAAGAGACACUCACUCUCAAAAAGAAGUUCCAGUUAAUGUAUGCCAAAUACCAUAAGCUUGCCCUUAUUUUCAUCAGCGAGGCCUUCAGAUAGCUAAGCUAGGAUCACUAUAGGACUUUUCUUCAGCUUGUAAUGUAGGCCUGGGGCUGGUAUGAUACGCAAGGAUAUUUAAAGUGAGUAAGCCUCCUUGGCACUACACUAUUUUUGGGGUCUCACUUAUCAACCUUUAACUUAUUUCUCCCUUUCUUUAUUGAAGAAAAUUCAGGAUAGAUGCGGUCCUUUAGUCUUUCAUUUUCUCUUUCUCACUAUUUUUCUUUUAUUAUUCUUUUUCUACCAUACCCAGCGUUGCAUUUUUUAUUUUAUUUUACCCUUCUUUAUACUCAUUUUACAUCAUGCACCCCUAUGAUAGCCACCCUCAACUUAAGCGAUUUGCCUAAGUCAAAGUGAACAAGGUCCAAGGAGGACCAGGGCCAAAAUAGGUUCAUUGUGAUACAAGUGGGAAGGUGAUAGGUAUAACAAAAAAAAAUAUACAGGCAUUCAGGCUCAAAAUCAGGAUCAAGGGAUAUUAUUUAAACAUGGAAGGUUAUUUAGGCUAAAAAUAGAGUAAUAUCAAAAAUGGCCUAUGAUUUUUUCUUAACCACUCUCCUACAACCAAGGCAAGACCAGCUGGGAAAGUUCUGGAUUUAACACACAACGAGAACUAUGUAGUAUCUCACAAACGCAUGGCAUAAAGGUACAUCACAAGCUACUACAUAUCUGGUUCAUGCAAUUGUUAGCAAUGAUGAUAAUAUCCCUAAUACCAAUGCCAUAAAAAGAUUCAUAGUAGUCGCAUAUAGAUGCAGAUUACACAAUUACAAAAUAGACAAUUGGAGAGGUAUUUAUCAUUCCUAAAAAUCAACAAAACAAAAAUAUGUCAACUGCCCCAGAUACUUAUUUUUCUCCCAAUUAACCACAACACAUCACAAAACAAAAUACAGUACACCUAAACAUACUAGCUCUACUAGGAACAAGACUCCGGGGAAAAGAAGCACGGCAACAAAAACCCCAAGAGGACAUCAACACCCAUAAGCAGUCUCACCCUCAACUUAAAAACCUGCAUUAUUCCCAAUGCAUCAAACUAAAACAAGAGAGUUAAAAACAUACCCGUGGCACCAUAGGUGCAGAGAUCUGAUGUCAAUCACAUAAUACAAAUACAAAUAACAAAAUACCUUGGGUUGCCUCCCAAGCAUCGCCUGAUUCAAGAUAUCUUGACUACAAAAUCACAUAAAAUAUAAUCAAAAAAACAGUAAUUACUUCAGAACUUACAAUUAUUUUAAGUUAAAAGUCUUAAGUGUGCUAACAGAAGGCUAGCACAUCACCAUACAUGUCCAACAAAACUACAAACUCACUUUACUAAAAGGGGGAAGGUAAUUUCUCAAUAACUUCAACCUUUUCCAAGUCAACUUCGAUUACCUUAGUCAAAAUUUUGUGACACAGAACAAUGCCUUCCUUCACUAUGAUGUGGCAUUUCUCCCAAUUCAGCACUAAGUUAAACUCCUCACAUCUUUGCAAUGCUCUACUCAGAUUUACCAGACAUAGCUCAAAAGAAUCACCUACCACUGAGAAUCCAUCCAUAAACACCUCCAAGGUGUCCUCCACCAUGUCAGGAAUAUAGAUAUUAUGCACCAUUAGAAAGUGUUGGGUGUAUUACAUAAACCAAAUGGCAUCUACUUGAAAGCAAAAGUACCAUACAAUCAAGUGAAUAUCGUCUUCUCCUGGUCCUCUGGAGCAAUAGAAAUCUAGUUACAGCCCAAAUACCCAUCUAAGAAAUAAUACCAUCCUCUUUCUACCAACUAAUCAAGUAUUUUAUCCAUAAAAGGCAUCGAGAAGUGGUCUUUUAGAGUACAUGAGUUGAGAUUAACAUAGUCUAUGCAAACUUUCCACCCUGUCACAGGCCAGAGUAGAAUCAACUCAUUUUUCUUAUCACCACUACAUUCAUGCUCCCUUUCUUAGGCACAUAUUAGAUGGGGCUUACCCACUUACUAUUAGAGAUUAGACAUACAACUCUUGCAUCAAGUCAUUUAAUGAUCUCCUUCUUAACUACUUAUUGUAUAUGUGGGUUAAGGAGACAUUGGUGCUUAAUGGUUGGUGUGCAAUCUUUCUCAAACUGAAUCUUGUGAGUGCAACUACCCAGAUGAAUACCAAUAAUAUCGGCAAUAAUCCAACCUAUAGCCCUUUCAUAUCUCUUAAUCAUAGAGUAAGUGCCUCAACCUGGUGUUCACCCAAAUCCAUAACAAUAAUCGUAGGUAAAGUGUUUUCACUUCCUAGAAACACAUACCAUAGAUGUACAGGAAACUCCUUUAAUUCCAACAUCAAUAGCUCUUCGAUAAAUAACAUAGCCGGUGGUGUUGGGCAAUUUCUUAGAUCUAAAUCUAGCUUCUUAGGAGCGUAUGAAUAGGAUCUCAUUCCUAUAAAAGCACACACUAUCUCUUCAUAUUUCUCUAUACCUUCACCAUCAAAGUUUAUCAAAACUGCAGUCAGAGUUUUCACAGCAAAUUUCUCCUUAAUUGGAACCUCUUGCUCUUCUUCAUAAUAAACAUCAAUGAUUGAGAAUACACUAUCUCCUUGGGUUACUUUAUAGACUGGCACACAUCAAAGCGAACUACCUUAUCAUUAAGUCUGAAUAGUAGCUCAUUAGCCCAUAAAUUAAUAAGCACACUUUUGGUUGUGAGGAAAGGUCUACCCAAGAUUAUGGGAACCUUGAAAUCCACCUUGCAAUCCAAAAUAACAAAAUCUACAGGAAAUAUAAAGUCAUCCACCUUUACUAGCACAUCAUAUAAUAUCCCCACAAGUCGCUUCACUGACUUGUCCGCCAUUACCAAUCACAUAUUUAUGGGUGUAGGGUCCCCUAAACCCUACCUCUUAUAAAUAGCAAGAGGCAUUAAGUUAAUACUCGCUCUGAGAUCAUAUAAGGUCUUAAAAAAUCAAGCGACCCAAUAGUACAAGGGAUGAUGAGAGCUCUCGGGUCUACUUUCUUUUGUAUCAAGGAUCUUAUCGAAAUGGUGCCACAAUGGUAAAGAUUAUCCAUUGGUUUAAUCUUACUAUUCUCUUUUUCAUUACAAGGUCCUUCAUAAACUUGGCGUAUCCCGGUAUCUGCUCCAGUGCCUUCACUAAAGGCACAUUCAUCAUCAACUGCUUUAGCAUUACCAUAAAUUUGUUAAACUUUCUGUCAUCAUCCUUCUUUUUUAAUCGAUAGGGGAAGGGUGGUGGUGGUUUUGAGAGAGUAGUAACUACUGCUUCCUUCUUCUUUUUCUUUUGUUUUUCUAAAUUAUCAACCUGCUGAUAGUUAGAUAUGCCUACAUUUCCAUCCAGAUUCUCAGACUCCACUGGAUGGGUUUUAUCAUCGUCUAUAUCUUCUUUAAUCACAUCAUUAAUUAUAUCUUUGCCCACAAAAGGGCCAGGUAAUACUCUACCACUUCAAGUGGUAACUGCCAUACAAGAGCCAUUAUUCCAAGAUUUUGCAUUGUAUCACUCGGUAAUGUACCUCUCUUCUUUUGAUUAAAUGCUGCUGAGAGUUAGCUCAUCUACUGCUCCAACUAUUUGAUAGAAGUUGAAUAUGAAUUAACUAUCUAACUCAUAGAGGAUAAGUCACUCUUCAUCAUCGUCAACCCAACAUUGGUCACUUCAACUCCCUUUAGUAGCUUCUCCAUCAUGUCCUCUAUGGAUAUUUUUCCUAAACUAGUAGCAGCAUUAUCAUGACUUCCAGGAGGUACAUACAGUCCACUCUUGUCAUUCUUGUUCUUCCAACUCCCUUGGUCUCUAUCUUUGUCUCCAGCUUUGUCGUAAUAGUUCCGACCUUGAUUCCCUUGGCUAUUGCCUCGGAAACCCCCUGAUUAUUUAGAUAGUUGGUUUUUUCCUUAGAAUCAAAACCAGCUCUACUUUAUGACCCAACAGCUUUUACCUUCUCAGUCUUCCCAAAUAGUAAAUGUUUAGUAAGUAGAUCCAUCUAAGUUUUCAUGUGUGCCAUAUCUUGGUCACGUUCCUCCUUUAUCUGGCAUUGCUCUGUAGACAUACCACUAGACAUAGUAGGGCUUUCUACCACAGAAUCCCUAUUAUGCCAAGGUCUACAUGUCUUAGUCAACCUCUCCAACAUAUCUGCAGCCUUAGUGAAUGUAAGCUCCAUGAAUGCUUCUUCUGCUGCAUUUUCUACAGUUGUUUUAGUAAUGGAGUUUAAAGCUUUAUAGAAUGUAGCCAUCAAAUUCUCAUAGGUCAUCUUGUGGUUGGUGCACUAUGUCAGCUUCUUCUUGAAUCAUAACCAAGUCUCAUUUAGUGCCUUGUUUUGUAAUUAUCUGAAAUUUCUAAUCUCGUCCCUCAACUUUAACAUCCUAGAGGGCAAAAAGAACCUUUCUAGAAAAUUUCAUUUCAUUUGCCUCCUAUUUAUUAUAGAAUCAGGCGCUAAUUUAUUCAACUACAGAGUUGUCUCCCCAGACAAAUACAAUGGGAAUAGAUGCAGAUGGAUUACAUUCUGUCUAACUCCAGGAUUGUCAAAAUAUUUGCAGAUGUUGAUAAAAUUCACCAAAUGCAUAGUUGGGUCAUCUCCUGGAACUCCACUAAAUAACCCUUUCAGGUUUAUAAGUUGUAUCAUGGUGCUAGUAAUGUUGAACUUGACACCUAGUGAUAAUGGUGGCGGAAUAAUUGCUCCUGUAGCACCAACUUCGUCUAGGUUAGCAUGAUCUUCAUCAUUAAAUGCAAACUGCAUAGUGGGUUGAUGGUUUUCUCUCUUUUUAACAAGUCGGUUCCGAUUUACUGGUGUAGCUAUAUUCUCAGCACGCCUUCUUUUUACAGGCUCAAUCAGAUCAUCAUCCCUUAAGUAAUCAUUAUCAGGAUUAGGCACCCAACCUGGGUUAUCAGUAUUUAGUUGAUUAAGUUGUGCAUUAUCCAAAGAAGCUAAUCUCUCAGCUUCUUGUUAGUCAGCCAUUCUACCGAUCAAAUGAGGUUUUGGAUCAAAAGGUAAUAGUGGUUCUCUUAACCUUCAGUUUCGUGACAUAUACAAUAAAGAAUCUGUAAAAAUCAAAAACAACAAAGAAACAUAAAAUUUAGAAAACUCUAACUAUCAGUUAAUUAUCACAGAUAUACUCAAUUAACGACCGUAUUCCCCGGCAACGGUGCCAAAAUUUGAUACGCCCAAAUUACACCUCUUACAAAAGAUUAAAUGAUUGUCAUCAAAUAUAUAACCCAACUAGGUUGGGGUCGAAUCCCACAGUGAAUAUGGUGUUAAUUAAUCUUAUUCAUGAUUCAAUCGACUAAUAGCUAAUAGCUUUUUAUAAAUGAGGGUUUUUAGAGAUUAAACAAAAGUUAUUGUUCACUUUGUUUUAAUAGCUUGCAACUAAGAUUUUAGUGCUUCAAAUUAAUGUUAGGAAAAAACUAGAGUUGUGUUCACUAUGAGUAUUGACACUUGAUAUACAUUAGUUGUAUCUCAAGAUUCUUAUGACAUGUAGGAACAACAAAUUAUCAUUAUCAAUGCUCUAUCUAAAUGUCUCUCGACCUAUUUAGAUAUUAGAUUACCUAAUUCUUUUGAACUUAGGAAAUCUGUAUACUUAACAAAAUCUUAUCUCGAGUUAAUUAACCUUGCUACAUCAUUAAUCAUCAAAUGGAAGUUUAAUGCUUCCAAAUCCCCAUUGAUAAUUUACUUCCUAUUAAAUUGAUUUCUUACUUUAAGCAAACCAAUAAUCAGGUCUAAUCUAUUGUUUGCAACUAAUAGACAACAUGCACAAUAGAAAAAUUAUCAAGGAGUUCAUAAGGCUUUGAGAAUCUUAAUCAACUAAUGAAUUCACAAGUAAAAACUCAUAGAUCCCGCAACUUAGGUUAAAAGAAUUAGUUCCUUAUAAUAUAGGAAGAAACAGCAUAUGUUGAAUUCAUAAUUCAGUAGUAGCUAACUUACAAACGAUAAAGAUAUAUGAUCGUUCUUUCUUCUAAAUCACAAGAGAAUUCUCAAAACCAUAAUAAUAAUCCCAAAAACUUAAUUCAAAAAUUCAGAGAAAAAGUAUCAAAAAGUAAAUGUUUUGAAUAAGUUCAAGAUGAUACUGGAAACCUAAGAUAUUUUCCUUAAAUACUUAAGAGAUAAUUUUGGAUUCAAAAUUCAAAUCUCAAAAAAUUCGCUCCAUAGCUAACGACAUGGGAUGACGGCUUAUCACGGGGUUGACGACUUAUCAGACUAAGUCAUCAACCUUUUUUUCCAAUUCCUACUCACUGCUUGCAUGCGAUAACCUGGGUUGAUGUCCUAUUACACAGUUGAUGACCUAUCUGACUAGGUAGUCAACUCUUUUCUUCAGUUCUUUCAUACUGUCUUUUGUUGAUAAAUCCUUUUGAUGACUUAUCAAAUGGUCGACGUCUUAUCAGAGAAGUCGUCAACCGAAAUAUUUCUAUCUACCUUAUAAAAAUUUGUCCUUCUUGACUCAGUUAUCAUAGGAUUUUCAUGCAUCUUGACUUACCGCAAUAUCAUAUAGAAUCUAAUCAAAAACGACAAAAAUUACAUAGGAACUUAUAAUUAUUUUGAGUUAAAAACAUUAAAUAUUCUAGCACAAAGCUCUCACAUUAGUUAGAUGUUGGGGUGGCUUUUUCCAUUGUAGACAGCAAGUAGGUGAGCCCCUUUCAAUGCGUGACAAAGAAAGGAAAAUCAUAGUGGUUCUAAAUAUGAAGAAUGAAUUAGUACCAAUAAGGCCAGUGACCGAUUAGAGAGUAUGCAUGGUCUACAGAAAGCUGAAUAAGCGAACAAUAAAAAACCACUUCCCUGUGUUGUUCAUGGAUCAGAUGUUGGACAAACUAGCAAGAUCGGGUUGGUACUAUUUUCUUGAUAGGUACUUGGGGUAAAAUAAAAUCAUGAUUUCUCUGAAAUACCAAGAAAAUACUACCUUUUCUUGCCCCUAUAGGACCUUUGCAUUCAAGAGGAUGUUGUUCGGACUAUACAGUGUGCCUGUAACUUUUAAAAGAUAUAUGAUGUCCAUAUUCUCCUACAUGGUGAAAGACACUAUUAAAGUAUUCAUGGAUGACUAUUAAGUGGUUGGUAACUUAUUCCAUGACUAUUUGGCCCAUUUAGAUAGUGCACUAAAGUGAUGUGAAGAGUGCAACUUGGUACUAAGCUGGGAAAAAUGCCACUUCAGUGUAAGGUGGACAAGAUCUCCAAACAUAGUAUUAAGGUGGACAAAGUAAAUAUUGAUGUAAUUGAGAAGUUGCCACUGCCAGUGUUAUUUAGAGGCAUACGAAGUAUUUUGGGUUAUGCAGGCUUUUAUAGGAGGUUCAUCAAGGACUUCUCUAAAAUUACAAGUACCCGAAGCAAGCUUUUAGAGAAGGAGGUAAAAAAAAUUCGAAGAUGAUUGUCUCAAGGAUUUCAAAUACUUAAAGGAACAAUUAAUUUUGGCGCCCAUCAUUGUGUUUCCUGACGAGUCUACACCUUUUGAGGUAAUGUCUGAUACGAUUGGAGUGGCCUUGGGUAUUGUCCAAGGCCAAAGAAGACAAAAUAUCUUUAAUUUCAUCUACUAUGCUAACAAAGCUAUAAACCCCACAUAGAAAAUUAUACAGUUACAGAGCAGGAGCUACUUAUAGUUGUUUUUACUUUUGAAAAUUUUGGUUCUUAUUUGAUUAGGACUAAGGUUAUAGUGCACACUGACCAUGCAGCCUUGAGGUACUUUAUUUCAAAGAAAGAUGCCAAACCUAGAUUAAUUCAUUGGGUUCUCUUACUGCAGGAGUUUGAUUUUGAAAUACAGGAUCAAAAAAGAAAAGAAAAUCAAGUUUCUGACCACUUGUCCAGACUUGAGGAGGAGAACAUACAGAAAUUGGGGGAUAAACUUAAGAUACAUGAUGUUUUUCCUGAUGAGUGAGUGUUGGCGGCAUCUCAAGACUUGAUUCCCUGAUUUACUAAUUUUGCCAACUAUUUAAAAAGCGAUCCUAUCCCAGAAGACAUAUCCUUCUAGCAACAAAAAAGAUUUAUGAAUGAUGUAAGGAAGUUCUUUUAGGAUGAGCCAUAUUUAUUUAGGAUUUGCGAUGAUAGUGUAAUUCAGAUAUGCAUUCCAGAGGUAGAGAUGAUAAGCAUUUUGGAAGCUUUUCAUUCAUCACCAAUUGGGGGUUACCAUAGUGGCACACGGACGACCCACAAAAUUCUACAAUGUGGGUUUUAUUGGCCUUUAAUUUACAAGGAUGCUCAUGAUUUUUUAAAAAACCUGUGAUCAAUGUGAGUGUCUAGGCAAUAUUUUACGGCACCAGGAACUCCUCAUACACCUAUUCUAGAGUUGGAGUUAUUUGAUAUGUGGGGGAUUGAUUCCAUGGGCUUUUUUGUGAGCUCCUAUGGCAUGAGACACAUUUUGGUAGUGGUUGACUAUGUGUCAAAAUGGGUGGAGACAGUUGCCACUUCUAUAUAAUGAAGGUAUAGGAGUCACUGCCUUUUUGAAUAAAAAUAUUUUUUCUCAAUUUGGCACGCCACGUGCGAUUAUCAGUGAUGGUGGGUCAAACUUUUGCAAACUCUUGAUAAAAGCACUUCUUGAUAAUAUGGUGUAAGGCAUAAGGUGGCAACACCUUACUAUCCUCAGAUUAGUAGGCAAUUAGAAGUCUCUAAUAGAGAGAUAAAGUCCAUAUUAGCAAAAAUUGUGACUGCCAACAGGACUGUGAAACACCUGAGAAUGUGGCCUUGCAAAAAUCUUUGGUUGAUUUGUAGUGAUCAUGAUAUGUAUGUUGUGUUGUAUCCUUGUAGUGUUUUGUUUCUAACUUGAGUAAAUAUUUAUUUGGUUUAUGUUGAGGUGUUAACUUGUAUAUGUACUUACCUAUAAAAGUGGGAGAGAAUUGAGACACUUACACCUUGGACCAUUUGGAAAAAAAUAACCUUUUUGUUUCUCUGGAGUGGAUACGGUUGGGGUGCUUGAGUCAUAUCCUAGGUCAUGACUCGUACCCUUCUCCCUCUUCCAUUUUGUAUCCUAGAUAGUAUGUUAGGGUAAUGUAUAUCCUUCAUACUACAAGUCCAUUCCUUGGUCAUAACCAAUACAUAUGAGUCAUAUACUACUCAACCAUUUAGAGUAAAAUCUCAAAGUGUGUAGACUAUUUUGUUCAUGAGCGGAGCUCAUGAUUGGGCCAUGAGUUGUACCCUUGUUACAACUCAAGGGUUCCCUUUCGUACCCACAAUAGUAUGGUUGACCUAGGAAGAGCCCAGGUUAUGAGUUAGGGUACCACUCUCACCCUAGGUCAUGAUUGCCAAGUGAACCAUAAAGGGGAGUUGUACCUCUAUACGUGUGGGCUUUUCAGCCUUUAACCAAGCUCAUUUUGUUCAUUUACCAUGCCUAAAACCAUAAAAUUAAGUCUUCAUUUACAAGACUCAAAAACUCAUAAACACUCUAAAGGCUCUUCAAAGUAAGAUUGGAGGCUAGGGUUUGGAGGUGCUCUCCUAGUGGUAAGAAAGAGUGAAGAUUGUUGGUGUGUCAUAUUUUUUAAGGCAUGUAUCUCUUCCCCUUUCUAAAUAACUCUAAACCCAUGCAUUUCAUACUUGAAUUAGUAAGUAUACAUGGUAGUUUUGAAUCAAAUGAAAAGGGUUUUGUUACUUAACAAUGAAUAAUGAUGAUUCAUGCUCGUACUUGUGUUGAUUCAUGUAUUUGAUGGUAGUUUGUAUAUAUGGGUGCUUUUUGUAUGUUAUUUAACAUAAGGUUCUUGAGUAACCCUAUUUUUGAUGAUUUCUACCAUGAAAAUGACCUUGACAAAUGUAUGAACACAAUGUGUUUGUGAAAAUAUCUACGUGAAAUGACUAGUUGUAUGAUUGAUAAUGUGUUAAGCUAAGGCAAUGGACUAAAUGAGUAUGAAUGAUUAUUGAAUAAAAUUGUAAAAAGUAUUAUGAGUCAUGUAUUAUGAAAUCCAUAACCUUAUUGGUUAAUGGUUAAUAAGAUGGUGAAACCCUAGGCAAAAUAAUAAGCUUAAGUUGUGUAUUGAACCAAGUGGGGUAAAAAUAUGAUUAAACAUUGCUAAUGAAAGGUGAAUAGUUUGUAUAGAUCAUAAUGACCAUAACUUGAAUUGUGUGAUGAAAUAAUUUAAGGCAUUAGCCUAUUAAAAUGGUUGAGCAAUGAAGGCCCUCAUGAGGGCCAUAUGAUCAUGUAAAGGGUUGAAUUUGGUUAAAUGCGAUACAGCCCUUAUGAGUGGUAUUGAGAGUAUAUGAAUGCUUGGUAAAUAGUUGGUAAAGGACUUGUUGGCCACAUGAUGACUAAAUACAGAUCCUUGAUGAUUGGUUGACUAAAUGGUAAUAGUCCAUAAAGUAUGAACUCGAAUUGUGUUUGAAUAAAAUGUGCAUAUAAGAUUAACAAGCAUGAAUGAUUGUUGGUAGGAGUCUUGAUGACCAUAAAUGAGCUUGCAUUGUGUUAUGAACUAAGGCCUUGGUCCUAACCAUGUAAGCACUGUCCAAAUGGGUCGGUAUAGAUUAUGUAAUGGUCUAUGGUGUUGAUGUGUAACCUUGAUGGCUUGAAUGCCUUGAUAUGGGUUGAGUUUCUAUAUGACGAAUCUAAUGGGUGCUAGUAUGUUUGUAGUGAUGUGUUGGUUUAUGGGCCAAGUCUUCUUACCAUAUAAGGAGUGUUGGUUUGUGGUCCAAUUUUGCUUACCAUAUAAGGCAUGUUGGUUUGUGGUCCAAGUUUGCUUACCAUAUAAGGUGUGUUGGGUUAUGGUCCAAGUCUGCUUACCAUAUAAGAAGUGUUAGUUUAUGGUCCAAGUUUGCUUACUAUAUAAGCCGUGUGGAUUUGUGGUCCAAGUCCUCUUACCAUAUCAGGAGUGUUAUUUUGUUGUCCAAGUCCGCUUACCAUUCAAGGCAUAUUGGUUUAUGGUCUAAGUCUGCUUACCUUACAAGAUGUGUCAGCUCAAGUUUUAUGUCCCAUUACCUAUUGUAGCAUAAUAGAUUCUAUUCGUCUAAAAUAUAAGGGUGGAGGGUUGGUAGCCCAUCACCCCAUAUCUCAUGAAUGAAUGCAUUAUAAAUGCAUAUUGCGACUUAUUUUAUGAUUUGACUUGUUGUAUACUAUAUGUAUAUGUUUCUUUAAUAUACCUCUUCUUAUAUAAAUGUGAUCACCUAUGAUGUAUUGACAUAGAUUUAAACAAAUGUAAUAUUUUCUCCUUAUCCUUGAGUUACAUGCUAGCAUUCUGAUAUGCCCAAAUUACACCUCUCUUACGAGAGAGUAAGUGGUCGUCGUCAAAUAUAUAACCCAACUAGGUUGGGGUCGAAUCCUACAGGGAAUAUAGUGCUAAUUAAGUUGUACGCAGAUUAGUUGACUUUUAAUCAUUCAUUUCCAUAAAAUAAAUAGGGGGAUUUGAUUAAGUUCACAAAUUAAUGGUUUCAGUUUAACAAGAUGAAAUACGUGUAGUAGUAUUCAAAUUCAUAGAAAUAGCAAGCUAGGGUUAUGUCCACCUUGUAGUUUUCAAUACUUUCUAACUAUGGUCUUUACGAAUUCAUACAUGCAUCAUGCUUACAAAGAAACGUAUUGUAUUUAAUAACAUAAUGCUAGUGUUUCUCAACCAUCAAGGACUAACUAACUUUAGUUCUCUCGAAUCAAAAGUGUUUACCAAAAAUAAUACGAAAUCUCCAAGUAUUUAAUCCUGUUAAGGCAUUAAUAUAAGAAAUAAGGGUUGGAAAUCCUAUUUUCUUGUCACUACUCUCUUUUUCGAAUAUCAACCUUUCUUUCGAACAAGUUGUGCUUUAAGGCAUAUCCUCUAUGUUUGCAACCAUGAGAAUUCAAGAUAAGCGAAGAGAGUAUGAUGUAAACAAAUUAAUGCAUAAUGAAUUCAAAACCCAAAGUGAUCGAUUGUAUGGUACAAGGCUUCCAUAACUCUAACUAAUAAACUUUGCUACUCAUGAAUAAAACGAAAAUCAUCAUAAGUAUAUUCAUCAUACCAAAAACUAGAAGAAGAUCUUGGUGUGCGAAUAGGGAAAACAAGAGAAAAAUGUUUCUCUCUCUCUCCUCAAGCUAAGACGCCUUUUUCCUCUCCCAAAAAAAAUACAAAAUAAUCAAUAAUGAAUAAAAAUUCAGCAUUAUGCCUUUUAAUAAUCUUUUCUCUCAUAAUUGCCUUAUAAGUCCCUGAACUAAUUAUAAAUGACCAACUAGUCUUGUACAUAGUUUCUAGGCGCCACAUUUGGUCCAGACUGCUACUCUCUCUUGUGUCAUAUGCCAUCCAUACUCCAUAGUCCCAUUAUGUCUUCAUCUACUUCAUUAAUGCCUGAAAUCAUGCUAAUCACAUCGGUUAGCUCAAUUACAUAGAAGUAGAGUAAAAACAUAAGAAACUAGACACUUUGUUCUCUAAACUUAGCUAAAAUAUGGAUAGGUUAUGGUGCUUAGGCGUAUAAAUACACCCAAUAUCACCACCCCACACUUAAAUCUUUGUUCGUCCUUGAACAACAUAUCCAUUUAUGCAUACUACACAAGCCUUAGCACCCACAAAGGAAUACAUGAUGCUCAAAUAGGCGCACACAACAAUUAUGAAUAAGAAGUAGAUUCAGGAAUCAUUACUAGAGACAACCUACCCUCAAGAAUAGACUCAUUAAGUUAGCAAUUUCAUGCAUACCGUUUAAGUAAAGAAAUCAUAAAAAUUACCCAACUUUCAUCAACCAUGUGCCCUCACAACAAGAAAGUUAUCCAUAAUCACUCACAAUCAUGCAAUUUUCUACAAAAUGGUUACGAGAAUCAAGUUGUGCUCACUCUCACAAAGAAUUCUCAAAUUACAACUGAUGACCAUAUGCUGGCCCUUAGUGUAAUACUCCACUAAUAUCAGAAUGCUAAGAUUAAGAUCAAGUAGGUCUUUUACGGGUUGUAAUACAGGCUAAAGGAUGGGUAGGAACUAUUUUAGCCAGAAAUAAUGACUAUCUUCCCUAAGAGCUUUAAUACACUACAUUAUGUAAUUAAGACCAAUCUCUAACAACCAAUUUCCACUUCUACUAUCUUCACAGAUUUGCUUUUCACCCCAACUCGUUAAGCUCAAUUAAUAACGCUAUGGUGGGAGUAUGCAACCCUUUUAAAUUUUUUUUUACACCUUUUUCAUGUAACGUACCCCUAUAAUAGCCACCCUUAACUUAAGCAAUUUGCCUUAGUUAAGGUGCACAAUGUCCAAGAAGGGCCAGGGCCAAAACUGGUUCAUUAUAAUAUGUCCGAGAUAAAAUUUGGAACUUUUUUCAACAAUUUUGCUACUCCCAACCACAUCAAUUUCACACGCCAAUAACUAGACUUUGGGGCAUCAAUUUUACUUUUUUCAUCUAAUUGUCAAACUCCUAACUCAAAUUAAUUUUACAUUAAAGCUCUUAGGAGCUUUUGGAUCAAAUUACGGUCUAUUAAAGAACUAAAUAGGCUACAUAUGAGGCUAAAAAAAGAACAAGAUAAAGGCUUAAUGGGGCUAGCUAAUAUAAUGUACAAAGGUAUUUCAAAAGAAGGUAUGAACCAUGGCUAUCAAAUAAAUGCCUAAAUCAUAUCCUAAACUCAUAAUCUUUAUUUUGCUUUGCAAACACACCAGGCAAGUUCUAGCAUCAGCUGCAAUAAGAAAUAUACAACAUUCUUACACACUUAGGGUACAUGAUCAACUCAAUUAGGAGCAUUAUAGAUUCUCGAUCCAAUAAUUACAUAAAUUUAAAUAAAACCAACAAUCACAACAAGAGUCACAACUAGAGCCUAGGUGUUUCAAACUUAAUGAUCCAUCACAUACUUAUGUUAUAAUGUCAUGUGAUCCACAAGAAUAGUUAUAUGCAAUUAAAUGACUAAUUUUCUCUUAAGACGGUCGUCAUCCAUCCAUCACCGAGAAAAAUACCUAAUUAUGACUAAAUAGAAUAAACAUCUAACAAGAAACAAAAUAAACAAAAUAACUAAUCCUAUCACAGAAGAAUGCUAAGGAAAAGGUACUAUUUUCUUACAAAACAAGUAGCUAAGUAACCAGCCACCCCACACUUAGGAUAAGCAUUGUCCCCAGUACAAAUAACAAGAUAAAGAACCUGGCUAGUAGAACUCUCAUCCUCAUUAGGAGUCAUGCCACCUGCGUUGAGAUCAUCAUCAACGCACAAUUCAUGUAGCUAGUGUAUCAAAGCGCUUAGAGAGGUUAGUCACUAUUCCCAAAUAGUUUCAACCCGUCCCUUAAGCCACAUUACAAUCCAAAAAAGACCUAAUUGAUCCUAAGAUUUACAUUCGACUAUUAGUGGAACAUUACACUAAAGGCAGGCCAAUGGUUCAUUGUGUGUAACUUGUGAAUUCUUUUUGAGAGUGAGUGAUAUUUGAUUCUUGUACCCAUCAUAUUAUGAAUUGCAUUAUUACGAGUGAUUAUGGGUAACUCUCUUGUUGUGAGGGGCACAUGUUUGAUGAAUAUGGGUGAUAUAUAUGAUGUCCUUGAUUGAGAAAUAAGCAUGAGUUUGCCAGUAGGUGAGUCAAUCCUUGAGGCUAGGAUAUUUGGAGUUGUGUUCAUGAGCUAUCAAUUGUGUAAAUAACAUGCUUUGUGUAGAAACUUGCAUUCCGUGUAGUCAUUGUACUACUAGCUUGAGUGUCUUUAUUUUAGUAGAAACGUAGCGUCAUCUCAUCUCUUUAUGCUUAGAGUAAAGAGUUGUUCGAAGACGAACAAGGAUUUAAGUGUGGAUACAUGGAUAACUUGGGAAAAUUGGGUUACAUAUUAUUUUUGGUCAAAGGGUGCUUGGACAAUAUAUAUAUCACACGGAUUGGACAAGAUGGGGAUAGAUGGGAACAAUAUACGGUGGAAACGGUGUGCUUCUACACUUUUCAGGUUUAUUAUUUUUUUAUUUAUCUUUUAAAUUUUCAUAACAUGUAUUCAAAUAUUUGGAUUGCGAUUAUGAAUAUUAUUGGCUAAAAAAACCCCUCUUUUUGGGGUAAAAGCCAAGAACAUGAGUACUAUUAUUUUGAAUUAAUUUUUCUUAUCAUAUUUGGUUGUUUGUUUAUUUUAUUUUAAUUAUUUUAAGGAUUUGCGACCCUUAGAAUACAUAUAUUAUCGACCUUUUGAUCUCGGGAGAGGGAAUAGGGAGAUAGAACAUGGGAAUAAACAAAGUUUGAGUUUUUAUUCUUUUAUAAAAUAAAGAAUUAAACUUAGCAUCUAAGACAGGGAUGUACUUAGAUGCCUUACUUGAUUCAUACGUAGAAUGAUAGCUUUAAUUCACUUAAUUGAAUUAUUACAUCCCCGCUCAAUGAUGUAGUUGUAAUGUCCAUGUUAGGUAAAAGAUUAGAGGUUGGGAAACCAUGAUCAUUCAAUUAACCCUACGAAUCAACAACCAAGAUAAGCAAAUUGACGAAUGAAAUUUAAUACAUAGUAUGAUUAUUCGAAGUGCUUUAACCUUGGGCUUUUCUCCAUUGAUUUUCUCAAGUAUUUUAUUUUACGCAUUAUUUAUGUUAUUUUUAAUUUACAAAAAUUACAAAUUCUUUCUUUGGUUACUUUUGCGCUAAAUUAAUCUAGACUGUGAACUAAAAUUAAAUCAUUGUUAAAUCGAGUCUCUGUGGGAUCGAUACUUGGUUUUAAUUAGGCCACUUUACUAAUUGGUAGACCACGUACACUUGUGUGUGGUCUUGGACACUGUCAUGUGGGUUAACACAAAGUUGCAGACUUUGUGAUUGGUGGUGAUGGUAUCGUGAGAUACCAAGGUAGGCUAUGUGUUCCCAACGUCGAUGGAUUGACAGAAAAGGUCUUGGCCAAGACUCAUAGAUCUUGUUAUGCCAUUCAUCCCAGUUCUACCAAGAUGUAUCACAACUUUAGAGAGUUCUAAUGGUGGAGCAAUAUGAAAUGUGAUAUGGCUAGCUAUGUGGUCAAGUGUAUGGUGUGUCAACAAGUGAAAGUUAAGCACAUAUGGCACGGUGGAUUGUACCAAGAGAUUGUGUUUCUCGAAUGGAAGUGGGAGGCAAUUAAUAUGGAUUUCGUUACUGGUCUUCCUAGAUCUAAAAAUCAAUAUGAUUCUAUUUGGGUCAUUGUUGAUAGAAUGACCAAGUCUGUUCACUUCUUGCACGUAAGGACAAAUUACUCCACAAAAUAUUAUGCUAAGUUGUAUCUUGCGAAGAUCGUGAAGUUUUACGGUGCUCUGGUUUCUAUUAUCUCAAACCAUGGUCCUUCAUUUUCAUUCCACUUUUGAAAGUCUUUCCAAAAGGGUUUGGGUAUUAGAGUAUGCCUUAGUACCGCUUUCCAUCCACAAAUAGAUGGAAAGUGAAAAGAACCAUCUAAACAUUGGAGGAUAUGUUGCGGACUUGUGUGAUUGAUUAUGGUGGUAGUUGGUAUGACCUUUUUACUUUAAUUGAUUUUGCCUAUAAUAAUAGUUACUACUCUAGUAUUGGCAAGGCCCCUUAUGAGGCAUUGUAUGGUAGGAGAUGUUGAUCUCCUAUUGGGUGGUAUAAAGUUUGCAAGGGUAAGUUAUUUGGCUCUGAUUUAGUUCACUAAGACUUAGAGAAGGUGAUUUUUGAUAGGUUGAAGACCUCUCAAAGUCACCAAAAGUCCUAUGCGGAUGUGAGACGUAGGGACUUAGAGUUUAGUUUUGGUGAUUGAAUAUUCUUGAAAGUGUCUCCCAUGAAGGGAGUGAUGCAGUUUGGUAAAACAGGAAAGGUUAGUCCCCGAUAUAUUGGUCACUACUUGAUUGUGAAGAAGGUUGGUAAUUUUGCCUGUGAGUUGGAGUUGCCUUCUAGUAUGAACUCCAUUCACUCGGUUUUCCAUGUCUCUAUGUUGCAUAAAUGUAUGGGUGAUCCAUCAUUGGUUAUUCCUUGAGGUAUGUUGAUAUCUCUGACUCUUUGUCCUAUGAGGAGAUCACGAUAAGGAUCUUGGAUUAGAAAGUUUGUCAAUUGCAAAUGAAAGAGGUGGCUUCAGUGAAGGUUCUAUAGAGGAACCAAAAGUCUGAAGAAACUACGUGGGAAGCGGAAGAGGACAUGAAGUCCAAUUAUCCGUAUUUUUUUCCUAUUUUAAAAACUUGGGAUGGAGGUAUGUGUUGAUCUAUUUUCUUUGAUUUAUGUCUUUUAAAUAGAUAGACCAGAUGAAUACUAAGAGUUAAAAAUAAACCAAUAACCCACACUUGUCCACAAAAUCCUCUAACACCAAAAUAUCAACAAAGUCAAGAAGUCUAUGACAAAAGUAUCCAAAAAGAAACACUAAGUGAAUAAAAAAAUCAGUAAAAUAACAAGGCCUUCCGAAAGAAUGGAGGCUCACCACUUCACAGUAGAUGCACAGGAAUACUAAAUCACCUAAUGUUGCACAUAGACUACAAAAAAUCAUUUGGAUCCUACAUCAUAAAAUGAUGUAGUGUAUAGGGACAGUCAGUGGGAUAAGCAUUGACGUGUAACUCAGAAAAAGUGAUAAAAAAAUGCCAAGGCCAAAAAAUAGUCAAAAUCAUAUGCACAAUAAUUAUAUACAUAUAUAAAAUGUCAAGAUAGGGACAAUAGUCAUGAACAUGGGAGUGUAAACCAUUAACCUGAACUAUGUAGCUCGCUCUAUCCUAAAGGCUUCCAAGGACUAUAUGGGUUCAGCUCCACCUGUUGAAAAGACCCUAGUGCGUGUUAGUCGCACGAACCAAGGAAUAUGAAAAAGGGACUAAAGACACCAAGGCUCUAUCCAUUCAAAAAAUAUAAUAUGUGAACCAAGCACAUGAUCAUAUAGGCUCACACGCCGAUAAAAUAUAAUGUGUUAACCAAGCACACGAACAUAUAGACCCUCACGCCGAUAAACGUGAUUUUUAGUGUUAAUCCCCCCGAAAUAUACCUUCACAAUGAGCUACAUAAUUCAUUUUAAGCCCAAUUUAAAAUAAUUUGCACAUAAACCUAACGAAAACCCAGUAGUCUUAUAUACCACUUGGUAUGUUAUACCAAUUAUGCUUGCAAGCUCAUAUAAUCAUGACAAACCAAUUUAUGUAUCUGUUUGAUUCCCAAGUUUCCUUUUAAAAUCUAAACCAUGGUCAUCAAGGGUCUUUCAAAUCCAUUUUAACUAAUUAUAAAUUAACGCAAUGCAAUGAGUUCGUAAAUAAGUUGAAUCAUGCAAUUUUCUAUGUUCAUAAACCAAACUGACAAAGUGGGUUGGGGUUAAUGCCAUUUACCAAGCCAAAAAAAUCAUCAAUUUGGGAAAACCCAUAUUCCCCAUUUCAAUUCCCAUAACAAUGCACUCAUUCAGUCCAAAAACCCUAAAUUUUAAUCAUAAAUCAUCAAUUUUAAAUCAUGGAAAAAAUUAUUCAAGUGAUACCACUCAAAACCCCUCAAUCCAAUUUCAAACCAACAAUUCAAAACACGUGGAUAAUGAUUAAAGAAAUGUCAUAAUGUAAAACUAAAAUUUGGGAAUGAGAUAUAUGCCUAAAAUACAUAAGAAAUUAAAGACAAUUUGAAAUUUGAAGCUCGGAUCAUGAAUUCACUUAAAAAACCCUUGAAUGUUCUUGCAUUUUGAGUUAGAGAGAGAAAGAAAAUGAUUUGAUCUUUAAAAACUAAAGAAAAUGAGGCUAUUUUAUGUUUAAAGGUCAUACAAGGGGUAAAAAAAAAAAAGUCCCUCACCCCAAGUGAAAAAAAAUAAAAAAUGAGUGUUUUUAACACAGCAGCAUGGCACGCCAAUGUCAUACCCGAUUUUAACUUAAGAUUAAAACAAGCACGACAUUAUGAACUCUAAAAAGAAUUAAUUUAUACAGAAUCACCACCUAAUUUUUAAGAAAAAUAACGAAUAUAUUUAUUUAUUAACAAGUAUGACUUUAUCUAAUCUACGAAAACAAAUUAGAUUCUAGACAAGGGUUCAAAUUAUUCCGAAGAAAAUGGAUUAGGUAUCCUUUAGAAUUCACAAAUGUGGUUCCCGGUCAAAAUUAGCUUUAUUAAAAGAGGAAAAGAAAAAAUCAAUGUUUGUAAAUAAAGAUAUAAAAUAUGUAUUGAAAUAAUAUAAAGUGUAUGCUAUCGUAAACCAAAAAUAUAUAAAUAUGCAUGUAAAGACAAGAUUGAAUAAAGAAAAAGACUACACAAUAUUUUUUAAUGUAAAAAGUGUGAAUUAUUUGAUUAAAUAUCUAAAUAAAUUUUAAUAUACAUAUUAAUGGCCUAAAUUUGCCUAAACGCGUGAUGGUUACUGUGUAAGUAAAAACACCCCCAUCCGACGCCCCAAAAUAAAAUUUUCACCAUGAAUGAUAUUUAUACAAGUAUAAGAAAUAAAAAGUACAAACACAAAAUUUAAAACUCUUAUUUGAAUGUCAUUCUUGAUAAGUAUUCUCAAUAACCUCUAUAAACACUUGUACUAAAAAUAUUAGUAACGAAUAAAUAAUUAUCAAAUGAAUUGAGAAGGUAUGUUCGAAUAUAUAUAAAAAAAAUAUAAUUUUUGUUAGAAACGUGGGCUCGGAUAAAGUUUUAAAAUAUUACAAAAAUUUUGUCAUCGCCCUAAUUUAUUUAUUUUUAUUACGUAUUUGUAUACACAAUAUUCGUCUUUUUAUUUGCGGAUGCCUCAAAAAUUAACGAAAAAUUCCUUCAUCAGCCAACUAGUAUAGUAUUUAUCCGUUAUCAGUAUAAUAAAUGAAAAAGCAAGAAAAAAAAAUAUCCAAAAUAGUUUAAAAAUUAUCCAAAUAGUAGCAAAGUAGAAGGAUUGUCAAAGUAAUCUUAUCAUCCAUAGGAUAACAACGGAAUUUAGCAACAACACAUUCAACACGGAGAUAGCCAAAAGAGCAAAACAAUAGCAAUAAAUAUCACAGGGCAGCAAGCAAAACUUAGCAAAAGAAAAGAAAAGAAAUUGUAAAUACAAUUAACAAGGUUAUGAAAAAAAUAGUGAAAACAGUGGAGCUUAUCAGUUUUAACAAAGCUUCACCGGAGAAUAAAAACUACAACCAGAUCUGCAAUAAAUGAGGGAGGGAAACAUUGCUUCUACGGUGAAUGUCGAAAAUACAAUAAACAACCAGAUCUAUAAAAUCAUACCCAUCCGGUUCAACCAAGAAAAAAGUAGAUUCAGCAUGAAAAAAUUCUAGCAAAGUUGAAAAUUUUUACUUCCCCUUUUCUAUCAGUUAAUAAAUAUAUGCUUUAUGAUAAAAGAAUUUCAUAAAAUAGGUUGUCACACUGCUUUCCUGCUCUCUUUCUUGAAACCAGCAAAAUUAUCUACACAUAAUCAAAGAUUAAUGAGAUUUUUUUUGCUGUUAAUAAACUCAGAGAGAUGGAGUAGUAAUUAAAGAAAAAAUAAGCAUAGCAAAAUGAGGGUGAAUGGAAAUGAUGCAGUGACGGCAUUUAAGGAGCUUCGUCAAUCACCUCCUCUGGCGAAGGAAUGGCAAAAACAAGGGAUGAAAGACGGUUGGAUGUGCUUAACCGGAGGCCCAUCUGUCGGUGACCAACUCCGGUGAGUCGUGGCCAAAAAUAAGGGAGAAGGGGAAGGGGAAGGAGGUUAAUGGAGACGCGACGGCCGAUGGGAUUAGAGUGGUGGACAGCGGUGGCUGUGGGUGGUUGACUACCCAACGCCAUAGAGGAUAAAGAAAAGAAGAAGGGUGGGAAGGGGUGGCGCUCCAGGCUAUAGGUGGCUGGUUCGGUAGGAGUGGUGGUCUUGAUGGAUCUCACCGGUCAUCACCUCUAGCGAAAGGUGACAGAAAUAAAAAGAGGAAGAGAGGAAGAGUGGUGCAGUGAUUGUGGUAUUCGUACAACGUCGGUCGGCUAGUGGUAAUGCGGUUGUGGUUUUUUAGAGAGAGAAAGAGGAUAGGGUUUACGGUGGUGGUUUGUCAGCGGAAAGCUCACCGGAAUACAAUAGAUUUUAGCGGCACUAAGAAGGAGAAAAAAGAGAGAAAAUGAGAGAGGAGAGAGGUAUCUAAUAUGUGUGUAUAUCUGUGUGUUUUGUUAAAGUCUGUGUUGUGUAUUUUGAGUGAUGAUAAAAAUUACCCCCUUCCCCUCUUUUAUAAUACAAAAUAACCUCCUUUUUACCCUAAAAUAUUAAAAACUAACUCCUUCAUCUCUUUAAUGUAUGAAUUAAUCCACAGGAUAUUGUCCAAUGAGUUUUUCAUCUUUUUAACCAAUAAAUACAGACUCUUUAUUCAAGGGAUAAAAAUGUCAACCCAUCACCUCAAAUGUCUCUUUUAAAAAGGUGAUGAAAUCUUGAUUUUAUUGAUUUAUUGCUCUGUGUAUUAAAAUAAAUAAACUGACUUACAUUUGCAGAUCGUAUUAAAUAAUGUACAAAAAUAUGAAUGUCGAUGUAUAAUCACAGAAAAAUAAAAACAACAAUAAUUAAAAUUAUAAUGUGCGGUAAAAAAUUAAAGUACUAUGUUGUGUACGUAUGCAAAUGUUUGUGCCAAAAUUUAAAAUGAUAAUAAACUGACAAAAAAUCCUAAAAUUUACUAAAUUAAGGACAAUUAUCAAUAAAUUAUGUAAAAUUAAAAUAUGAUAAUAAAUUGCUAUAAUUCCUAAAAUAAUGAUGAUAAUUAAUAAUUCAUUAACAAUUGUAAAAACUGUGUGAAAAUUGCAUUUUCUACCAUUUAACGAUCAGAAAGCCUAAAUGCGUUAAUUCUAAGCUUGGAGAGCCAAAAUUGGGUGUCAACAGUUGUUUUCUUUUCAUUUGAAGAUAAUAUAGAAGUCUAAAUACAAAAACAUUGAUGUGUAGUCAAUUUUGCUCAACAAAAAAUUAUUAUUUGAUAAAAAAAAUUCAAGCAAACUCCAAUUUAGAGUUGUUAUCUCAAUAUGUCCUAUUUUUUAGUAGACGAACCUAAUGUACUCAAAUUUUAUACCUGCAAAAUUUAUCAAACUGAAAAACAGUACUUAAUAAAAGCAAAUAAGUAAUUAAGCUUGACUUUUUCAAGAAAUUAAAAAAAUGGCAUAUAAUGUUUAACUAAUAUAAGAUAAAUAAAUAAAGGCAUUACAGAUUUUAACUAAAGGCAUACAAAAUAUUCAACUGAAGACAGGCAUGCAUAAAAGGUCUGAUUAAAGGGCAGAUUAAUCGAGAAUAUCCUAUUUUAGGGUGAACAAAUCCAACUCAUGCUUGCAAAAAAAAUUUUUAAAAAAUACGGUGGAUUUUUUUUCUUUUUCCUUUUUUAUUUUUUUCUUUUUUUUUCUCUUUUUUUUUGAGAAAUUAAAGAUAACAUGCAGUGCUUAACUAAAAAAUAAGUUCAUUACAAUAUAUAUAGAUAAAGGUAAAGCAUGCAAUGCUUAAAUAACAAAAUAAAUGCAUUGCUAUGUGCAAGUAAAUAUAAAAAUGACAUGUGAUGCUCUAAAUUAUAAAACAAAUGCAUUGCGAUAUGUGCAAGGAAAGGUCAAGAUGACAUGAAGUGCUUAAAUGAUAAAACAAAUGCAUUGUAAUAUUUGCGGGACGUGCAGUGUCUAAAUGAUAAAAUAAAUGCAUUGCGAUGUGUGCAAGUAAAGACAAAAUGACAUGCAAUGCUUAAAUGAUAAAUCCAUUGCGAUAAGUUCAAGUAAAGACAAAGAUAAUAUGCAGUUCUUAAAUGAUAAAAAACAGCAUUGCAAUAUUUGUGAGGCGUGCAGUUCUUAAAUGAUAAAAUAAAUGCAUUGCGACAUGUGCGCAUUGUGCUUAAAUGAUAAAAUAAAUGCAUUGCAAUAUGUGUAUGUUAUGCUCAAAUGAUAAAAUAAAUUCAUUACAAUAUGCGUGUGUUGUGCUUGGAUGAUAAAAUAAUGCAUUGUGAAAUGUGACGGUAAAGGCAAAGAUGAAAUGAAGUGCUUAAAUGAUAAAAUAAAUGUAUUUGCGAUAUUUGUGAGUAAAGGCAAGAAUGAUAUGUGAUGCUUAAAUGAUAAAAUAAAUACAUUGCAAUAUUUGUGAGGCGUGUAGUGCCUAAAUGAUAAAUAAAUGCAUUGUGAUAUGUGUGUGCGGUGCUUAAAUGAUAAAUGCAUUGCGAUAUAUACAGACAAAUACAAAGAUGAAAUAGGUGCUUAAAUGAAAAAAUAAAUGCAUUGCGACAUGUGCAGGCAAAUGCAAAGAUGACAUGUGGUGCUUAAAUGCUAAAAUGAAUAAAUUCAUUGUGAUGCGUGCAAUUAAAGGCAAGGAUAAAAUGCAGUGCUUAAAUAAUAAAUAAAUGCAUUGCGGUAUAUACCAGUAAAGACAAAUAUGACAUGCAGUGCUUAAAUAAUAAGAUAAAUGCAUUGCGAUAUUUGCGAGGUGUGCAGUUCUUAAAUGAGAAAAUGCAUUACGAUAUAUGUGUGAACAGUGCUUAAAAAUAAAUGCAGUACAAUAUGUUUCAGAUAAAUGCAAAAAUGACAUGCGAUGCUUAAAUUAUAAUUGCAUUGCGAUGUGUGUAUAUAAAGGCAAAGAUGGAUUGCGGUGCUUAAAUGAUGAUAAUAAAUAAAUGCAUCAAGAUGCGUGUAAAUAAAGAUAAAGAUAGCAUGCGGUGCUUACAUGAUAAAAUGAAUAAAUGCACUUUGAUAUGUGCAAGCAAAGGUAAGCAAAAAAUACAGUGCUUAAAUGAUAAAUAAAUGCAUUGCGGUAUGUGCAAUCAAAGACAAAAAGAAAUGCAGUUCUUGAUAAAUAAUAAAAUAAAUGCAUUGCGAGAUACGCAAAUAAAGGCAAGGAAAGCAUGCAGUGAUAACAUAAAUAUAUUGCGAUGCGUGCAAGUAAAGGCAAAACUAGCAUGCAGUACAAAAAGAAAUAAAUGUAAUGCGAUAUGUGCAAGUAAAGACUGGCAAGCAUAAAUAUUUAAUUAAAAAAACAUGCAUAAUUAUCUUAUUGGAGGGUAGACUAACCCAAUUGUUCAAUUUUAGGGUGGACAAACUCAUGUAAAAAAUAAUUAUUGAAUAAAAAAUUAUUUGGGGAUGAAAGUAUUCACAUAUUCCCAAUGUUGCAUUCAAAAUUACCCCAAUAUCAAACUGGGAGAUGCUAGGGAGCGCAAGAUUGCGUACUUGCUGGAGAGAAAGAAUGAUUUUGGGGUUGUGACAACCAAACUCUACAUAGAGUUUUCUACACAUCUCGAAUGCUAUGGGAAUUAGGCCAAUGUAGUUCAAAAUAAGAAAAUAGGAUAAAUUUUGAGGCAGUUCUCAAAAAUUUUCUCAGUGUAUGAUUUAUGCUGACAUUGUCUCCUUAGAAAGAAGCUUUUAAAAAAUCUCUUGCUAUUAUUAAAAAAAUGCAUGGCGUCUCCGAUUGUUUAUGAAGACUUGAGAAUGAAUGAAGUCUCCGAUUAUCUACGGGGACCUGAUGAAUGACAUCUCCAAUUGUUAUGAAAAUUGAUGUUUAUUAUCGUUUUCAAUUAUCUACAAAGAUUAAGGCCCUCAACUAGUGAGGUGACUGAAAUCUAUUAACCUCUCAAUUGACGGGACUAUUGAAAUGUAAAAGGCUCUAGAUUGGUAAAACAAAUGUGAUAGCCUCUCAAUUGGCAGAGCUAUAAAAAAUUUUAAAAAAAUACUCAAAAAUAGACACUUAACUAAAAUAUAAAAUAUCGGUAUUUAAAGGUAUGUACUUGAAAGGAAAAGUCAAAUGCCCUUAUUUCAAAACUAGACGUCUUUAAUAAAAACUAAAAAUGCAUGUAUGUAAAAGUGGGCACCUUAAAUAAAAAUUAAAAAAUAUUCGUAUGUGAAAGUGAGCAUCUUGAAAAAAGAAAGAAAAGAUUUUGUAUUUUCUUGAUAAAAAGUGUUGAAAGAUAAAGAAGACACGAUCAUGUCUUGACUUUAGUUGGUACCAAUAAUUAGUAGUGUGCAUAAGAAUUCCCCCAUCUCCUUUCCAACAUAACUGAGAUCGACUUCAGGGUAACUCUCAUAGUUUCAAGUGUUACCCCAGACACGCCUAAAUAUCAACAAGAUUUUCUUGUCUUGCUUCAAAUAAAGGUCUCGAGCUAUACAUAUCAUCAUGUUUCAAGCGCCCUUUCUAGAAUAAAAGUCCCAUUUCACACAUAUUUGAGCAAUUUCUUUUUGAAUUUAGGGACAUCUAAAGAAAUACACUCACACUCACAAAAAAUUCAAUGCAUGCAAUUGUGAUAUCAUAGGCUUGACCUUCAUGUAAGUAUCCACUAAUAUGAGAACACUUGAAAUACGAUCUCGUUGGACUUAUUAUUGGCUGGUAAUAUAGGCUUGGGGACGAGUAGGAUGAUAUUUGGGAUAAAAGUGACUAAUCUCUCAAUGAACAUUAAUUGCAUUUGUGAUUUCAACGUUAGUUGCACUUGGAUGCAUGAUCUUCUUAGUUGUGCUGCGUUGUUCCUUAUUUUGUACUUGCUUUGACUUCUUUUGAAUCUUGCGUUGGAGUUUUCCCCCUUUUUUCAGGAAUAUAUAAAUAUAUAUAUAUAUAUAUAUAUAUAUAUAUGUAUAUAUAUAUUUGUUCUUUUAUUUAUUUUUCUCUUUUUUUUAUGAAGGUUUUGCUCCUUUUAAAGUAUAAUAAAUUUAGAGCUAAUAAAUAUGUAAAGACACAAUAAUUCAUCAAAUAUGUACAAAGACUAUAAUAAUGUGUCACUUGGGUCGUGGACCCUUCGGACAUAAAGUUGUCUAAUGAUGCAUGCACCUAAAAAGGUGUUAUUUAGCUAUAUCCAAUGUUGACUAAGAGUGGGUAGACACGGACUUGAAUUUCCUAUAUGAGAAGGCAUGUAGUCCCGCAGCAGUAAAACUCCUGCUCACCCCACACAUGCACCGACUCUCUAAAGUAAGGUGAUUUGAAAGAAUUAUUAGGAAAGUACAAUGUACAAUCCGUGAGUACAAUGUGUGUGAGUGUCAGUAUUUCGAAGUGGAGAAAACAUGAGCGUAAUGUCAGUUUAUAUAUAGCAAUAAAUAAAUAAACAGUUUAUACAAAAUAAUACCAACUAAACAAUUUAUGUCACAUAAACAAGAUAAAUCAAGGCAAUUAAUAUGAAACAAAUAACAAUGUAUAAAAACAUAAAUAUUUACCUAAGUCUGUAAUGAUCAGAACCUUUUGCAUUCCCCAGCAUAGUCGCCAAACUGUCAUACCCUAUUUUCACCUAGGUGAAAACGAGCAUGACGUUAUAGACUCAAAAAGAAUUAAUUUUGUACAAAGUCGCUUCCUAAUUUUUAAGAAAAAUAAGAAAACUUAUGUAUUUAUUAACAAAUAUGACUUUAUCUAAUCUACGAAACCAAAUUAAAUUCUAGACAAGGUUUAAAUUAUUCAAAAGGAAAGGGAUUAGGCAUCCUUCACAAUCUACAAAUGUGAUUUUCGAUUAGAUUUAGGUUAAUUAAAAGAGAAAAAGAAAAAUUCAGUGUUUGUAAAUACAGAUAAAAAUAUGUCUCAAAAUAAUAUAAUGCAUAUGCUAUCUAAAAAUAAAAAUAUAUAAAUAUGCAUGUAUAGAUAAGAUUUAAUAAAGAAAAAUUAUUCUGAAGAAAAACACUACAUAAUAAUAUUUUUUAAUGUAAGAAGUGUAAAUUAUUUGAUUAAAUAUCUAAUCAAUUUUAAUAUACAUAUUAACGGCCUAAAUUUACCUAAACGCGUAAUGAAUACUGUGUAAGUAAAAGCACCCCACCCGAUGCCCCAAAAUAAAAUUUUCACCAUAAAUGAUAUUUAUACAAGUGUAAGAAAUAAAAAGUACAAACACAAUUUAAACUCCUCUUUAAAUGUCAUUCCCGGCAAGUAUUCCCAAUAACCUGUAUAAAUAUUUGUAGUAAAAAUGUUAGUAACGAAUAAAUAAUUAUCAAAUGACUCGAGAAGGUAUGUGUGCAUAUAUGUAAAAAUAUAUAUAUAUAAUAUAAUUUUUGUUAAAACAGUGGGCUCGAAUAAAGUUUUUAAAUAUUAUAAGAAUUUCAUCAUUGCUGAAUUUAUUUAUUUUUAUUACAUACUUGUAUACGUAUACGUAAUAUUCGUCUUUUAAUUUUUGAAGGACUCAAAAAUCGACAAAUCGGCCAACUAGCGUAGUAUUUAUCCGUUAUCAAUAUAAAAAAUGAAAAUGCAAUAAAAGUAAAAAUAAAUCCAAAACAGUCGAAAAAAUCAUCUAAACAGUAGCAAAGUAACAGGAUUUCCAAAGUAAUCUUAUCAUCCGUAGGAUAACAAUGGAAUGUAGCAAACAACAUAUUUAUGACAGAGAUAGCCAAAAAUAGAGCAAAACAACAGCAAUAAAUAUCACAGGGCAGCAAGCGAAAGUUAGAAUAAGAAAAAAAGAAAAGAAAUUAUAAAUACAAUCAACGAGGUUAUGAAAAAAAAUAGUGAAAACAAUGGAGCUUAUCAGUUUUAACGGAGCUUCACUAGAGAAUAAAACCUCCGACAAGAUCUGCAAUAAAUGGGGGAGCUGAACAUUCUUCUAGGAUGAAUGUCGAAAAUAUAAUAACCAACCAGCUCUGCAAAAUCACACCCAUCCGGUUCAACCAAGAAAAAAGUAGAUCAAGCAUGAAAAAGUUCUAGCAAAUUUGAAGAUUUUUACUUCCCCUUUUCUAUCAGUUAAUAAAUAUAUGCUUUAUAAUAAAAGGAUUUCAUAAAAUAGAUUGUCACACUGCUUUCUUGCUCUCUUUGUUGAAACCAGCCAAAUCAUCUACACAUAAUCAAAGAUCGAUGAGAUUUUUCUUGCUGUUAAUAAACUCAAGGAGACGGAGUAGUAAUUAAAGAAAAAAUAAGGAUGAAGGAAAAUGAUGCAGUGACGGUAUUUAAGGAGCUUCGCGGUCACCACCUCCAACAAAGGAAUGGCGAAAACAAGGAAGGAUGGUUGGACGUUCUUAACAGGAGGCCCGUCCACUAGUGACCAACUCCAGCGAGCAGUGGCCAAAAAUAAGGAAGAAGGGGAAGGAGGUCGAUGGAGAUGCAGCGGUCGGUGGGAUUAGAGCGGUAGACGGCGGCGGCUGUGGGUGACUGAUUACCCAGCGCCGUGGAGGAGAAAUGAAAGAAGAGGGGUAGGAAGGGGUGACACUUCAGGCUUCAGGUAGCUGGUUUGGUAGGAGUAGUGGUCUUGAUGGAUCUUGUCGGUCAUCACCUCCGGCGAAAGGUAACAGAAAUGGGAAAAAGAAGAAAAGAAGGGUGGUGCAGUGAUGGUGGUGUUCGUACAACGUCAGUCGGCUGAUGGUGAUGCGGCUGUGGGUUUUUGAGAGAAAGAAAGAGCAUAGGAUUUACGGUGGUGGUUUGGCGGCGGAAAGCUCACCGAAAUACGAUGGAUGUUGGUGGCAUUGAGAAGAUGAGAAGAA
RNAcentral lists this long non-coding RNA (96697 nucleotides) under Capsicum annuum. RNAcentral describes it as "long non-coding RNA (CANN_LNC004917)". The stretch from base 38593 to 38699 matches the Rfam family "Plant small nucleolar RNA R71". The record is from RNAcentral. Lineage: Eukaryota; Viridiplantae; Streptophyta; Magnoliopsida; Solanales; Solanaceae.